AAAAAAAAAAAAAAAAGUAAAGGGAAUGAAUGAAACUUAUAGCUCGUUUCAAUAAUAUACAGUGAGAUAAAUCAAUAAAACAUUUUAUAUUUUUGUUAUUGCCGAUUUCAACUCUCAUGAGUGCUGAUGCAAAACACAACUUAAUUAACAUGGACCAGAAGGAGGAAAAGGACCAAAAUCAAAUUUGAUCAAUUGAUAAUGGUCAUUUGUCAUGUCACCAAGAAGAAUUAUCUUCUUAUUAAUGGAUAAUCGUUACCGCCCCAUUGAUUAUAUCGUGGUUGAAAAAUAGGGUUGGACUGUAUUGAAAGGAAAUACUAAUUUCACGGUCAUUAAAAACCCGCUAAACAAUCGAUCCAAUUCCAUUUAAUUCCCUGGCUCAAUCUAACGGGUAACACAACUCAUCAGCAAGACAGCAACCUAACUCAACGAUCGAGAUGGAUGCAUGUUGACUGCUCGGCCCCCCAGUCAUCUAUUUGUCUCACACAAUUCACAAAUGACAUAAAAUAAAUUACGAAGCAGUAGUCAGCAUUAAAAAAAAAAAAAAUAGAAAACUGAAAAUUAAGAUCCAAAAGCAAAACUUGCUUUGAUUCACCGAGAGAGAGAGAGAGAGAGGGCGUGUGACUUUUGUGUGUGUGGGUGGUAUUAUUUCGUGAGAAACGAGGGAGUGAGAACUGAAAAGGAAUUGGUUUUUAUUGUGAUGAUGAAACACAAGAAAAGACUGAAGAGAGGAGGAGGUGGUGGGUUUGCAUCAGAAACGAGGACGAGGGAGGGGCAAAAUGAAACGAAAAGAAAGAAUUAGCAACACUGCGUCUGCGCCUGUAUCUGUGAUGAAUCAUGAUCUCCCCUCUCCUCCCCUCUUUUUGAUGAGUUUCCUUCCUGCCUUGUAAAUAAUAAUAAUAAUAAUAAUAAUAAUAAUACGUAAUAUAUUUAUUUAUAUGUGCAUAAUAUAUAAUCUCUAAAACCAUCCCUUAAUUACAUCUACGCUCCCACCACUCACCAGUCACCACCCCUCCUCUCUCUCUUUCUCUUUCUCUUUCUCUUUUUCUGACUGACUGUUCCCCUCUUCUUCUUCGAUCGAUCUUCACUUCUUAAAAAUAUAUACAAGCGUUGCACAUGUGCCUUCUCUACAAUGGUGAAUUCGUACAUAUAUACAAGGCCAGGCUUUUCAUGUUCAUGUGGGUUUAACAAAGUGCUUCUUACAGAGUUUAUUGGCAUUCUGUCCACCUCCGUUCCCCAUCGAUUGAAUCUGAAAGCCUUUUUCUUUUCUUGUUUUUGUGCUUCUCUCUUUCAUGCUCAUGGAGGUGGGCAUACUGCCAACUGAGCUCUGUUGGCUUCUCUUUGUAAAACCCUCGUGAUUUAUCCAUCCAGGCUCAAGCUUUGCUUUGCGACAAACGUCAAGGUAAAAGAUCACGCAUAUCCCAUGAUUAAUUCUUCUUCUUUUUUCUUUCUACUUUUCUUUGUCUUAUUUUCUUUGUGAUGUGUCAUCAUGCAUAUCCACUGUCAGUUUCUCUUCUCUUCUCGUGUCUUCUUAUUUAUCUAUCUACUUGAUAACCCCCAACUUUACCAUUUGUUUUUUCAGGAGAAAUAGGGUUUAUUAAGAGCAAACAAAACUCUUUUUUUUUUUUAAAAAAAAAAUCACUACUUUCAUCUUUCAUCUUUUUAUUUGCAGGACUAUAAAGUAAUCGGGCAGCAAGAAGGACGCCUUUAUUAUUUUCAUUUGGUAACUUGUGGAUUAUAUGUGAUUAUGCUAGCUAAUUGGGAACCCUAGCUUCUUAUUACUUCAUCAAUUUUAUGAUUGUUAUACUUUUAAUUCUUCUUAUUAUUAGAUUUUUUUUUGGAAAUUUCUGAUCUAGGGUUUCAUCAUUUACUUAUUUUCUAGGGUUGUUAAUCGGAAAGAUCGGUGGGGUUUGAGGUGUUAAUGGAGUUAUUAGAUUAGAUUCGUAGCGCUUUCUGCAGAGGGAAAAAGGAAUUUGUUAAAGAGGGUAGAUUAAUGUGAAAAAACAUUUUACCGGAGCUCAUGAGACCUAAAUGAUAUCUCCAACCUGCUGAGUGGUAAUCAAGAUAAUUAUCUGAUCACAAUUAAAAGGCGAAGAUUUUUGUGUUCAUGGCUUCAUGCAUGACUGCCACCAUUUUUUAACUAUGUCAGUCAUUUAUGAUUUAAUUAAUUUAAUUUUUAUUUUAGGGCAGGCGUAGCUCCACUUCCAGCCUUAAUACUGAAUGUAUGAAUAAUAAGUUUCGUUUCUAUUCUUCUAUACACCCCAAAAGCUCCAACACUAGUCGUCAUCAUCAUCCACGUAGGCUCAUCAUUGAACCCUGACACUGCUAUUUUAUUAAUGAGGAAACGAUUUCCUCUCCACUCGCCUUCAUAUCGCAUGCCCCUAAUCUCCAGUCAAAUUUCUAGGCUAGGGUAUUUGACUUGCUCGUGAUGACAAACUGACAAUGGACAAUUUUUUUUUUUUUUCGCGUGGGUUAAGUUAGGUUUCUUCAUUAGGGCGGCCAAAAUGGGUCUCAACUUUCAAGCCUUCGUCCGUUUGGAAUCUCUUGUUCGCUUUGAGUAAUCAAUCAAAUACUGACUUUGCUGUGUGAAAUUGAAAAUGGCAAUAAUGGUGUAUGCAUGUAUAUUGGGGGUCCUCCUCAUUUUAGUUCUGUUUUCUUUUUGAGUAAAUAAUUUUGUCUCUUGCUUAAAGAGUCAAUGGGAUGCAGUUUAUAGGUCAACAUCUCAAAAUUAAAUUGACUCUUAACUAUGACCAUGAGGUUGUGUGGAUCAUGUUAUCUUGGCUUUUAGCAUAUUCUUUUCGUGAAUUGUGAAAGAAAUUCAUUAGUCAUAUAUUGUAUUUUGUUGAUUUUUUUACUGUUGUUAAUUCCAUUUGCCUCUCUUAACGAGAACUUAUAUAAGGAGAGAAAAACAAAGUGCAAUAUUAAAUGCCUUACGUAUCAUCGCAAGAUGUGAAUUUAUAUGUGAGUGUCAAUUUGAUUAACUGAACAAAAAACAAAUUGAGUUGGGAGUAGGGUUUUUUUUUUUUUUUGGGUUCAUACUUUUUGUAUUUUUACAGGGAGUUAUUUGUUUGUUAAUUGGCCAUUCCCCUUACUCAUCAUCCUAUUUAUAUUUUGUUUGACAGCCAUUACCGGUGAAGGCUUUUUCUCAAUUGAAUUCUACUGUAGUGCAUGAUGUGAGUCAUGUUAUAUGAUUAUCUAAUUUAUCUCCCUGAAAUUUCUGGAGAAGUGAAAGGAAGAACGUAAGUUUGUACUGUCUAUGUUGUGUGUAUUAAUUGAAUUACUUGUAACAUAUACAUUGUGUGUAUAAAUUGAACUAUAUAUAUGUGAAGUGUACACUUUGUAAAAACCUAAGAAAAAUGAUAUGCACUCACCAAUUAACUCCACAACAGGCAAAUUUUGGGGGUAAACUUGUUAUUAAUGUAAAAUUUAAGAGUAAUUUUGUUAGUUGUUCCGACUUUUAUGGGGUUGGAGAGGAUCCACUACCAUUGUUCAGAAUCUAAAAUUGGGAGGACUAAGGCCUAAGAAGAUGGAGAGAAUACUUGUGCAGUGAAUACAUUGAGAGAACACAGAAAAUACUUUCCUGGGUGCAAGAGAAUCAAUGAGAUCUCGCAGAGUUCGGAGCAAUUCAGGUUGGAUAUGAACUCUAGAAAAGUUAAUAUGAUGAGCUCUAGAAAGGUUUUUAUGGAGGAUGAUGACUUUGUCCCUAUCCCACGAAGUUUUCUUGAAACAUUUUAGGUGGCUGGUGAAGAUUGAAGAGAUUUUAUUUUUUCCAAAAUUAUUUUGGGAUAGGCCCAAAGGCUCAAAACAUUUUGGGUUUGAGAGCGGAGAUUUUAUCGCGGCGGAACCCAAAAUAUUCUUAAAGAGUCGGAUCGCCGAUCGUACGGCCUUUUUUUUUCAAUUCGUUAUCGCUGAUUGCACAGUCGCUAGCCGCCGACUGCACAGCAAAAUUCACGGCUCGCCGUUUGCUUUGUUGGUAUUCUUGCUUUUGUGCUAAUAAAGAGAAGUUUUUGUUGGGUGGGUGAGAAAAUGAUGGAAAUGAAUUAGCUUUUUUAACCAAAAAAGACAAAUUGUAAGAAAUUGUGCAAGAUUUGAUUAAAUAGAAGGAAAAUUUUAUUCAGAUUUUUUGCUCUUCUUUUCUCUUUCUAGUGAUUUGAUGUUUCUUGUGAUUUCUUACAUCCGUUACAAAGUUCACAUGUUGCUCCAACCACUAGGUUUCACUCCACUCUUUCUCAAUUACUUGGACACCCUUCCACUGACGGGAUAUAAUGUUCAUUCUGUGAAACUAGUGCUUGAACACACAUACAUGUUGAAUGAAACAUUGAAACUGGUGCAGAUUUGGACAGCAACAAGAAAAUUAUAUUAAGAAAUUUUUCUUGCUUUUUUUUUAUUUAUAAAUUUGAUUUGCAAAGAAUCGUGAUGUUCAUUUUGAUAAUUUGACCAUGUAACAAGUAAGAUGCCAGAUUUGAGCUUUAAGCUGGCGGUUGUCUCUCAGGUCAGCAAAGCUGUUACCUUUACAUAUGUUAAUGACAGACACCUUUUAUCACCAUCUAAAUCACUAUAAUUAAUGCCACGUUUGCAUAUACGCACUUACAAUUGUAAAUUCCGUCCUAAAUGCAGACCAAGAUAUCUUGAUCAAUUGGUGAAACAAUUUCUGAAUCCAAGUCCAUCAUCAUUACAAUUAGAUCAUUCUUGGUGUUCAUUUGACUGGUGUAACCAUUUCUUCUUGGCGGGAAAUCCAGCGGUAACAAAUUCUAUUGUUAGUUCAAGAAGUUAACAGUGCUCGUGGGCAUUAUAGGAGCUAAAUUCUUGAGCCGGAAUUAUCUUGUUUGAUUUGUAAUGACUAAUGAAUGGCUUGAGUGAGUAGAGGAUUGCUGGGCCGGCCUGCAUUCGAAUAUGACCCCUAACCAAGAAAAAGUGUCCUGCUCAUCCUGACCAAUAAUAAUUAUAUAGUUAUUUGAAAAAAAAAAUUAAAAGUAAAUUUGCACUUCUCGCUUAAUGGCAUUCGUCUCUUUCCCAUAAAAUGAUAAACAAGUGGGUAAAGAGUGAGGUCAUGUUGUGCUAAAUCUCCACCAAUUUGUUGUCAAUGGGCUCAUAGCCCAUUGUCACAACCGGUGCAUGAAUUCGAAUCACAACAAUAAUUAAAAUAAUUUCCUUCCAUAUGAAAUUAGGUAGGAGAAAAAUUAUCUUUCUGAAAUAUAUAGAGUAGAAUAAAUAUAAAAGUAUCGAUUUGCCUAAGAAAGAAGAAAAACAAGCCCGGUUGCUUUAUGAACUUGGAACUGAUGAAUCAAUCAUUCAUCCUGGUUGUUUGACCAAAAUAAUAAUAAUAAUAAUAAUAAAAUAAAAAUCAUUCAUCCUGGUGUUGUUGUUUCUAAAGACCCUAUCGCCUAUGGGGUCUCGUGAAUCAGCAACACGGAUGUAUGACCAACUCGUGUUUAAUAAAUAAAUAAAUAAAUAAAAGUUAUGACCAACUUUCAAAUAAAUAGCACAAUUGAAGAAAGAAAAUGCCAGAAAGCAAACUGAACCUCACAAGAGCUUCCAUUACGCCUCACCUGAAGGUUCUGGAAAUAACAGAAAUAACUCUAUAAUUAAGCAAGUCAGUAAAUAAAAAUUUUGACUAUCUCAGUAAUUAUGAAGGAAUAUAAACAAGAUUCUUUCUACUGCUCUUCUAUGUCAAAAUCAAUUUCCAAAUGCAUUUUCGUACCAGAAGGAACAAGUAAUAUCAGUCUAAUUCAGAAGUGCUACUAUGUUUGCUCUUCCAAUAUAAUUAGAAAGUCAGUUUUUCUAAUGCCCCAUCAAUCCGAGCUCGUAGAUCACUCUGAUCGAGCAAAGAAUGUGCCCUGCCCCUGGGGCUUCUAACCAGAGAGUAAAAUGAUGGAAUUCUAAAAGGAGAGGUAGACGAGCUCCGUUGAAGAGAGAAGGGGCUAGGUAAUAUUCGUUUUUGUUUGGGAAUAGUUCCAUUGAACCUUGUUUGGUCAUAUAGAGAUGCAGUCUCGGCUGCUGCACGUUGUUUAGUGGCAUCAUCCACAUAUAGGAGAUCAUCAAUCCUAGCCAUUAUGUUGAAGGCCAAGCUUUCCAUCACCCUAGAGUAGCUCUCAAGGAUUGACUGCCCCACAUCCUGCAAAGCCAAGGGAUUUAAAAUUUUCUUUUCUCAUUUAUGAAUGCAAUAACAAGCAAAAACAUAGUUUCCUCUCAUCUCACUUGCACAUGUAUAAGCUCUUUCUCAAUGAUAUUUGUAUUUAUUAUUUUUUGGUUGGUAAAGUAACCUUACUAUCAAUGCCAAGUCUUGCACCAGUCCAAGGCAUCAAAGGGCGUAGAUUCAUACUUCAAUUACUUCACAAAUAUAAAUAGUUCCAUUCAGAAUUCCCUAAAAGAUUAAAUAGACACAUAGUUCCCCCACUUCUUAAUACAUAUCAAAUGAAAUGGAGUUUCAGUAGUGUAGAAUGUGAUGAUCCUUAUUGACAGAAAGAGGAGUGCAAAAGCUAAAUUGCACAAGUUGAUCAUGUGACAUACCUUGUUAUAUUGAAUCUUGUUCAUGUCCAAAGCAGUCUGUGGGAGGCUUGGGAAUCUUAACUUCAAGUUCUGUAAGAUGGUAUCAGCCCGGUGUGCUAGAAGCUUACUUCUUUCUAUGUCACUAACAAAGCCUUUGACCUUACCACCCCAUGAUGACCUCCCUGACUUUGUGCGAAUUAUACGCUUAUUCUGGUACUUCUGCCUCCAAAUGUGCACAGCUGCCUCAAUCCUGUUUGCUAUUUCCAGAGUGGUGUAUUCUGAUGACAAGUCUAAGUAAGCAAGAAGAGACUCUGGAGAGAACUGAUCAGCAGUUAUGUAAUUAUACAUUAUCUCACCCAAACAUUCUUUUCCGCUCUGAAAGAUUGGUGGAAACAACGAAAACAUAUAUUAGAUGGAAUAUUAAAUGAACAUACAGUUACACAUCAUUUUAGAUGCUGAAAUAGGGGGUAAAAAAAUCCUGCUACUCUAGUGGGAAAUCACAUGUUUUGUUAGACUUGAAUAAAAUUGUUUGGAUUGAGCAAUCACAAAAUUAAAGACCAGUGCAAGCCAAAAUGCUGAAGGAUAUUUGCCGUCCCAUGUAACAGAAGUACAAAACAAAAUUCUCAUACCUUGGGCAAGCUCUCCAAGUAAGCAUUUGGGAUUUCCAUCUCGGCCAACACAUUACUAUUGAUUGCCAUGGCAGCCUUAAGGAUCUGACUCGUACACUCCCUAGCCUGUUGCAAUCUCUUCCUCAUAUUCUCAGACAAACCAUUUGGGGGAACCAUAGGGAAUGGGAGCCACCACUUCUCUUCUGGACCAGCAAAAGGCCUACUAGAGGACGAACAUGAAGGAAACGUUUUAGUAUCAUCGCCACCACCACCACCAACUAUCAGCCCACGAUCAACAUAACAAAACUCAGCUUCGCGAAACCCUUCAAGAAUGUUAACCAGCAUAGUAUCAAGCUUCUUGAGUGCUGGAAGGUUUACAUAAAGGUCAGACCGCGGCCUAGUCACCAUGACUUCAAAUGUCCCACCACCUGGAAAUUCUUGCAAUGAUGGAAUAAGUUCCACUAUAGAAUCACUUACACAUAAAAGCCACUCCAUCUCUCGCUGCCACAUCAUCUUCUUCCGUAAUGCUAGUGGCUCUAACUUCCAUAGUUCCCCAAAUACAGAUGCUGCAAAAAUUUCCCAAUAUAAAUAAUUGGCCUAUGCAACGCAGAGCAUGAAAGCAAAAAGAUCAAACAAUAUGAAUAUACAAUACAACUAACCAGAAAGAUUUGUAAUGGCAUUGGAGAUUGCAAGAGCGGUGCAGACUCCCUUCCCUCCUCCUGACAUAUCUUCUCCAAGAAGAAGCUUAGCAAAACGCUCCUUCAUUAAUUCGAUUUCUGAAACGAUACGAAUACAAAUCAAAGUACAGUCAAGUAACACCGCCAGAAGAAUAAAAAGGAAAAUUAGAGGACUUUCACUCUGAGAUCAAUUGAUAAGUAGAACAGAAAAUCUGUAUCUAGUGUCCUGUUUGGCAGGUGCAGAAAUGGAGGCGAAGAACGGACUGAUUCUUUUUCUUUUUGGUUUUUUUUUUUUAACGAACAGACUCAACUUUAAUACCAGAAUACCAGAAAAUCUGAGCCAUUACAAUAAUAUUCAGCAACCAAAGAGAGAGCAGGAGGUCAUAACGGCAAUGAAUAACAGAUCCAAAUUUUCAAAAGAACAAAUUUCUAAAAUGUACCAAAACACGGAACGCAUAAGCCAUUGCCGUUAAAUUAAAUAUUCACCGAACUUCUUGUUACGUCAAGUUAAUUAACAGAAAAACAACGUGACAAUGAACAGAACACUAACCGGAUAAGUCAGAAUCUGGUAUUUUCUCCGUAUCGUUAACCGAAACGACGACGUGUCUACCCCCAACCACCGGCAGCAUAAUAGGAACUGCCUCUGAGGAGCCUGAACUGUCAUCAAAGUCAGGUUCCACGAGCGAUGAAGAGGUCAAGAAAGUGGAAGCGCUGUCAAAAUGCCGAUUCGAAAAGCUGCCGCUACUCGAACUUUCCGACUCACUGACGUCAGCGCUCAAGCUGUAACUCUCGAAUCGCUCGCUCAUUUCUUCCAACCCGUCCUCCGAUGAAACGCUUGCCAUUGUUAAAGAUCAAAUUAUAGCUGCUACAGCCAGCUUGCUUCUUACAAAAAUAUCAUUACAUAUAAUGAGAUUUGAGUAAAGAGUGAUAAAAAAUUAAAGUGAAUAAAAGCUCUUUGCGACUGAUGAGUGCAUGAGUCUCUGUGCUCUCUCUUUCAUAUUCAUAUUGAUUCCAAAAUUGCCGUUACCUUUGUGUAACAGCAGUCCCCACCAAAAGAGACAAAGCAGUUUUUUUACUUUUUUUUUUUUUUUCUCUAUCAAUUGCGCGCGUUAUUUGCCGCAUCGGCAAAAUGAGAGCGUGAAGAAAACGUUCUGAUCGUUUGUGUAGUUUGCUUUUUAAUAUAUAUAUUAUAGGGAGCUGGCUAAGUUACAGAUUACAGAUCCGACUGUAGCCAACUCCUAUUGCCUGCAUUUGCACAGUUUCUCUCUCCUCAGGACACGUGUGCUGCUUCCCAUUGGGUGUGUACGUUACAGAUUCUGUAACGUACAUUGGUCCAUAUAUAUAUAUAUAUAUAUAUAUAUAUAUAUUUAUGUAACAGCCUUUUUUUUCAUAAAAUAAAGAAGAAAAAAGGAAGAAGCACACGUCCCCCUAGGCCUCUGUGCUAUGCAGCUGCUCGCUCGCUCGCUCAGCUUAGGUGAGAGUCUUAAUCAUCGGUAAGCAUAUUCAUUAUUUGAAAUGUCCGUAAUGGGUAUUAUUGCGCAGCUACUAACUGGCAUUGGAUGAUUCUACUGCAACUUUUAGAAGGUGAAGUAUUGAAUUGUUUGAUGUCAGACUUAAUUUUUUUUUUUUUUUGUUAUUGAAAGUCUUAAACACAGACUUCCUGGCUAUAAGGAAUGGGGUUUAAUAAUAUAUCUUUUUGUUCUUAUAUAGAAUUGUUGUUGGAGUUUAAAUUGAAAAUAUAAAAAUGAGCAUUUUAUAAGAGUUAUUCAGGGAUGUUGGAAGUAUCUAUCUAUAUACGAUAUUUGCAUAUAAAAUUAUACAUAACAAACAGAAUGAGGACACUUGUACAUAAAAUAAAAUAAUGAAGUGAAUGAAGUCAUGUAUGAUUUUAUAUGUAAUUUUACAUGCCAAUAGAUUAUCCUUCAUUGCAUACUGUAAUAACAAUUUAUUGGGCUUCGGUUUCGGAUUAAAAUUGACAGCAGCCUAGGCUGCGUUUACUUUUUGGAUUGGAUUGGGAAUCCUGAGGAGUGGGAAUCAUAGGAUUGGGAGUGUGGAGUGGGAGUGGGAGUAAGUUGUUUACUUACACUGGAAUGGAAGCAUGGAAUAGAGAUCAGAAUCCAAUUUAUGUGUUUACUUUGUCUUGGAUUGGGAGUAAAUAGUUUCAAAUUACAAUUUUAUCCUUAUUUAAAGAAUUAUAGUUUUUAAUUACAAAACUAAUAAAAAUAUAUUUAAUGAAUAAUAUUUAUUUUAUUAUAUUUUUAAAUUUAUUAUAAUUAUUAAUAUUCUUAAUUAUGAACAAUAAAUUAUUAAUUUUAAUAUAAAAUGAAACCUUAUUUUAUUUUAUUUAAUAUAAUUAUAUUAAAUUUAUUAUUAUAUAAAAUAAUAAUAUAAUAUUAUUUAGUACAAAAUUAAUAUUUUCUUAUAAUAAACUAUUUAUUAUUAUUAAUAUUAAAUAAAUAUAGUACUAUUAUUUUUAAAAUAAAUAUAAUAAUAAUAUAUUUAUUAAUUCUCUAUUAAUAUAAUAAUAUUAUUUUAAAAUAAUUUUAACUUAGAAUCAAUGUAAAUUAUUAUUUAGUUAAAUAUAAUAUUAUUAUUCAAAUAAAUAUAAUAUAAUUUAUUUUAUUAAUUAUAAUAUAUUAAAUUAAAUUAAAUUAAAAAUAAAAGGGUAAAAAAUGGAGAGGUGGGAGUGGAUUCCCACUCCCACUCCCUACUCCAAAAAUGAGUGGGGCCCACGGAAUGGGAUUCCCAAUCCCUUUCCAUUUUGAGGAAGUAAACGUUGGAGUGUGAGGAAUACACACUCUUUACUCCCACUCCAGCAAGUAAACACAGCCCUAGAGUUGAAUACUCCCACUCCAGCAAGUAAACACAGCCCUAGAGUUGAAGGACCAAAUAAUGCAUGAUUGGCUGACACACUGGGUAUUAGUGUGUGUGUGUUGUAUCACUUGUAUAUGCGAGUGUAUGUAUGUAUGAGCAGCCACUGGUGACCUUUGGGCUUUAAAUCCAAAGGUCGACGGCCUCUCUCCCAUAGAUUGUUACAAUCCGGGAUUGGAACACAUACAAACAUACAUACAUAUACCUACACACACACACACACACACACACACACACACACAUAUUCAAUGAAGGAUCUUAAAUUUUUCAAUUUAGAAAAACUAUUAAACCACGUGGUUUAAAGUAUAAUGACAUUAUACCAUUAAAUCGUAUGGUUUAAUAGUUUUUUUGAACUUUAAUAAAGUUUAGGAUUUCAAUUUUUAUGAGUUUCGAUUUGGGUUGCAACCUAUUCAAUUUUAAGAAUUCAACCCAAACGAGUUCAAAAGUUAGUUUGAUUUGGUUUAGUUUAAGUUCAAAUUCAAUUUGGUUUAAUUUAGUUCAGAUUCAAAAUCAGUUUGGUUUCAAAUUAUAAUUUCAAGAUAAAAUUUGGCUUGGGUAAGCUUUAAGGGAAAUUGAGACUUUUUUUAAUAUUUAAAUGUAACUCGAUCGAGUUAGACGUUUUGUUCACUUUUAUUUUUGAACUGAGUCCAAAUUCGGUUGGUUUUCAAUUCUCAAUCCAAUCGAUUUUUAGGGUCAAACCAAACAUUGAAAUAAAUUUUGAAUUUGGUAUAGUUCAUAAAUUUUGAAUUAUGUUUAGUUUGAUUUGAUAUGAAUCGAAUACCCACCCUUUUGUUAUGAAGUCUAUUGAGAGCAAGGUGAAUUUGACCCUUUUUUUUGGGAAAUAUUACUCAUAAAAUAAGUAUUAUAAGUAGUGAUCUAAUUCACUCAGUUUUCAAUAAUCUAUUAAUAAAUAUUUGAGAUAGAGAAUAUACCAUCAAUUUAUAAUCUUAGUUCUCAAAUUUAAUACUUAAAAAUAUCAAAAUGAUAUUUUUUCAUUUGUAUUUUUUUUCUAUUUUCUCACACAACUUCCUACAAAAUAUUUGUCGUCAAUUUUUUCUAUAAUUAUUGUACUUUUGAUUAUUUUUGAGGAAAAAAAUUAUAAUAUAUACAGUAAAAUAUCUCUAUAGUCAUAAUAUUGGGACCAAACUAAUUUUAUUAUUAUGAAUAGAUUAUAACUUAGUAGAGAUGUACCUGGGAAAAUUAUUAUUUUGACUUAGUUUUCCUUAGUGCAAGUGAUAUAGAGGCAAAGUAUGCAAUACAUUGAUAAUCAAUUAAUAGAGCAUGUCAAAUAUAAUGUACAGAUGAUGAUAAAAGAGAUAGAUAGAGUUUAAAAAAAUUAGUAUAUAUAUUUAUUAUGAAGUGUUGGGGUCAUACAAAGUCAUCUUGAAAGCCUAAAGAAUAAAUUAUUAUCUAAAACAAUGUUAUAAAAACCUUUAAUGUGAAUAGUAUACAUUCGUUGCAAAUGUAAUGAUAAUUGUCACUAUAUAAAGGCAAGUUUCUUAAGACGAGAUAUAGAAAAAUUAUAACUCAUUACACUUUGGAGUUUAUUAUUAUUUAUAAUUGGCUUAAAUUAGGAUCAAAAUUUUUUAUAAUUAUAUGCAAGUUAUUUCUGUAUAGAAUAUCACUAUCAAGAGGUUUUACUAUAGUGUAGGUAGCUAUCGUGCUUAAAUUCAUAAUACCAAAUAGAUUGUCUUUGUAAGCUUUAUGUAGUCUUCAUAAAUAGGUUUAAUGUACAAUUAUCAAUUUUUUUUAAGAAAUCAUAAUUGUCUACUUGAAAAAAAGUGGAGUUAACGAUUAAUAUUAAGCGAUAAUAAUUGCAUUAAAAGACACAACUUAAGGUUGUUUGUUUUUUGUUUGAAGUAUGAAUUUUAAUUAUUUUUAGACAUUUAAAAUUUUAAUUUACUCUAUAACCUAUAUAUGAUUAUAAGAUGUUUAUAUUUGAAUGAAAAAAGUUAAAUAUUCAAACUUUUAUCUAAAUGGAAAAAUAUUUUAUUCAACUUUUAUUAUUCUUUUUAAUUAAUACCCAUAUUAAAUACAUUUAUUUCCUACUUUAUAAAAUAUCAUUUUUAUUAUUUUUUAUUUAUCAUUUUUCUUUGUUUAGUGAUAUUCAACUAUUAUUUUUUUAUUAUGAAUGAAAAUUUUAAAUAAAACAGGAUUUUAGAUAAGUAUUUUUAUAAUAGGCCCAUCUCUUUGUAUUUAUAAUAAUUAUUUUUUCAUAGAUUUAAAUAUUAUUUAAAAAUUAAUUUUAAUUUAAAUGAUUAAACAAUUCUUGGUUGGCUUAAGCAAGUAUCAAACAAAAUACAUAUUAUAUAUAAAAAUAACAUUAUAAAUAUCAUAUAUUUAUGCCAAAAAUUACAUGUGCUAAAUGUGUGUGUGUGUUCAUGCUUUGUUAAGGUACAUGUUAUCAAAUUUUUUUAACUAAUCAAAUAAUUUAUUUAUAACUUGUCAUAUUUUUAAUAAAUAAAUAUAAGUAUUGUUAAUAUUUAUAAGAUUAUAUAUGUCAAAAUAUCAUAUUUAAGAUGUUUUCUUUUUUUAAAAAAAAUAACACUUAUAUUCAUAUAUUUUUUAAAAAAUAAAUAUCUCAUUCAUAUAUAUGCAUUUGGACAUAUUUAGACUUCAGCUAAACUCAGACUCAUUCAAAUUUUAAAUAAAAAAUAAACACCAUCUUAGUUUUUGAUAAACUUAUAUUGCAUUUUUUACUAGUUACAUUGUAAUAGUAACGUUUUUCUUUAGGUUGAGAAAUUUUCUUGCAUGACUGGAAGUUUAAAUUUACACAUUUUAUAGCACAAUCCAAAAAUGUACCGAAGAUAGCUAAAGAAUCUACUCCAUACAAAAAAUAUAUAUUUACUCCCAUUAAUAUGAUAAUUUAUUUAAAUUUUCCAUGUUAUCUCGAAAUUAAGUUCAUGAAUUUUUCAUGGAAGAACGAUUGAAAAUGUUUGUCAUUACAAAAGUUGAUUGUUUAGCACAUGUCUCUUAGGGUACUUUGGUCAUUUUAUAUUAUUAGGAUAAACUAGUCAAAUAAAACUUGUCUUAAAGCAACAUUAAUGGUUAAAGAUACUUGAGAAAAAAUAAAAUUAUUAUUGAAUAAAUAAUAAAUUUUAAAUUUUAAAUUGUAAAAUAUUAAAUAUUAGUUUAAAUAACAAAUAUCAAAAUAUUUAUACAUAUAAUAUAAAUAUUAGUUAAUAUAAAAUAUUUAAUAUAAUAUAAACUUAACUACAACCAAAAGUACACUAUCCUACAAGGCUAUAACUCACAAAUCACACUCUAAAUCACUCUCUCACAGUCUUGCUCAUCGUUUCCGAAUUAUUCGCGCAAUAGCAAGCACCCAACUCGUCUUCAUCUCAUCAUAACCUUGUAGCACAUUGCGUUGUCAGUAGCCAAGUAGCCUAGCUCAUAUCAACAUCAACUAGCAGCCACACAUGCGACUUUGUUGCGCCAUAGUCAGUGAUCAACAUGUAUCAUUACUCAUGGACAAUAAUCACGUCAAUAUUAUAUAAAAAUCACAUUAUUUGAAUUUUGUUUUGAAAAUCAUUAUUUCAAUAUUAUAUAUACCAAAAGUUUGAAGGAGUGGAAUGAAAUAAGGCCCAUUGAUGAUUAUUCUCAUUUUAUUUUAUAUAUAUUUUUGGUUAAUAUAAUUAAAUUAAGUUCGAAAACUAAAAAUAUAUCAGUUAUUCGGGGAUCGGGAACCCUCGGGGAUCCCUUGUUAUUAUUCGGGGAGGGGACGUGGAUCCCCUCAAGUAGUUCUAAUGGGGAUAGGGACACAUACAUAACAUCGGGGACGGGUACGAGGCUAUUGGUCCCCUCCCCUCCCCAAUGCCAUCCCCCUCGUCACCUAGGUUCCUACAAAAAUUAUGUUUUGAUUUAACUAUACUUAGUGCAAGUGAUAUAGAGAUAAAAUAUGUUUUGUAAUGGUGUUUAAUUAUUGGCAUGUCAAAUCCAAUGUAUAGACAUUCACAACAGAUAUAUAUAUAUAUAUAUAUAUAUAUAUAUAUAGUUUUAAAAAACUAGUAUAUGUUUUUAUGUAGUGUUUAAAAUAUGUAAAUUUAUCUUAAAAGUCCUUAAUCUUUUGCAUUCUCUUUAAAGUUUCUCUCAUUUAUCAUACUAUACUACGCGAAGGCAAAUUCUUUUAAUGUAACAGAACACAUUUUUUGCAAUAUAUAGAUAAUUAUUAUUAUGUGGAAGCAAGUUUCGUAAGACGGGAACUAGAAAAAUUAUAACUUACUUCAAUAUAGAGUUUAUUUUUAUUUAUAACUAUUGCAAAUUGAGAUUAGAGAUUUUUAUAACUAUAUGGAGACUAUUCUUAUGUAGAGUAUUACUGUAGAGAGGUUUUAUUGUAUAAGAAGGAUUUAAUUGAUUAAUUAUCAAAAUUUUAUAUUGAUUGUAUAUUUUAAAUAGUGUAGACUUACUAUAAUAAUGUUCUGAAAUUUAAGGUAGGUUUAGAAAAUAAUAGGGUGAAAAUAUCUCCAUCCCCUAUGAUUUUGAAAUAUUUCCAAACUUCAAAGGGUUUAUUUCUUUUACUACUCAAUCACCUAAUUCAAACUAGCUUCCUGCCAUGCAACUCACCUGUUUUAAUAAAUAGUUAGUAACUGGAAGAGUGUGUGACAAUCAAAAUUAUGCAUCUAAUGUAUGUGACUAUUGAUGUGCUAGUAAUUUAUAUAUUAUUUAUAUAUUUUUUUAAUUUAAUUUUAUGUUAAAUUAUAUUUUAUUAUAUUAAUUUUAUCUUAAUUUUUAUAUUUUGUUAUUUUAGGUAUAAUCUAAGAUUAAAAAGGAAUUAAAUCAGAACAUUUAAAAAGAAAUUUGUUUGAAGGAAUAAAAAGGAAAAAAAUAAAGAAAUUUAAUGGAAACAAAUCAAAGAAUUAAUCAUCAUGCAUGCAAUCACGUGGAAAGAAUUGGAGAAUUAAUUGACAAGUAAAUAUGGAGAGCAUGUGCACAACUUUUGGAAGAGAAUCUUAAUUAAAUAAUUCAAAUUCCUUAUGAGCUUGGAAUUAAAAAAGCAUUAUAAAAAGGGUACGAGCGAAAGUCGAGGGGGGGGGGGGGGGGCGGGGGGAAAGGAAUUAGAGAAAAGCUAAAGUAGGUCCACAAGAAGAAUCAAGGAGAAGUACACUUUUUUUCUAUUAAUUCUUGAAUCUGUUAAGCCGGAUUAGUAUUUUAUUUUUUAUUAUAUUAUUUGUGUCGACUAACAUAUUUGUUAAUUUAUGCAAUAAAUAUAAAGAAUUUGAAACUCCUUUGACUUAUUAUUUAAGUUAAAGAUAAAAUUUGAAAAUAUCAAAAUGAGGAUUUUACGGUGUUAAUAGCCGAAAGAAAAAUUGAUUUCUUAGUUUAAGAAAUAUAUUACAACAUUUUAUGCCAUAAUGUGGAUCAUUUUUCAAGCAGCUUAAUUUAUAUGAUGAGAAAAUACAAGGGAUUUUGAUACUUUUAUCAUAAAUUUAGAAACCUCACCUUUGUUCACUCCGACAAAUACACGAGAGAGUCAAUAAAUGGCGUAGCGUAAAAGAGGGGUCCAAAAAUAACAAUAUCUUAAAAAUGACGACAUUUCUACCGCAAAAGGAUGAGGACACCUCAACCCUGACAGUGAGAGAAUGUCGUCUAUGUCCCCCAUGCCUAUUGUGGUAAUUGCAUUAUGCGCUCAUCUCAAAUACACGCCAGUUAAUAAAGUCUCCUUUGGUUUGCCUCUCAAACGAAGAAAGCCAAAGCAAAGGCAAACGCGUCACUUGUUUGAACCUCAUUCAUUCUCGCAGUUAUCGUUCUCAAAGUUCUGCGAGCAUGGCCUCACUUUCUGGCAUAGACGAAAGCUUGCAAUAUCCGGUCGCUCGCAGAGACGAGUCCAUUGUUGAUGAUUAUCACGGCGUUAAGAUCGUCGACCCUUAUAGAUGGUAAAUAAAUAUAUUAUUCAAAAUCAGUUUUGACUUUUGACCGAAAUUAAAUUUUUUUUUUUUUUGGUUUUUGGGGCAGGCUUGAGGAUCCAGAUGCAGAAGAGGUCAAAGAUUUUGUGCAAAAGCAAGUGGAAUUAACAGAUUCGGUGCUGAAAAAUUGUGACGUGAGGGACAAGCUUCGCGAGAAGAUAACAAAGCUGUUUGAUAGUCCACGAUACGACGCGCCGUUUAAGCGGGGGAAUAAGUAUUUUUAUUUUCAUAAUACGGGGCUGCAACCACAAAGCGUGCUUUAUGUGCAGGAUAGUUUGGAUGCAAAAGCGAAGGUGUUGCUGGAUCCGAAUACCCUUAGUGACGAUGGAACGGCGGCGUUAAUUAAAGUUUCGGUUAGUGAGGAUGCUAAGUACUUGGCGUACGCACUUAGUUACAGUGGAAGUGAUUGGGCGACUAUCAAAUUAAUGCGCAUUGAGGAUCAAAUUGUUGAAGCUGAUGCUUUGUCUUGGGUCUGUUUCUGUUUCUCCCAUUCCUUUGGUUCUUUUUUUCAUUUGACAAUAUCAUUGCUGAAUGUACCUACGUACAAGCUUUUCUUAUAAUUGCACGGCAUAUUCUUUUUCUUUUAUUUAUUUUCACUUGUCAAAUCAACUAUUUAUGCCUUUUGGAGUGUUGUAUCACAGUUUAAAUUUUCAAGUAUUGCUUGGACCCAUGAUAGCAAAGGAUUUUUCUACAGCCGUUACCCAGCUCCCAAGUAAGUGAUCUUCACCAUUUGGGUUGGCUCAGUCGAAUUUGAAUUCUUGAAUCUAUAUUUUAGCUGUAAAUUCAACAAACGUUAUGGAUAAUUUAUGAAUUUUAAACUUUUUUGGUUGUGAAAUUAAAUAAAUAGAUAAAAUAUACUUCGCCUGGGUUAUUGUAUUUGUUUUAUGCGUUUAUUAAUUUUUUUUUUUAAUCCUUAAGUAUGAAAAUUGUUUUAAUUCUCUUGUAUUAUUCUUUAGAGAGGGCAAAGAUAUGGAUGCUGGAACAGAGACUGACUCGAACCUAUAUCACGAAUUUUACUAUCAUUUUCUGGGCACCAAACAAUCAGAAGAUAUUUUAUGCUGGAAAGACCCCGAACAUCCCAAGUAUACUUUUUCUGGCCAUGUUACAGAAGACGGGCAGGUGAUUAGCUCUUCAUAGGUUUAAUCUCUUUGCCUAUUUUGGAUCAAAAUUUUGUGUUUGAGUGGUGCCCGUGUUCUUUAUUUCUUUUUCUUUUCAUUUAUUUUUUUCAUGGUAUGAUUGUGCCCUUGUCUGUUCACCUGAAAUAGUUAACGCAAAGCUUCAUCAAUGAAAUACCCAAAUUUUGGCAAACUAGAUAUUAAAGGGCACUAAAUGGGAUAUAAUGAAGAAUAAUAUAACCUCUCUUCUAUAACAUUUUUAAAAGUUAAUACUCUUUAAAACGAGGUUCAUUUGUAAUUACUACAGGUCUGGUGGCAAUUUAAAUUUUAAAUACCCAUGUUAUUUUGUUAAAUAAAUUAUUUACUAAGGAUGGUAAUUAGUUGGGUUAGAUUCGGGUUUGAUCGAUCAUAAAAAUUAAAAGUCCUACUCCAAAAAUCUCCGAUCAUUUGAAUUAGGCCCAACCAAUUAGGGUUAGGGUCGGGCUUUUGUCCAAGCCCAAACUUCAUAAUUUUUUAAGAUUUUUUAUAUUUAAGUAAUUUAAUAUUUUAAAAAAUAGACAAAACCUCCCUCUAUAUAUAUAUAUAUAUAUAUAUAUAUAUAUAUAUAUAUAUAUAAAUUUAAUAUAAAUAUAAAAAUUACUCAAGGCCUCAACCAUAUAAUUAUAUAAAUAAUAAAAUACAUAUAAAAUUUAAAAUUAUGUUUUAUAAAAUUAUACAAAUAUAUUUUUUUUAAAUUUAAAAUUUCAAUUAGGUAAAGUCAAGUCAGGUAGAGCCCGAACCCUAACCCGAAUUUAAUUGGACCUUAAUUUUUAGACAUGAACUCGACCCAAAACCCUUAAAGUCGGAUCAAAGCCUGCAAAGUUUCAGGCCGUCAAUUGAGCCAAAAUUUAGGCCAGGUAUUUUUGUCAUUCCUAAAAGCAACUAAUACUAAAGUUAAUUAUAUGGGGAAUUUAUGGAUUUUCAUUGCAUAAAUGUCUAAUUGAUUCUGAUUAGUAUUGUUUAUUAGAAAAAAAUUACAAAUUUUUGUGGAACUCUUGUAAUUUAACUUCACAUUUUAUUCUGUUCUGCAGUAUCUUGUCAUGUAUAUAGGAGAGAACUGUGAUCCAGUCAAUAAAUUAUACUACUGUGACCUGUCUGCACUGCCAGAAGGUUUGGAAGGUUUUAAGAAAAGAGAAGGCUUGCUCCCAUUUGUUAAGCUAAUUGAUGGAUUCGAUGCACAAUAUGAAGUCAUUGCAAAUGACGACACCGUAUUUACCUUCCUCACUAAUAAGGAUGCCCCAAAGUAUAAAAUAAUCCGCGUAGAUCUCAAGGAGCCAAAUGAUUGGUUUGAAGUUAUCCCAGAGGCUGAAAGAGAUGUGCUUGAGUCAGCAACUGCUGUUAAUCUUAAUCAAAUGAUUGUGAGUUACUUGAGUGACGUGAAGUAUGUUCUUCAGAUAAGGGAUUUGAAAAAUGGUUCCCUGUUGCAUCAAUUACCAAUUGAGAUCGGCUCAGUUAAUGCGAUAUCUGCACGUCGUGAAGACAGUGUGGUUUUUAUUAGUUUUACUAGUUUCCUUACUCCUGGCAUCGUAUAUCAAUGCAAUUUAAAAACUGAGACUCCGGAAAUGAAGAUAUUCCGGGAGACUAUUAUACCUGGAUUUGAUCGCUCCGAGUUCCAUGUUCAUCAGGUAGGUGAUUGUCGUUUAUUUGUUAACACUCGAUGAUGCUAGCUUUCUGAUUUUAUUGUUCAAUCUGUCUCAAGUUGUCUUGUUAUUUGCUUUAUUUUCGUGGGCUUCAUUCUUUUUUUUUGCCAAACUGCAUUUUGUUCGGUGUUUGAUUUGGGUUUCUCAUUUCUAGGUUUUUGUGCCUAGCAAGGACGGUAGUACUAAGAUACCAAUGUUCAUUGUAUCCAAAAAGAAUAUUAAAUUGGAUGGAUCGCACCCAUGUUUAUUGUAUGGAUAUGGUGGAUUUAACAUCAGUGUGACACCUUCAUUCAGUGUCAGUCGUACUAUUCUCAUGAGGCAUCUUGGUGCGGUCUUCUGCAUUGCCAACAUCCGAGGUGGUGGAGAGUAUGGAGAGGAGUGGCAUAAAGGAGGUGCACUUGCAAAAAAGCAGAAUUGCUUUGACGACUUUAUUUCUGCUUCCGAGUAUCUAAUAUCUGCUGGUUAUACCCAGUCCAGAAAGUUAUGUAUUGAAGGGGGGAGCAAUGGCGGGCUUCUUGUUGGGGCUUGCAUAAAUCAGGUGGACUAUUUAAGUGGUUUUGUAAUUUUCAGUUUUCUCUGAUUAUUAUCGUAUUGAAUUCAUAAAAUAGCAUUGGUAAUUUUUGUUUCCCUUCUGUUGCAGAGACCUGAUCUUUUUGGUUGUGCUCUGGCUCAUGUUGGUGUAAUGGACAUGCUUCGGUACCACAAGUUUACCAUAGGUUAGUUUAAAUCUUUUUAGCUUAGCAAUAGACAAGUUUAACUAUUUUAACCAUAUGUACUCAUGAAGGUUUUUCUUUGUAGGUCAUGCAUGGGUUUCCGAUUUUGGUUGUUCAGAGGAAGAGGAAGAGUUCUAUUGGCUAAUCAAGUGAGUAAAACCUUGUUCUCUGUCUAAAAAUGUUGUGUAUUCGUGAUAGGCUUUUAUGUACUUCAGUCCAAAGUUAUAAAUCUAUGACAUGUUAGACAUUUUACACACGCGAUCUAGCAAUUGAAAAACCUUUUUCCCUUGGAAAACUUAAAACUGUGUAGAAAUGGUUAACUUUGGUCAUUUCUCAGAAUGUUCAGCCAUUUCCUCUUCUUCGUCUCUUAUGGGGUCAAGAACUUUUGCUGCUUUGAUUUUAGAAUAUUAUUUUUGUCAGCCUUACAUAACACCUUAUGUCGUUUGAUCACUUAUCAACGACAACAUAAAAUGUGCUCUCUUGUUUCUUGAAAACUGAUUAGUGUCUGACUUACUUUCCGCUUCUCCUUUUUUGUAAGUUAUUAGUUUUUUUUUUAUUUUUUGGUUUAAACCUCCCGAUUUCCGGCGACCACAUUGGGCCCCGACUAAUUCGGAUUCGGGGUGUAGUCACAGUUAAGGCUCUUUACCCCUCCCAAAUGAUGUGUUUAGUGGGGAUCGAACCCGAGAGCUCUUCCCACUUACCCAGCCUACGUCGCCAACUGAGCCACAACCGUUUGGUAAUAAGUUAUUAAUUUAUAUGCUCAUUUUAUCUCAUUUUAUUUUCUGUAGGUACUCCCCACUACAUAAUGUGAGAAGACCAUGGGAACAGAACCCUGAUAAACCUUCUCAGUACCCAUCUACCCUACUGUUGACAGCCGAUCAUGAUGAUCGUGUUGUGCCUUUGCACUCGUUGAAGUUAUUGGCGGUGAGUCCUUACAUAUUGUUUUGUUGUCUUAUAUUUUUUGCAUUUAUUUCUUCCUCUGCAAAGCCUAUGCCUACGCAUGGUUAGCUUGUGAUGAUCAUGUGAGACUAUUUUAUGUUUCAUGCGUUCUAUUUAUUCUCAGACUAUGCAAUAUGUUUUAUGCACGAGCUUGGAGAAUAGCCCUCAGACCAAUCCAAUAAUUGGUCGCAUCGAGCGCAAGGCUGGACAUGGAGCUGGACUUCCAACACAGAAAAUGGUAAAUUUAAUCUUAUUUUACUCAGUUUUUGUGUAAUUGAUUCCUUAUUAACUAUUUGCCUUGGCCUUCCAUAUAUUACUGCAGAUUGAUGAAGCUGCUGAUCGCUAUGGCUUCAUGGCAAAAAUGUUAGGAGCUUCUUGGAUUGAGUAACUGACGUAGAUCUCACAGAAUGAAAAUGUUGGUGGUAGGAAAAGUUUUGGAACCAGAGUUAGUACUCUCGUUUCUUUUCUUUUCUUUUUUUUUUAACGAAUAUGAUGGAACUUUUUUUAUUUAAACAGGAGAUAAAUUGUAUUUCUAACUUUUACUAAAAUUAAAUGAGUAAUGGUAGACAUAUUUGAUUUUGUUUUAAAUUUUAUCUUGAACGACGUAGCAUGUAAUUUGUUUGUCAUCCAUUAAGUUGUUGAUAAAUAAAUUAAUUGCAUUAUCUUACUAAUCGAUUAACAAAUGCCAUAUCAUUUGAAAUAGAUUUUUAGGACAAAAGUUUGGGAUAUAUAACAUUACUUAUAAAUAAAAAGCCCUAAAUCCAAUAUUUAGGACAACACUUAAGAUUGAACCAAUUAAAAAAAAAUUACUGAUGCCUCUACAGGUAUAAUAAAAAAUAAAUAAAAGAUAGAAGCAUAACAUUAUUGGUAAUGUGAACUCAAAUGAUUACCAAAUGAAAACACGAAACAUAAACUAAUUUUUGAGUGGCAAAGAGAGUAGUAGUAUCAAUAUUAUCCAAUCAUUUGCUUAUUUCGGCAAAAUAUCUCAGAAACAUUAGCACAAACUCUUCUGAAAUCAAUUAACAAAAAUUAACAUGCAUUCAGAUAUUCCACCGAGCUCAGAUAAAAGACACCCCAGCCAGGCGGCCAGUGAUAAAAUCAAUGUACCGUCACAGGUAAUGAACCAACUGCAUGCAGUGAUUUAUCUAACAAAUACAACAAUCCAUCGAUGACACAAGAGGAUCAAUAAAUUGAGUGUGCUGUCACGUGCAAAGAUUAAGGAGAAAAGUUUACCACAGGUUAGUCCAGGAGGAUAUAAUUAAGAAUUUUGUUCAGUUAGUACACGUUUAAAAUAUAUUAUAAUUUUAAACAUUCACAUAACAAUAAAUAGCAUCCCAACUAUAAUAUUUAUUGACGAUAUUUAUAUUCUUCAACGAGUUUUCAAGUUUUUAAAAUGAUAUAUGAUAGUUUUAUCAUCAAUGCAUGCUUUAGAUAGCAUACACUUAGGUGGCGUUUGUUUUUUUGUCUGAAAUCUGAAUAAACUUGAAUUAGUCUGAAUUCUGAAUAGGUCUGAAUGUCUGAAUCUGAAUAAUAUGUUUAUUUUUUCGUCUGAAUCUCGAAAAAUAAGUAUUAAGUUGUUUGUUUUUUUCAACUUAAAAAGUUAAAAAUAUGUACUUUUACAUUUGUAUCCUUAUUAAAUUUGAAUGUCAAAUAAAUAAUAUAUUAAAUACCACAAUAUUUUAACAUUUAUAAGUAAAACUAUAUUCAAGGGAAUACAUAAUUAUUUUAGAAUUUUAAUAUAUAAAAUACCAUAAAUUUCAAAUUUUAUCAUAUAUAAUAUAAGAAAGAAAAAACAUGGAUAUUUUUAUGUGGGGUAAAUAUCUAUAGGUGAGUUUUGGGAUAGACAUGAAAAAUAAAUUAUAAAACAUGGAUAUUUUUUACAUUAGCAAGUAAUUGACUUAAUUCAGAUUUCUCCAUUAAGUAAAAAACCAAAAAAAUUAACUCAUUUUAUUAAGUCAAAAUUAUCUAAAAAGUUUCAUUAAGUUAUAAAAACAAACACCUCUAAUUAACUUAAUUAAUUAAGUUAAGUCACUUUAAGUCAUUAAGUUAAAAAACAAACGCCACCUUAGUGUUGGCAAUAUAGCAACAAAAGUAAUGGAUGGGUGAGAUUUGGUGACAUAUCUAUAGUUCGCUUUUGUUACUUGUUGGUUUUUCUGUGAUGAUGAAAUUAUAAUAUCUAAGUUUAGGGUAUGAAAUUAAAUAAUAUAUUAAAUACCACAAUAUUUUAACAUUUAUAAGUAAAACUAUAUUCAAGGGAAUACAUAAUUAUUUUAGAAUUUUAAUAUAUAAAAUACCAUAAAUUUCAAAUUUUAUCAUAUAUAAUAUAAGAAAGAAAAAACAUGGAUAUUUUUAUGUGGGGUAAAUAUCUAUAGGUGAGUUUUGGGAUAGACAUGAAAAAUAAAUUAUAAAACAUGGAUAUUUUUUACAUUAGCAAGUAAUUGACUUAAUUCAGAUUUCUCCAUUAAGUAAAAAACCAAAAAAAUUAACUCAUUUUAUUAAGUCAAAAUUAUCUAAAAAGUUUCAUUAAGUUAUAAAAACAAACACCUCUAAUUAACUUAAUUAAUUAAGUUAAGUCACUUUAAGUCAUUAAGUUAAAAAACAAACGCCACCUUAGUGUUGGCAAUAUAGCAACAAAAGUAAUGGAUGGGUGAGAUUUGGUGACAUAUCUAUAGUUCGCUUUUGUUACUUGUUGGUUUUUCUGUGAUGAUGAAAUUAUAAUAUCUAAGUUUAGGGUAUGUUUAUGUUAGUUGUUUAUUUUAAUCUCUAUCAAUAAAAUUGAAAAGAAAAAUGUUAUUUCUAAUUUUUUUUUUUUUUUUUUGUGAAUUAGUACUUAUUAGGGUGGGUAAUACAUUUUGUAAAAUUAAAAUAAGUAAUCAAAUUCUAAAGAAUUGGGCUUUUAGAUAUGGGGCAAGGUGAAACUUUUCAGAAUCAGCUAGGAAAUUUUCGUAGUUUCAAUACCUAGAAAGAGCACUUUUCCAAUGCCCUACCCCAGUCCUGUACUGAAAAAUCUGGAAUUAUAACUAUAUAUAUAUUUAUGCAUUUAUUAGUGAGAUUUGCUUUGUAGGUCAUAACUCAUACGUGGGUUUUUUAUUUUUGUUGUUCCAUUUUCAUCUGGAAUGAUUCUUCUCUUUUGUUCGAUUUCAUCAGGGGUCGACGAAGUUGAGAUUGAGGAAGAAUACCAGCUUUAACUUAUGUUAUGUUUACCCAGGACGGUGCGGCAGGCAGACAAGGGAUGGUGUCCAUGAUAAUUGCGGACCCAGUGGCAAAAGACAGAGGUGUAGGAAGAGUUUCCAUUGGCCAAUCAAGUAAGUAAACCUUGUUCUAUGUCUAAAAGUGAAACAGGAAGCCAAGCUCAGUAUUUGUAUGGUGGAGCUGGGUUAUUGGCCUACUUGCUUUAGCAUCAACUCUCCCUCUCACUCUGUCAAGCAGAAAACGUUCUGCUUCUCCGUUGGUAUUAUAUUCUAAGCAUAGAUGCUUAUACCUCACAGUUGAUGAUUAUAUGGUAUUGGGUUAUUAUGCUCGUUUUACCACAUUUAUUUCCCUAGAUACUCACCAUUGCAUAUUUUGAAAGUCGGAAACAGCACCCUAAUAAGCCUUGCCGUCAACCAUCCACCAUGCUGUCAACGGCUGAUCCGACAUGACCGAUGUGUGCCUUUGUACUUGUUGAAGUUAUUGUCGGCGAGUCGUUAAUAUGAAUUAUAGUUUCAAUGACAUUUCUUGUUUUCUUUAAUUAAUUUCAGAGCAAAGCAUAUGCCUAUGUGUGGUUAGCUUACUGUGAAUCAAUGAAUGACUAUUUUGUGCUCUUCACGAUUUAUUCUGAUUCCUUUGCAGUGAUUUUUGUUAACUUUUGUUGCAUGUCAGUGAAAUUGACCGCCGAUCGCUCGCGGGUUCCAUUUAUUCUCAGACUAUGCAAUAUGUUUCGUGGAGAAUAGCCAGACCAACACAAUAAUUGGUCGCAUCGAUUGUAAGUCUGUACAUGGAUCAGGAAGCUCAACAAAGAAACUAGUAAUGCUUAAUUUUAUCGUCACUCAGUUUUUUGUGUCGACUGUAGUAGAUGCCUUACCGUCGACUGCAGAUAGAUGAAUGGGCUGAUCGCUAUUGCUCAUGGCAAAGAUGUUGGGUGCUUCCUGGAUUGAGUAGAUGAUUUACAACUCAAUAUACAAAUAAACAAAUCACCAAAUGUGAUGGAUUGUCUUUCAACUCAAUAUGCCCUACAUACCCCUUUGCCGGCUGCCAAUUACCAACGACCCACUUUACCAAGACGUUGAGUGAGUAUCGCUGUCUACAUCAUUCUUAUCAACUACUACACCUAACCAUGCAUCAGCCAUAAAACAUGUAUUCUAAGAUCAAAAGCCAUGAUUCCACCAAUCUAUACUUGGAACUUGGAAGUCAUGAGGUUCAAGUGAAACACAUAAGAAAUUACCUUGUUUCAGAUUGCCUUGUUCAAGUGAAACACAUAAGAAAUUACCUUAGUUCAGAUACCAAGGCAAUCUGAAACUGAUUCUGAAGAACUGCACACAACCUCAUUCAGUUAGGAAACAGUUCAUUUUUACAUCUGUAACAUCAAGUUGCAGGAUCUCUGCUCUGCAUCCUAGAAUUGAUCCAAUGCUGCAGAACAGAAAAAAAAAAUUCAAAAUAAAUUAAAGAAAAAUGAUACUCGGCCAUGAUAGAAACGAUGGCACUGUAGUAUGAAAAAUGCCGUCAGUUUCUGUGUACUGGUGCUGUAACAUGAACAGUAUCCUAUUUUCUAUCUUGGUGGUCUUGAUUGUGUCCAAAUAUCAGUACUCUAAACAAAAUGCCAGUGCAUGAUAACAAAAAUGAACCGGAACAAGGAAUUUUGUCAUAACACUAUUUAAUCAUGUUUUGUACCUUGGAUUGGUGCGCCCAAGAUCCCCAUGAACAAAUUCCUUGAUAUAUGUUCCAGCCUGCAAUUUCCAUCCCAUCAUUACUAUUUCGUGGUAAAAUGUAGGCCAAGGGCUCAGAGGUAGAAAAUUUCACUCAGGUAAUCAAAGUAAGAAAAUAACUUUUAUUUUCCCCUUUUUCCCCCUGGGCGCUAGGGAGGCAAGCAAAUUGGUAAAAAUAAUAUCUGAAGAGUGUAAACCCUCAUUUCCUUUUGAUAAGAUUCUAAAGGCCAAAUGUGGCUCUGCUGCUACUCAUUACUCACACCAACCAUACAGCAGAAUGCAUAUAGUCAAAAGGCUUUCUGGUCUACACUUCUACUCAAGCUCCAUAGGAUUGCACUGCAAAUAACAAUUUCAUGUGUGAUAAACAGUUCAGAGAUGAAAAUAUUACCUGGGUACACAUGUGCAAAAGGAAAUACUGGGAGCUUCCAGCAAUCUUUUCAAUUUUCAUCCUAAAGUUAGAAGAAAGAAAUUGGAAAUAAGCAGAGAUAGGCUAUGAAACAUGUUAAAUGAUUGUGGAACUAUACAAAGACUAUGCUACAUAAUAGGUAAUUGGAGAGACUCAAACCAAUUUAUAAUCUUUUCACGUUCUAAUGGACUUCGACGGUGAAGCACCCUGAUUGGAGUUUUCUGUAAAAUUUGCUGCAUGAGACAAAGAACAAGAAAAUGAUUGAGAACUUUGUAUCAAUGGAAUGAUAUGCUACUGGUUCAAUUUCAUUUACGCUUUGAAAAGUAAAAUAAAAUGGGAAAUUCAAGGGUAUUUCAAUAAAUUGCAAACUUCUUUGGGCUCUGGUCAUGGCAGUAAUCAUGUUCUUUCUUGUUCAUCCAAAAUCUUGGUGUGGAACCUAACACAAUGCACACAUGAGGGACAGAAACAUGUUUUGUGCUAACUUUCAGCAAAAUCAGAGCAAGCAGUACAUCAACUGGAAUGUGAAAUAUCAGCAAAUUUACAGUAUGGACAAUCGGCGUUACUUUGUAGUUUCGACCUGUGUGAACCUAACUGGACCAACCACAUAGAUAAACUGGUGUAACUUGGAUUCUACUUCAUUGCAGAAGAAGAGCAAGACGAGAACAGGAAUUGCAUAGCCAAAAAGACAUAAUGUAGAAUAUAUUAGCAUACGAUUAGAAGAUAUCAUGUUGCACUCCCUGCCCACUGUUUAGAUAGCAAAUGAAAGUAACAAAUGAAACUGCAUAACAUCUCACUGUUUCCUUGAGAGAAGAUAUGGUCUGAAAGUCUUCAUCCUGAAGCGGGCGAGAGAUCCACACUAAUGCAGCAUAUUGCUUCUGCAUAACAAUAGGCCUAAUCCAGGUCAUCACUUCCAAAUAAAUUCACACUCCCAAGCAACAAUAGCAGGAUGAACUACUAUGUUCGAUUAAUUAGCAAAAGUAACCUGCUUCUCCGCUUCUCCUUCACGCAUCAAGGUCCAACCCUGACUGCCUACUAUUUUAAUAUUCUUUACUCUAACCUGCAGUGUUGAAUGAAGUUAACCAUAAUCAUCUACAAAUCAGGAGAGAAAAAUACACCACAUUAAAUUUUACAUCUGACUUACUAAUUUAUUUUCCAAGCUAUUUAUCUUAGAUUCUAUUUCUUUCACAAGCAACUCAGAUGGUACUUCACGUGCAUUUUGUAUCUCAAACAGAAAAGGCCUACCUGAGCCUAACAUCCGAACCUGGAAAAAGAAAUUAAUUUUUAUGAGGAAAUUAUUUGCUGAUCUCAAACAAAUAUUGAACAUAAAGCAUAUCUUCAUUACAUCUAUAUCUUCUCUACCAGCAGCAUGAAACUUGUAACUGUCACCCCGACACAUAGGAAGAAUGUUACCACCUAUAAUCUCCUGAGGAGUAAGCAUAUGAAAGUUAGUUCAUGAACCUCAUUUGCGAUGUUAAUGCCAUCAGCAGAGGAAAUACCUCAAUAGAUGCUUCUCCCAUUCUUUCCUCAUCAAUAAUCCAGCGUGUUUGACUCACAUUUCUCGAGUACUGCAAUAUACAUGAAAAAAGAAAGAAAAACAUUAAGAUCAAAGAAAAGGUUAAAUUGCAAAGUGCAAAGUUACGUGUUAGAAUCCUCUCCGAUUUAAACUUGAUCUAGAAACGUUCCUUUGCCAGGUUAAUAUAGCUUCAACGUAUUCUUAGUGUUGUAAACAAAGCAAUUUCAUGAAGAAUAUCCUUUAUCCCCAUAUUCAUGAACUACAUACAAGCCCCUCCAAACUUGAGAAGAUCUGGUUCCUCCAAACUUGACAUACCUUCAGAUAUCUUCCACCGAAGUAGAUAGGAGUCCGGAAGCAAAGACACUCCAAGCGGCAAGGUUCAUUGACCUACGAAGAAAUCCAAACCAGAUAAAAUGCACUACCACGUCAAAGAUAAUGAACAACGAAAUGUCUGUUACAACAAACAAAAGCAAUAAUCAAUCAAAAACAUAAAACCAAUCCACUUUUUCGAAUUGUAAAGAAAGUCCUAGAAAAUGUAAGUCAUUUAUCUAUUAAUUACAAAGUAGUUGCUGCCACAUAAGUCAAUCGAACUUUCUUUCCAAGUCAGCUGGAAAGAGCAACAUUUUCCAAUUUUCUCUUUAAUCCAGUAGAACUAAUUAUGAGUUCACAACUGCAAAUUCUAAAAUGAUUCAAAACAUAGCAAACAGACCAAACAUUUUCCAAGCAAAAACUAUUGGUUGAAACAAAGUAAAAACCUUUUUUAAGGGGAAUUCAUGGGUCUCAGAAGGUUCAUUAUCUUGCAAACCAUUAGAGGAUUUUUCAUCAACUGGAAUCACUUCUAUUGUAGAAACAACAGAAUUUUCAACACCUGUAAUCGCUGACUUAUCUUUGACAGUGUCCAAGCAGUUCUUAGCAUCUGUAUCAAUCAAUGAAGAUUUACAAAUUUAGUGCCAUAUAAAAUUUCAUUUUUUUCUAAUAAAAUGUAAAUGUAAAAUGUUUAUUUCCAAUAUCAAUGUCAUUAGUCUCUGCAUAAAUAAAUAUGACUUGCCUACUUUCCUUCUUUUGCAGCCCUCAAUUUUCUCUACAAAGUUCUGGAUUUUUAUUGAUGCCUCAACAUGACUGUAUGUCAAACGAAUGUGGAAAGUGCUUAUACCACAUUUAACAUCCUGCAAAACUUUCAUACAAUGAAGGAUUAACAGGAAACAAGUAUUUUAAAUGUCUGCACUGUUCUAAACAACAGAAAACUCCAGUCUAUGGCAAAAGAAAUUCCUUGUUCCUUAGGAAUACCAUAGAAGAACUCAUUACUUAUUGAAAAUAGAUGUAAGGAUUUUCACAGGUGAUAUUACCUAAUGCAGAACCAAUUGAAAGAAAACAUAUUUAAUUACCAGCAAUGUCUCAAGAGGAUUUGUUAAAGCAAAUUUUAAAGCAUCCUUUGUAGAACUGCAUUCAGAAAUUGAUCUUUCUUUGAACCACCCUUCAGAUCUAUACUUUCUUUUCACAUACAAACUAAGCUUAUUUUCAUUCUCGAGGAUUAUUGGCGGCAUAGAAACUUCAACAGAAAAGCUAUCAAUCUGAUGUCCUUCUUUCUUUACUAGUUCGGCAAUUGCAAUCGCAAAAUCACAAGCACUCUCAUUUUCCAUCACCCUCUCUUUAUCAUCACGGUAAGUAAAUUGUAAGAUACCUAAGCAACUUCUGCAAAUGUUUGGCUCAACACUGCUAAUAUUUUGGUGUAAGUCCGCUUGUUCUCCAAGAACAUGACAUAAUAGUGAUUUGACCGAGAGUGAGGAACAAAUAGGAACUUGCAUUCCAAAUAGGCGAAAAAUGCAUCUCAGGCACACCUGCAAUACAGAAAACUCCAUAAAUCCUUAAAAAAAAAAUGAAUCAGUUUUUGAGGUUAAUCAUAAAGAAACUAAACCCUAAGCAACUAAUUUUCAAUUUCUAAUCAAACUAUUAAUAGUGCUGUGAAAUGACUGACUAACAAAACUAAUUUGACAGGUUUAUAAAAAAAAAUUUUAACAAUUUAAAGAUGAUAAAGACGAAGAUAAGCGCUAACCUCUUUGGACAAUAAGUCCUUUACGGCGUCAGUAGGCAAGAACUGAACGGCGUCGUUCAGAAGCUUCUCGUUUUUGUCUUCGUCGGUAGGGAUACGCUCCACGUCGGCGGAGGUAGCAUGCGACUCCGAGGCGUUGUUAGUGGGCGCGUCUUCGGUUUCGUUCGCCAUUUGAAACUGUUCCUCGAUUAAAAAUGGCGGCAGUCUCAGUUAACUCCGUAGUUUAGUUCAGUGAGUUGCAGCCUUUAGUAAAAAGGCGAGGCAAUUGCGUUGGAUAUACUCCGUUUCCCUUAUAAUACCCAAAAUAUACCUCAAUCUAUUAAAAUUUAUAAUUUUACACAUAUAUAUUUAAAAAAAUUAAAAAAAGUAUAAAAAUAACCUCAAUAAAAUGUCAACAAAAAAUUAAUACUCGACUCAUUCAAUAUACUUACUCGACUUCUUCAAUUGCCUUCACUUUUUACUCAACUGAAUACUCAACUUAUCAGACUUCAUACCCGACUUCAUACUCAACUGAAUACUCAACUUACCAGACUUCAUACCCGACUUCGUACUCAACUAGAUACUCUACUUAUUCAAUUGCCUUCACUUCUUACUCAACUGAAUGCUCAACUUACCAGACCUCAUACCCGACUUCGUACUCGACUUAUUCAAUUGUCUUCACUUCUUACUCGACUGAAUGCUCAACUUAACAGACUUCAUACUCGACUAGAUACUCGACUUAUUCAAUUGCCUUCACUUCUUACUCGACUGAAUGCUCAACUUACCAGACUUCACUUCUUUAAAAAUAUUAAUACUCGACUCAAUGUAUUUAUCCGACUUAAUACUCGACCUCUUUAAAAAUUACAUAAAUUUUACUUGACUUGUUCAAAAAAUUUACUUGACUUUUACUUAAUACUCAACCACUUAAUACUCGACUCAUAUAAUAUACUUACUCGACUUCCUACUAGAACAUAUACUCAACUUAUUUAUCUCUAAUUCUUACUCGACUAAAUUCUCGACUUACCCGACUUCGUACUAGACUUCUUCCUGCAUUGAGAGGAAGAAAGGUGUGGAUUAUUGAUUUUUUUUAAAGGUUAUUUUUUACUUUUACUAUCUUCGUGAGGUAUAUGUAUGUAAUAGGGUAUAAAUUUAAUAUUUAAGGGUAAAUUAGGGAUAUUUAAAUAAAAAAAUCCAGUAAAAAGGCAGUCUCCACCGUAGCCGGACCCAACUAAAAUAAUAGGAAACAAUUAAAGAAUACAACCACGACAAAACCAUGGUUUUUUUAAAAAAAAAGAUUAUUUUAAGAGAAAUCACAGAUUUAACAUACAUAUUAUGUAGUAUCCGUCUAAUAAAAAUCUAAAGGUUGUAAAAAUAACAUAAUUUUACUAUUUUAUAUUUUCACAACCAUUAAAUUUUCAUCAAACGACUACCAUAUAAUAUGUUACGUGAUUAUAUAACGUAACAAUCUCUUUAACUUAAAUAAUUUUAUUUUUCUCAUAAAAAAAUUCUCAAAUUUUACUAAAAGAAUUAAAAAUUUUAUCAUGAUUUUGUUUCAUUUGUCCUAGACCAGUAACUGUAAGUUGCGGAUAAUAUCUGUUAAGUUCUCCGUUAAAAUCAAAAAUAUUUUUGAAAUUUAACUUUGCUGCGAAGCUUAUGACAUAAGCCUAAUGAUAAGAAAUUUAAAGAAUAUAUACUUUUUCCGGGCAAAAUUAUGGUGCAACUGUACAUCCAACCGUUAGAUCUAGCUACAGUUGUCACCAUAAGCUGGAUUUAAUAGCUGAAAGCAACUGUGGUAUGGUAUCACAGUUGCACCAUAGCCAAACCUUACUUUUUCUUUAAAAUAAUUUUUAUUUGAAUAUAAUUAUCUCGGAAAUGAAUUUUCCUUAAAACAAUUUUGGAAAUACACUAAGAUAACAGCCGUCUUAGUUAACUUAAUUUUAAUACAUUAAUAUCUUGUUGAAUUGUUAACGCUAUUUUUUUUUUUUUUUAAAUUAAGUUUUCUUCAUGACAAAAUAAUCUCAAUUUGAAAACAAUUGGCUUGGAGUUGGAACCGCACUCACAUGUCUAAGGAGGAGAUUGAUUGAUUACCAUCAAGCUAAAUGGAAAAAGAAGAAAAAUCCUGUGUACUAGUAAUAUCUAAAAAUUAAGGUAUUUCCAUUAAUUUAUUCAUGUAAAAUGCGACAGCUUUAAAUGCCUUAACCAAUAUACUGUUCUCUUCCAACAAUAACUAGCAUCAAUUAUUUAGACCAUAUGAAAAGAGAGAGUAAAAACAUGUAAUACAACAACAAAUGAAAUUACAGCGAUGAAGCUAAACGAUGAACAUCUACAAAGCCAGAGAGCACACUUCGAUUUCGUUCUUUUACCUUUACCUGAUAAAUGACCCUGCAGGUUAAAACAAAAAAGCUCAGAACUGUACUCAGCACACACAUAAAAAGUUAAAUGUAAAGUUACUGCCCUUGUUAAUCCAAAGAGAAAAGGAAAUACACCUCAAGCCUUGAAGCCACAUUUCGGUGACCAAAGUUUCACCAGGGUACACAUGUAAAAGGAAUCGGCUGAAUAUAUUCUUGACCAUGUUUGGAUCCCCUCUACAAAUAAAUUUGAUGAUUGCCCUAACUGCAAACCCCAUUGUACACAGCCCAUGCAAUAUUGGCCGAGAGAAACUUCAACACAGAAUGUAACACCAUCAGAAAUGCCAAGUCUAAUAGUGAAAGUGGUAAUUAACUAAUUCAGUUUUGCAAUUAUGAUUGAGUACUGACCCAGCAGCUUUUGCAACCAUAGGAUCUGAAUGAAGAGGAUUAUAAUCACCAGAUAGCCUAUACACCAAUGCCUGCAGAUGGUAUAGCAAAGCUUCAACCAGAGAAUCUCAUAUGGAAAGUUCAUUAGUUUACUCAUGCACCACCCAAGAGAAAGUUCUUAUAACACGUGUAUUAAGAAUAGAUUAUACAUACUCUCAUCAAUUCAAGCACAAGAGUUCAAAUAUAAAAAACUUUGAAUUCCAGCAAUAAUGAAAUUUGAUGCUACAUGCCUGAGAUGGUUGGGUAUAAUCCUCAAAUACUGCAAAAGGUUGACUUUUAGGGAUUUUCACAGCUGAAACCGGGAUAGUUUGAUAUUUUGAGUAGGAAAAUGGUUGAGAUGAAUUUGAAAAGCCGCCAGCGCCCCGCAAAAAGGCAGUCAUCCUAUAGAAUAUUAUCCUUCCCGAGUCAAUAGAAUGGCAGGACCUUUUUCUUCAAUCUUUCAAUAAAAAGCAUAUGACAUGACAACAUUAGAAUGGGAUGUUUCAGGAAGGACUCACCUAUUCAUGCAUAACAGUUCACCAGAUUCUGCAUUGUAACUUUUGGUUUCAAUCUCAAGGAUAGCAGCUUUACCUGUAAAUAAAUCAACACAGGAAAUAGAGAAACAUCAAAAUAAUUGCACAAAAUAUAUCACAACCAUUCUCCCUCAUCCAGCAGGAUAAAAGAUGAUAGCCCCAAAAAAUCAGUCAUUUUUAAGCUUUACGCAUACGUACAUUUCACAAGAAGAUAAAAAACAUUUCAGAUCAAAUCCAUAUAGAAGAUUUGAGAUUUUGGGUUGCAAUGAAUUUUUCUUCAAAAGAAAAGAGCAGUACAACCAACUCAUCAGUACUGAUUGUACAUGUAGAUGGACUCAAAGACUACUAAAACAUUUACCAUACGGUAACUGGGGCACCCCUAAUUUAAGCUCCCUUUAUUUAAGUAAAAAACUCUGUUAACACAAGUUGUUUUACCCUUAUCGUGCAAUCCGGCAAUACAUGCUUCAUUUCGUAUCUGCAUCAAUAAAUAUCAUAAAUUAGCUCAUUUAGUGUACCUCAACACAACAAAACAGAGAAGUAUGAGAAUGGAAACAAUUAAAAAGUGCUCCUGAUGAGAGGGCAUACAGAAGCGCUAGAAGGAAAUGGCUUAUACAGUUCCAUGUACUGUUGUCCAUGCAGCAAAAGUUGUGGAUCAUAUCUGUUAUGUUGCAACAACAUAAACCAGAAAUGCAAUUAGUUUUUCAUUCAGUAUGUAAGAAUGAAAUAAAUAUAACAAACCAAUGAGUUUAUUAAGAAAACAGUCUGAUUUCUUUCUUUUGAAGUAUUUGAUAAAACUUAAAAAUGAUACAGAAAAUGGGAUAAGUUAAAAUAGCAACAAAAAAUCAAGUAAGCUUACUGCAGUCCUGGAAGAUCCAUGGCACCACUUGGCUCCAAUUCAAAUGAAAACAAAGCAGAAAAUGUGGGCAAGACCUACAAAGUGGAAAGCAUGACAAUGGAUCAAAAUCCCCACAAUAAACUGUAAUGUUUUUUAGCUAGCAUUCCAACAAUGUAAUGCUAUGUAGUCAUGAUCAGAUAAUUAGUUUAUUACUGUAACCAAGAUCAAGAUGCCAUCCUCCCACAUUGGCUUGACCAGAAAAAACAAAAUCACGAUGAUAAAUGCAUAUAAUGUUGUCAACAAUAGGAAAUCCAUCAUUUUACUUUAUUUUCCUUUAGCCUUUACUCAAACUCCUGAACAAAAACUAAAUCCCUCUCAAGGUUGCUGUUAGUGGGAUGGUAAUCCAAUACAUGAUAUGACUACAGGCAACUUUAGUACUUUAUUAAACUAGUAGUACCCUCUAAAUACAAAACUGACCAAAUUAAUCAUAAGCUUGGUUCAAUACCUGGAUGAACUGCUGCCCAUUUUCAUGAUACACAUAUUUGAGCUCAUCAGCAUCCACAGCAUUCCGUCCACACGCUCCAACACCCAAGGCAUAGAUCGCAGCAUCUCUGUUCGCAGAACAAACUUAUUACUAUCAUAUGCUUAUGAGUAUAAUAUGGCACCAGAGCCAAUGAAUGUUUAGUAACAGUGAAUACAUUCCAUGGACCGCAGGGAAAGGUCAACCGUGGAGGAAUUCUUACCUUUCAGUGUAAGUGAAUGUCUUCUGCUAGUGCAAUCCAUUGCGUCCAAUGAUGUAUAUAUAUUUGUGCAACAAAGGAUAAGGAAAAAAGGGGGAAAAAGAAUUAGUUAGAAACAGACGUUCUAAAUUAAUACGCAAGUGUAAAAAAUGAUUGGUUAAAAAAGAAAAAUGCUAUAAGUUGAAGAAGAAGAAGAAUUAAAAAUUGGAAGAAGAAAUACCUCGGGGAGUUUUUGAGAGAGGAGGAGCUCUGGAUUGAGACCUGAACUUUUCGCCAUGGAAGCCCCUCUUAAGAUUGAAAGUAGCUUUUCAAUUUCUGCUCAAAAGCGUUUUCAAAAGUGAAUUCACCAUGUGCUUUUGAUUCUGAACUAAAAUCACUAUGUACUUUUGAUUCUGAAAUAAAUAGCAUUUAAAGGAUUUUGAUACUGCGAUGAAUAGUUAAAAGAAAUAUUGGCCGGGAUUGAAAUGGAAAUAUUGACAAAGUUGAAUUUUCUCGCAGGGAUGCGAUGGAGAUGACGCUGACGCAGCGGAUCACUAUAAACGACAAAGUCUUGAUGACGUGGGUCCGUUAGCCAUACUUCCCAUUCACGCACGGCACGUCUGUUAGCGGCCUAGUCUUGCGUGUGCAUACCAUGUACACGUUGUAUUUAGAAUGGAAUUAACACGAGAGAGGCAGAGGCAGAGGCAGACGGUAAAAUUAUAAGAGUAAAUAGAAGGUAGCAAAUUACGUCAUCCCUCGCAGGUUUUUUUCAUUUGUGCGGUGAGAAUGGGAGAGAUUGAAACGGUUUGUUAAGGAUAAUCCACGUAUUAAAAUUUUUCAAUAAUAGUCGUAACAGGAGAGAAAUUAAAAUUCUAAUAACAAUAAAAGUCGGUAGCUGGACUUAAAUCUACGCCCCCAAACUUUCAAGCCGCAGAUUCUACCUUCGUAUUUACAAAGACGUAUUGGAAUUUGGAAGGCUGACAUAUCGAUAAUUUGCCUUGGUUAAGAUAGAGAUACUCAACGGCCUGUCCUGGGAUAACACUGAGCGGAGCGGACAUACUUCAAUAUUCGCAUUUAUCCGUUAAAACCUUGCAAAGUAGUGAAUAUAAAUUAAAAGGUCACAUGGCAAAAUAGCAAAUAAAUGCAAAGAUGACUUACAUAAAACCUUUCAUUAAAAUCGUGUAGAAUUCAUCUUCAUAAAUUUUACGUAGAUGUCUAUUAAAAUGUGAAAAGAAAAUAAUAUGUUAUUUUGCAUCAAAAUCCAAACUAUGAGUCGUAAAUAGUAUACGUUGAUGCAUACUAUUUACACUUGUCGUUUAUAUAAAUAAAGUAGAUGUCACAUCGUCUCUGAAUAUAUUAAAAAAAUGACAUUUAGUUUUGGAAUUUAUUGACAAACGACAUAUCAUCUAGGACCUGCUUUGCCAAAGUUAAUGGUAAUUUUUUUUUCAUUUUUUUUUGUAAAGUGCAAGAUUUUUGUAAGGAAAAAAAAAAAAGAAACAUUUCCAAGUAAAUUUACUACCUCUGAUUUUAUUUUGAAUUAGCUACUGGCCUUUGAGUUUUUUAAUUUCAGUUUUAUAAAUGGUCUCUCUAAUUACCAUCAACUUUGAUUUUCUAUUUUUUCUUUCUUAUAAAGAUUGCUGUUGUAAAAUCUAGUUUAGAUACAACAAUUUGUUUAUUUUUCAACGACAUUACACCAAUAUCCUAAAAUUUUAAUUUGCAAGCAGGCAACAGAUGACAAGUCGGUUUUAGGAGAAAAUCCAAACAACCUGCCCUCCUGUCAUUAUAGGGAAAGACGACGUGUCGUCCCUUUUAUUUAUGUACCUGACAGGCACAAAUGGUAAGCGCAGCGCCAGUGCGUACCAUUUCCCACCCAUCACUGCUUUUUAUAAAAAAAACGACGUGUCAUUUGCAUCUAUUUUCGUCAGACGUGUUGUCAUCUUUGUGUUUCAUUCAUCAGCGACACUUCAUCCACUAGGAUGAAUUCCGCAUGAUUUUAAAAUAUAGUAAGAGGUCGUUUGUUUUUUUUUUUUUAAAUUACAUAAAUGCAAACACGACUUUACAUAAAUUUUUUUCAAGUCCUAUAAAUAAUUAAUACCAUUUAUCCGUUUUCGGUGGUUACCAUCAGCAUUUUACCCGUUGGUUUCCUAAAGACAGUAACCCAGAUCUUGAAAAUGGCAAACGAGGAAGAAGCAAAGCUCCCCAAAAAAAGUUCCACUUAUAAAAUAAGGAAUAGAUAAUACAGUGGCUCCGGGACACUGCAAUUUAUGGUAACGUAGGGAUAACAUCAAUCGAUCACUGACAAGAGUUCCCGAGCCAACACCAAAAUUACAGAUCCAUUACAUUAGUUGCGGACAGCUAAAACACUUUCACCUCACCAGCCACAAACACAGCCGCCUACAUUGCUUUUUGAACAAAACUAAAAGCAAACCAACAAAAUUUAAUGUUUAGCAAAAUAAACACAUUGAAAUCCAACAUUAAGAAUACAGUACUUGUUUGUAAGAAGAUGCCAAAAUAGUUUGUUACUACCAAAAAUGUUUCCACCAACCAAACAAUCUGACAUGAUAUCUUUACAUCCUAUCUUCUCUUCUCCUCGGCGCACAAGUGAUAAUUUCAUCAACUCUGAGAAUCAUCUCGGCAGCCUCAGUUGCUGAAAGCAGUACAGCCUGCUUAACUUUGAAUGAUUCAGAAAUCCCCAACUCAGCCAUAUCUCCUACCUGCCAUUAUUUAAAACAGCAACAACCACGGUAAGGGUUAUAGACUAGAAAUGUUUUUCAUGCACAUCCUCUGUUAGAAAAAUUACAGGGAGGUGAUAAACUCAAAAAAGAAAAAAAAAACAUUGCAGUGUCUAUAUUUCCGCCAAGAAAGUACUAUGAGAUUACUAUGGCAGAAAUAGCACUCGAAACCCAGAGCAAACAACAUUCAAAUUCCUUAAUUUCAGAACUUACAGAUCCAGAGAUAACGUCAAUGCCUGCAGGGCAUCCUUCCUUCUGGUGCUCUGCACGGAGCUGAGCUAUCAACUCAGCACUGUCUAGACCAGCAUUGUCAGCAAUGGUUGUUGGAAUGGCAACAAGUGCCCGUGAGAAAGCCUCAAUGGCAUGGGACUUUUUCCCAGGAGUCUUACGUGCCAGCUCAUCCACUUCCUUGGCCAUAACCAUCUCAGGCCAUCCACCUCCAAACAAAACCCUGCUGUCAUUGACUGUCUGAGACAGCACACACAAGGCAUCAUGCAGAGACCGCUCAGCCUCGUCAAGCACAUGAUGGCUGCCAAAAGAAAUGAACAUAAUAAAAUAAGACAUUAAAGAAAAAGUCAGCACAUAAUACUCACAAGCAAUUAGGCCCUAGAUAUAUCCAAAUAAGCAUAUAUGCCAAAAGCUAGAUCAAACGAACACUAUAAAAAAGAAUGUAACAUAAAGUACCUUGCACCUCUCAACACUAUGGUACAAGCCUGACCCAUUUCAACACCAGAAAAGUGGAUCAACUUGUCCUCGCCAAUCAUAAUUUCCUCAAUAAGCUUGCAGUGGCCAAGCUUAACUGACUCUGGAUUAUCAAAGGUUGAUGCAAUUUCACCACCAGUUACUAAAGCCAGACGCUCUAUACCAUCAAAAUCAGCAUGCUCAAUUGCAAGUAUACCCGCAUCUGCAAAGAGUUCCUCUGGAAAAUUGUAAAUCAACUGCCUAUUAACGAAGCAGUUAAUCCCAUGAGCUAUUAUCUUUUGCACCUUUUCUCUCAUUUUUUGCUUCUCUGCACCUUCUAUCUCAGCGGCCUUUGACAUUGAAUCAACACGAACACGUGCCCCAUAAAUUUUCACUUUAUCUGUAUCCAUUGCAGUAUUUGCCACCAGUAUUUUUGCAUUCUCUAUACGUUUUGGUUGUCCAAUGCCAAUUUUCUUGUCAAGAAUGAAUCUGAAAAUGUUCCAUAAGUAAAAUUCAUAAAAUCAACCAGAUGUCAGACAGAGAGAUAUAUCCAAUGAACAAAAUUACACAAAAGCAUAUACAUCAUGUAAGUUAUCUAAACUGUUCCUUCCAACAGAUUCUGCUUCAGUUGAUAUCUCAGAUACUUUUAAGCACAAUUAUGCACAUUUCUACAUGGUGUGCAAACCUAAUAUAACAUAUUGGAUAUUCGGCAAAAUCAAUAACACUAUAACAAGAUAGUUUUUGUGCCCCACCCCUCAUCUAGAAAGGAAUCCUUCAGUGAUCCUCCAGGCUUCUUGAUAAUUUGGAUGGACUCUAAAUUUGUGCUGCCCUGCAAUUUGUAAGAUCAUGGUCAGAAGAAAUCCAGAAAGAAAACAUAAAAAUCAAACAUAACAUGUAGAAUAGUAAAGGGGCUGUCCAGAGAAUGUAAGACAACAUUUUAAAAUCCUAUCUGAAAAAUAUGACAGUGUUCCUAUUCUCCAAAAUGUAGAAUAGUAAAGGGGCUGUCCAGAGAAUGUAAUACAACAUUUUAAAUACUGAUCUGCAUGAAUCAAGUAUCUCCAAGUGAUAGUUUAAUAUGUUUGAGUGUUUCUCUCAGUGUAGCUUAUCAUGAAAAGUGUGUCAGACAUGAGCAUGUGUUUCAAUUGAUUCUUAAACUACUUGAUAUAUGAAACGUAUUACCUUAAGCCUCAUAACAGCAUCCACAGCCAGUUGAGCAAAAUGUUCUUUAUCCUGUGAGAGAAUUUUUGAACUCAAAGUAGUCAUCGCAAUCUUCAUCAAGUCUGACUUGAAUUUUUCUGCAUUAUUCAGUAAUGUCAUGAAUUAAUCACAAAUAGUAGUUCAAAAAAAUUAAUAACGAUAAUAAUAAAGAAUUCAAGGUCGUCAUGCUAAUUUGAGGUAUUCAUAGUAUUUUGACCACAAAUUACAACCAAAAAAUCUCAUUCAUGUCCAAUUAUCAUCUAAAGAAAUGUGUAUUGACAAGUUGUCGGGAAGAAUGGAAACAGAGGAAUUAUGUCAAAUAAAAAGCUUUAGACAAUGCUUCACAUGGGUAAACAAAUCAAUCACCUGCAUUCUCUUUGUUAUCCACAACCUUUUGCAACAAAGCAUCGCGAGCGCAUUCAGCUGCCAUCCGGAAACCUAAACAACAAAAGAAUCAUCAGCAGAAAUGCUAUUAUCAUCUACAUUUCAGAUGGCAUAAUAAUAAAAUUAUAAGGAAAAUACAAAAAAGAAAUCUUCAAUACCCAUGCACACUACAUUACUAAUUUCGUGAGGGAUAGAUUUCUGAUAUACAAAACAUAGAGGAAAAUUGAUCAUACACAAAUAUAUAUCUUUUUGUUUACCAUAUUAUAAGGGAUGCUAGACAAGAUUUUCUACUACCAUUCACAUCUGUCCUUAAAAUUAUACAAAACAACAAUGCAUAGAAACAGAAUUGCUACUAAAAAUAUUGCCAGAUCCAUGAAAUGAUCAAGAAAUAUCACUGUUAAACCACAAUAAGCAAACUUAGAAUGGUAGCACAAGGUAUAAUAUUUACAUAAAGAUGAGACUUGCAAUACAGUAAAACAACCACAAAAGCAAAUAUUUGAAAUAUAAUUUCAAAUAUUGGAUCACAAUACCACAUGAAAUAAAAAAAGCUCUCAUAAGUAACUUCUAUUACAAGACCAAAAAAAUUAAAAAAAAAAAAGAAGAAGUAUCAAUGCACUAGCAGAAGCCUAGAGGAAACCUGAUAUUAUGGUCAUUGGGUGAAUCUUAGCAGCCACCAGCUUCUCUGCCUCCCUCAGAAGCUCCCCAGCCAAAACAACAACUGAAGUUGUCCCAUCACCAACUUCGUCAUCCUGAACCUUAGAGAUGUCUGACCCUUGAUUAAGGAUCAUAAAGCAAAGGAAGAAGGAAUAAUCUUUUUUCUAUGGGUUAUGUGUAACUAUUCUACUGGCGUGGCUAAUUGCACCACUUAAAGAGUUUUUUUCUGAAAAAAUGCUUAUACAGUAUGUAUUUUUUUUUUUUUUUCCAGGAAAACAAGAUAAACAUCAGCCCACCAUUACAACAAAUCAACAGUAAUACAUUAACCCACCAUUGCAGCAAAUCAACAGUAAUAAGGAUACCAACAAGGACUUUAGCAGCUGGAUUAUCAAUGUGUAGGGACUUAAGUAUAGUGGCCCCGUCAUUCGUAACAGUGACUUCACGUCCUCUGCCGGUUGACUGUAGAAUUUUAUCCUACAUGGAUGAUUUACAGCAACCAGAUAGUUAAUAGAAAGGUAGGAUAAAGGCUACUACUGAAGUAUUUUAAUCUUGAGCAAUAUUCAUGGUAGCAAGUGACCUUACCAUUCCCUUUGGCCCUAAGGUUGUCUUAACCAAGUCAGCAAUUGCCAUUGCACCAACAAAUGAUGCCUACAAAAAUAAAUAAAUAAACAAACAUGAUUAUUCCACAAAAGCAUAAGGAAAAACAAGUUAGGAGUUAACGCAUUCCAACAAAUUAAAAAGGAAAAAAAGAAUCCCCACAAUGUCCUCUAAAUGAAAAAACAAUUUGUUUUCUAGACAAUAUUAUCCAGGAAUAUGUUAUCAAAUGAAUAUUGUAUGUACGCCUCCAGUCAUGCUUAAGAAACACAAAUAUACAUCAUCCAAUAUCCCAGUAGUCAAGUACUCACCAUUCUGGCACGCUCUCCUUUCUCUUCGUUAGCUUCAUCUUUAAAAAUUCUCUCUACCUGAGAAAACAAUCACCAGCCACGUUUGAAAGAGAGCCAAAAAGGAAAAAAAGGUAAACAUAAAACAAUCACAAACUGCUAUGCUGUGAAACAUACCCCCAUCGAAGAAAAUGUAAAUGAAGGCAACUAAAACCUGGAUGCUAAAAUGAAACCCUGAAAAACGCAAUCAAGAAGUUAACAUAUAUUUGCCAAUAAACACGUAAUCGGAUCUUAAAUGCUCCAUAAAUAAACCCUAAUAUUUCGUAAUAAUUAUUGAAACUUAUUCGCUCACAUUUACUUGUAGUCAACUACAAAAUGGGUAGAGAAUGCUAACAAAUAACAACAUUAUUCAACAGUUUUUUGCAUUUCCCCAUUUUCCCGAGAGACAAACAGAAGUACGAUUUCAACAAGUACUGAUACCGUGCAAUAAAAAAUGAAACUGAAACCCUAACUUAAACAAAACCCUAGAAAGUUAAAGAUAGAGUAAGUAAGCUGCCUGAUCUUAAACCGGUGAUUUUCGACCCUGCUAGGUUUUGAUAGUCGGAUCCCGCCGAAACUGAAGAGUGUUGUGUUUUAGGCUUCGCUUUUCUACCAGUUGUUUUUUGAUUCAGUGUGGCAGUGUGUAUUUUUAUCCAUAGAAUCGACCUCUGUUACACGCGCAAAAGAUUGACUUUGUCAGUCAAACGUCAAUAACUAAAAGACCGGAGUAGCUGUCGUAGGAUUAAGUGGCCACGGGAAGGAGAAGGGAGCAAUAAUAAUGGAUGAGCUAAUGCGUAUAGAAUCUUGUGGAUUAUUUUAUAAUUCCCUUUAAUUUGUUUGCCGAAGUUUCCCGAAUUUAUUGAAAAAUUUUAUGUAGGCUCUGAAGCGAAUUUACUUACAUACCACUACUUAGCAAAUAUUAGGGCUUGUUUCGAUGAAUUUUUUAAAAGUAGUUAUUUUAAUAAAUUAAUUUUUAAGAAUAAUUAAGAAAUUAUUUUUUAUAAACAGUCUAUUAGAUUAACCACCAUGACUUUUAAAGUUUAUAUGAUAACUUUAACGUUUUAAUAAAAGAUAAUUUUUUUUUCAUAAAUCCUGCUAUAUAAAUAAAAAAAAUUUAAACUUAUGUCUAUUUUAAUCUUUAUAUAAUAAAGUAACACUUUUAUAAUAAAAUAUAUAAAUACAUAUACUAUUUUUUUAAACCCCCGUCAACCGCAAUAACACAAUUUAUGAAACACUAAACUAUUUUUUUAAUGAAUAUUUUAUUUCAUUUACACAACAGAAACAACUUAUUUUAUCAACUUGCAUAUAAAUCUCCAUUUUCCUCAUCAUUUUUAUCAUAUAUUACAAAUUAAAGAGUUUAAAGACUAUUUUUAGAUGGGGUAGUGCAUCUUGUUUUGAUAAGAUUUGGUCAAAUACAAUAAAUUUAUAUAUUUUGGGAUUUGGUGCCCAGUAUAGUCGAGGUGUGCUGCUUGUUUUGAUCUUUGAUGAAACUUUGAGGAAUGAGGAGCAACGGUGAGUAGAGAGGUAAUGUUUGGGAGUUUGACCACCUUGCAACAAAAUGAGAAAUAGUGGUUAGAAAAAGAACUUGUGGUGGCUGGCGAUUAUACAGCAAUGCUCAUGUUAGUUUUUGGUUCAUUUGGAUGUUAAUAAUUUGCCAACCCUCAACAAUGAAGUCCGCUCGAGGUUGAAGACAAGCCUUGGCAACUUUUUUACAUGCAAGCGUUACUUAGUUAGAGAGAGAAAACCUAAGAGUUUAUAUAUGGAGUGCGCCUAGAAUAUUCUUGUAACCAUCUUUGUUGAUGUUAUUCUAAUUCUACUGAGGCAUUUUCCUCUCCAAGUAGGGAUAUUAUAGCUCAUUUAAGGGCAAAAGUUGAAAACUUUAGUUAUAGAAGCCUGAGUGAAUAAUGUAUAUAUCGUUUAGAGAUUUUUUUUUUUUAAUUUUAUUAUAAUUUAGGAGAUAUCAUGUAUAUUUAAAAAAAAUUAAAAUUUUUACCGGAUAUGACCCACUCUAAUCUCCAUUAAGAUCCGCCAUUGAGCCCAUUUAUACUAUAUAGCUACUUGAACCCUUGGAGCUUGCUUUGAGAAUAAGUUUGCUCGUUAUUCAUGUAAUUUGUUCACACGUACCUCUGAGAGAGUAGUCCUGAAGUUGUCGACAUGGCACAUAUUUACUACUUCCUCUUGGUUGUUUACUUACUCAUUAGUUUUCCUUUUUAGCUAAAUAAAUAACAUUCUCUUUAGGUGAUAAUAACCUCUCACGUCAUUCCUUAUUAUUCCUUUCACUCGUCUAUAGCAUCCUUGGGGUGGCUCAGCUCCCCUUCAUAUUUAACUGUUCAUUACUUAUACUGACACGUGUCAUCCGCAUAUUGGUCAUUUAUUUUUCCGCAAACACAUCUAUCCAAUAAAAACGUUGUCGUACGCCAUACAUAUGUUCAUUCAAUAAAAAAUAGACUAAACAAAUUUAUUUUCAAAUAAUCAGAAAUAGCAGUAGUUAAGAUUAAAAUUAAAAUUAUAAACAUGUCACAUGAUAAUUCGAGGGAUGGUUCUAUUAAAAUUAUACUGCGUAAUACGUUUUCUUUGGAUGAGUACUUUUCAUGAAGUGGCCCAAACUAAUGCUGACAGAAAGAAAUUUUUUUCAUAGUUAUUUUGAUUAAUCAUAAUCUUUUCAUUUUAUUUAUGUAUUUAUUUAUUUUUUUCAAAAGAAGUUUUCAAUGUUCAGUUAAACCCUCGUAUCACUCCUUUCAAGAAGGGGGAAAAAAAAAAAAACUAUCAUUUACACGUGCAUGUCUGAUUAGAAACAGGCUGCAAAGCCUACUAGAGGUUCUGACCCAGGCCCAAACAUUUACUUUAUGAUGGCCCGCAGCAUUAAUAAAGAGAUUCACAGGUCAGUUUGAUGAACAUUGAAAAACAGCUGAUCACAAAUGAAGGGAAGAUAUUACACCAACACUACCGAAAAAAAAAACUGAUAAACACAACAUUCUUCGUAGUUUGAUUGCUUUACAUUCCAUUACUAAAAGCCUGAGCCAAUUAUCAAAUUGAUAAAUGAGAAUCAACAUAAUUUUAAAUAAUACUAACAGUAAUGCUAUAACAGCUACCGCUGUAACAACGGAAAUACAACCUUCAAUAGAAAAGAAUGAGACCUCGAGCUGGGGUCAAUUUCAAGUUCCACUUGUAGACACUCCUCGCAUAAAUAAGCAAAGCAACAUUAAACUAAUCGAAUAUAAGAUUAGAAAUCAAAACUCUACUCGAAUCCACAAAUUGUGUACCCAACGGUGGAUCAUUUUAUUAAAUAAUAAUUUAGAGGGGCCUCGUGUGUCUGCCAGCUGCUUUGCCGCAAAGACGUGCAUUCUUUGGGAUGGGAUAUUCAUCCCUGAGUGAAGUUGAUGCUGUGUAAACACGCAAAUAAAAUUGUUGUCCAAGGUACUGUCGUGCCCAAGACUCAGACCUCAAGUUCCACAUACCUACGUUAUCCAGUGCUAUAUAAAUCGCAGACCAUGACUUGGGAUACACCUGCACUCAUCAUAAAACAAAAGUUAUCAAUUACGUUCUUGAUUCUAACUAGGUUAAUGAUUUUGAUUUUGCAAUCCACAUUCUGAGCUAAAUUAGUGUUAACCUGAACGGUUACACGGGCAACUGCAUCGCGGAGAUUGUACUGGUUUCUACUAGCAGAUGUCCAUUGGCCUCCAUCCAUUCUGCAUUUCAAGAUUUUAUGAUUAAGAGACAAAAAGGACUGAGUUGGUCCUAACUACUAAAUGCAAUUUUGGAUGUGGAACCCUAAGAUUAUAAUGUGCUUACCCGACAACCCAAAAUUGGUAGCCAUUAAGGUGAUAGCUCUGGAUAAUGUCUUCAUCAUUUUGGAACACAAUUUCAAUAAAAGCUCUGUAGUCAGCCCCCAUAACUGCCGUGUCUAGGUAAAUCCCUCCACCGGUAGGAUUAUCAGAAAUGCUUCCGAUGCGGAAAACUCCUUCAAUCUUGAAGUAGUCAGCAAGCUUUAGGGGAGUGUCAGCUGGAAUAAAGGACACGCUGUUGAUUGCAUAUCUCUGCUUGCCAUUAACUUGCCCAGCAGAACUUGAAAGCCUGAUAGUUUUGGUGGUGUUUAUGAGACCAUAGUGGUAUGAACCCUGUGGGUUAGGCCUUGGUCCACUUGCUGUGAGAUUAGACCUGAAAUAUAUAAUUAUCACUAAAUUAGUGCACAUCAUAAACAUUUUAGUGGCACAAUUUUGAAUCACUGAUAACAGGAAAUAAUACAAACCUGAUAGAGCGUGCUUGGUUUAGUGACCAGUCAAUUUGGACAGUUGGUCCACCUGGGAUGGGGCCUGAAACUGGACCUGCAGAGUUACUGUAAUGAAGAAUGCCGGUGGUGGUGAGGACAGUGGAGGUGAAGCGAGAGGAAACAACAAUGUAAUAGUCCCGUGCAGGUUGAUCAGCAGUAACCAAAACGGAGUAUGAUUGUCCGACAUGAACAUCAAGUGAUGAGUAGGUAGUCUGGAGGGUAUGUGUUCCCUCAACUUCUACCAACUUCAUCUUAUGGUUUUGAAUGCGGAAAUUGAGUGAGUUUUGCAAUCCAACAUUUGAUAUUCUGAGCCUGUAAGUUUUUCCUGUAAUGGACAUGGAUAAUGUAGGCGUAAUGCAUGAAUGAUGGUAGGAGUGCACAAAAAUGAUAACAAUUGGCAAAGACUAGAUUUAGAUUGAUUGAGAGCUAACCUUGUUCAACAUUAAAAGCAGCACCGCUCCCCCGGCCAUUGAUAAGAAUUCCAUCGGGGAGAGGUAGCUUCUUGCCCUUAUCAAGAUGUGCCCUCAAGUCCUGCGAAAACACACAUCAAUUCAUCAUCCUUCAAUCACAAAAAGUCGAUUCAAACAGCAAAACAAUUACUAAAUAAUUUUGAACUAGUUGGCAUUUUUCACUCCAACCAUCUCAUUCUAUGAACUUUCAUGAAACAACAUUUCGUGGACCCAAGUAACAAGUGAGAUAAAUGGUUCAAGGUUGACCAUUCCACUUUUUUUUUUUUUUUUCCUGAUGCAUGUGGUUCAGGGGAUUCGAUGAUGAUGGAAUAUGGGCUGACACCUCGGCGAAUAGUAUAAUACACAUUUGGGCCAAUAAAUAGGGCCAUAUCACCCCAUGUGCAAGACAUUAAAUCAAAUCAGUAAUACAUUAAGCAAUAAGCGUCCAUACCAAUUGAGCAAUCUAAUAAAUGUAGAUCUAAUUGGCUCGUACCCAAAAGUCAAAAACUUAACCUGAUACUUGCAGACUGCAGCAUUAUACAAUCCUCAAUUUAAGAUUUAAUAUCUAAACUGUUCACUGGAGUCACAUUGCCAAAACUUACACUUGGCUACAUGAUUAGAGAAAACAAUUUUACUAAGGACAGACUGUUGAUUUUGGAUGUGGCUUCUUUUACUCGAGUCUCUCAACCUAUCACCUAUCUCAAUAGUCACAAACAGACAAAAAAGAGGGGUCAAAGACCCAGCUCAAAUGCAGAAAAGUUGCAUGUCAUAAAUAGUCAAAAGCUCACCUUUGUCACCGACAACCAAAAAGCGGGGGAAAAAAAAAAAAUCCCUUGCCAAAUUGACCAACUUAAAAUAUUUUAAACCCCGCAAAAUUUAAACACCAUGCUCUAACAUUAGUAAAGAUCCUUUAAUACAAGAAAGCUAAAACAAAUCAGCAUGUUAAUCUUUGGUAUAAAUGUGGGAAUGGUAUAUUAUUACCGUGUGAUUGGACUUGUACCAAUCUCCGAUAAGAACAGUGUAAUCGCCGGCAGGAUCUGGGAAGGGAACGGGAAUGCGCGGUCGGCUAAGGAUCCUUAUUCCUCCAAACCCACCGGCUGCUUUGUGGAAUGCAAGGGAAGGGAAAUAGUAAAAGCUACCAAUUUGAUCCUUCACUUGAAGAAUGUAUGUAAAGUUCUUCCCAGGAGGAAUAGGGCAAGUUGUUCCAUAUACACCAUCUUCAAAUGAAUUCCUCCUGUUUUGAAUUCCAUUCCUAUUCUCGCCGCAGAAAAAAAAAGAACAAAUUACAAUAAUUUCUAUUACAUUUGAAAAAGCAAUCAAAUUUAAUCUCUCAAUGCGCCAAUUCACAAUUUCUGAAAAAUGUAAAUUUUGUACUCUAGAUGGACAAAUGGAGUUCGUAACAUUCGUUAAUUAAAUUUAUGCACUGAAAAUGACCAACUCAGAUUUUAGGCCGGUUAUGUUUGUAAAAAGAAUCACUUAAACAUUCAGUAAAAAUUUAUUUUUAAAAUACUGUAAGUUUAAAAAAUAAUUAUAUAUAUUUAAUAAAUAAUAAUGUUAAACUAAUAUAAGAUGAAAUAAUUUUAUUAAAAAUAAUAUUUAAAAAAUUAUUAAAUAUAAAAAUUAAUUUUUAAUUUUUAAAAAUUCUUUGGCACCUUCCAAAAUAAUUCCAAACCGAUCGAAUAUAGAUUUUGAAUAACAUUAUUUUAUGACUCAAAGGUCAAGUUUCCAGCUUUACUUAGCUGCUUCAUAAAACUAGUAGAGUGGAAGACAGCUGCUAACCGAAAAUGGACACGCGGACAAGGCUAGUGGGUCUAAAUUAGGUAAGCUUACAACACAAAUUCAAUGUUUCCAAUCAAUUAACCCCGUUAAUUGCUCCUCUUUUGUAAUGGGAAAGUCGUUUUUCUAUUUUCAAUAGAACCAACCUUUUUUUUUUAAAAAAAAAAAAAUUCAAUAGAAACAAUUUAGUUAUGAAUGAUAACGAUAUCUCAAAGUGUUGGACGGUUAGUAACAGUAGGUAAUACAUGACAAUAUCAAUAAGAAAUUCCACCGCAAGAUACUGUAAGAACGUGCAAUUCUAAAAGACAACGAUAUAAAGCAGAUCCAAUUAGCCAGAUCUACGUUCACAUGAUCUUGUGGGCUGUCUGAGAAAAUUACUAAAAUAUACCCACAUGGCGUUGAAAUGAAUGGAGAAUGAGUACGGUGGACUUAUCGUUUUGCGGAGGGCGCGGCGCGCAAAACAAUGCGGCGUUGUGCGUGGAAUUUUUUUUUUUUUUUAAAUUAUUUUUAAAAGGUACAGUGAUGCAGCGGAAGGAGAGUGAAGGAUCACGGGAGAAAAUUAAGACUUAAAAAGAGAAAAAGAGAAUAAUUAAGAGAUGUUACCAGGAAAGAAGAAAAGGCUCGUCUAAGCUGUUGAACACAUUGAUAAUAAGAUUGUCAUUUGUAACUGAGUGAAUAUCGGGGCCUGGGAAUUGCCAGUUUAUCAAAAUGCCCUACCAAAAAAAAAAUUAAUAAAGGAAAAACAAAACACCAUUUUGAUUAAUCAUUAAUUAUAUCAAACACAAACCAGAUCGACAUUUUAAAGAAAUCGAUAUAAAUGAGUCAUAUGCGUGCAUGUAUGUAAAUGCAGGGACGAACCCGUUGGCGAACGCCGAGGGGAUAGAUGUCGCCGUAAGUGACAUUCCAGUUGAAGAAUCUGUAAGGAUCCUCAGCACUGACAAUGGCGAAAAGGGAACAAAACAAGGAGCAAAUUGAAGCAGCGACAGCUAAGUUUAGCGGCAUUUUGGGGGGAAGGCAGAAGGCUAAGUCAAGUCUUGUUUGCUUUUGUGACCUUUCAGAUUAGUGCGAUGAAUGGGGCGGGGAGAGAGAGUUUUUUUUCCAAAAGAAAAAUUGAAAAAUAAAAGAGGAAAGAAAGAAGUUAAGAGGUGAGUAGUGAAUGAUGAAUGAUGAAUGAUGAGGAAUGGCACGUAUUUAAGUGCGGCACAGAGGAUAUGUGUGAGUGUAGAGGCAACUCAGCAAAUGAGAAAAAAAAAAAGCGAGGGAAAAUUGGAGAGAGAGACUUGAGAGAGGGAGGUAAGAAUUAUAAAAAGGAAAAUGAAAAGAAAAUGGUUGAGUGUCGGUGGUCGGGCCCGACAAGAGCUUAACCCUCACUGUUUAGUUUGGGCUGUUUGUUUUGUGUGUAUAAGUGUUUUUGUCUCCCACAUGGGUUUAUUGUUGCUACCUUGCGACUGUGUGGCGUAUGUGCAUUGUGCCUUUUUUUUUUUUUUUUUAAACAUAACAAAUAAUAAGGACGAAGAAAAUGAAAAGAGAUUGCACGUGACGAGUUUUGCAAACAACACGUAGGUCCCAUUCAAAUAAUUAACCGGGAGUGUUUCAAAAAUCAAAUUUCUUAAUGCACUUUUAUUAGGUUAGCGUAGUUGUUUGAAUAUGGAACCAAAUCAUUGCUUUUAUGCUUUGUUCUUAAGCCUUUAGGGCACUUUUUGGUUUUGGAUCCCCACAGAAAUUACUUACAGGUGCCCGAAACUCAAACUCUAGAAGUAUCAGACCUGGAGUCUUAAGGUUAUUUAUCGCACGAUCCGGCAAUCGAGAGAUCAUCUAAUAGUACUGCAUAUAUAAUACCAAAGUUUAUUUAAGGAGAUUUUGAUAAAUUUCUUUUAGCUGCUUGCGAUGCGAGGUUCAGAAUAUGCUAACAUGUAGCUGCAAUCGGUUUGUAUGUUUAAUCAACUGAAGGAUUAAAACGGAUUGUUCUCAGAUUUUCUUUAUGGUCCCUAAGUGAAGUAGGUUCGCUCACCGGUUUAUAUUAUUUCGCUGUAAAAGUGUAAAUCUCAUUUAUUUCAGAAAGGGCUAUUUCAUCUCAUCUAUGGUUUCAACACCCAGAUAUAUAAUGCAUAAAAAAGUUGUAACGAAAUCAGAUGUGUCUUCGUCAUUUUUGGCAGUGAUUUGUCACGAUUACUUGCAGAUUAGGAGGACGGACCGACUUAUUUUGACGCCAUUACUCUACACUAGGAAUUUAAAAGAACGGAAAAAUAAAUAAUGAGUAGAUGAAGAGCCAUACUCACGCAUUACAAUGUACUGAAAAAGCACAUGAAUUGGUUCGUGACUUUUGCUGUGAUCCACAACGCAAAAGGGUGGCCACAUGUGUGCACAAUAUUCCCCAUUCCAGUAAACUUAUUUUUUUUUUUUUACGAACUUGGUAGUUUUUGUUUAUAUGGACAAAAAUAUGCACAGUAAAAGUCUGCACUUUCACUGGGCAGUGAAAGUGUCACAACAUUCGCCCAAGUGUCGCAACAUUGGCAUAUUUGUUAACCUGAUCCACUAUUCCACUCUAAGGGGUGGAAUUGAGAUUUCAGUUGGCUAGAGCCCAUCAUCGUGCAAAAGUUAUAAAUUUGAGCUACCAUAGUAAUAUAAGAUCAGUAAAAUUUUGAGGACCAACAAUGAGAAUUAUGAUGAAGAAAUCAUAAUUUUGAAGAUGUUAUAAUGUAAAAACUGUUAACUUAACGAGCACUAAAUACUAUUAAACAUGCAUCGAAAUUAGUAAGCUCACUUCCUUUAUUAUUAUUUUUCCGGUUAAUUUUUAAAAACCUCCCCUGAGGUUUGGGCUUGUUGCAAGUAGAUGGCGAGAAUUUAUUUAUUUGUAAAAAAUCUUCUACCGUUAGUUAAUUUUAAUAUUGACCGUUAGUUGACUGUGCAAAGACAAUAUUACCCUUAACAACAGUUUGUAGACGGAAAUAACAAAAAAAAAAACUAAAAUUGUUGGCUAUUUUACCCUCUUUAAAUUAUUGAUAUUUUCUUAAAGUUCCUACAAGAAAGAUAAAAUUAAAAACUUGAAAAUGAAAUAAUCAUAAUCUUUACCUAUGAUAUUGUAAAUCUUUGUAAUUGACAAGGAUAAAAUUGUCAAAAAAUAGGGUUUGUGCUUUUCGCGCCAACAAUUUUAAUUUUUUUUUUUUAGUUAUGUCAGUCUACAAACUGUUAUUAAGGGCAAUAUUAUCUUUGCACAAUCAACUAACGGUCAAUGUUAAAAUUAACUGACAGUAGGAGAUUUUUUAUAAAUAAACAGAUUCUCGCCAUCUACUUACAACAAGCCCAAACCUCAGGGGAAAUUUUUAAAAAUUACCCUUAUUUUUCCCUCUACGGGGCCCACCAAAUUCCGCCUCUCACGCACUGGAGAGAGAAAACAAAUAAACUUUUUUUUUUUAACUUUUUCUAAAAGAUUUUGUUUUUAAUUUUUUAUCUUUACCACAGGCUUAUAUGCCAAUCUGGUGGGCUAAAGUCAAUGUUCCUGUCGCGUGGAAUCAUCAACGCUAAACCUUGGGUUAAGGAGUUCAAAUUUCUAAUCAAUGUUUCUCAGGUCUCGUACUUUCACCUAAUGAAAAAUUACACCUUUAGAGCAAGAAGAUUAGGCGCCCCCCACCCCAAAAAAAAAAAAAAAAGAAAAAAACCGCAGCACAUUAAAUCAUUAAUCAUCGCAUGUCUCACAUUUUAGUUUUGGCAAUUUCGAACAUCCUUAUUGAGGGCUUUGAUGACCUGGAACCAACAACAAACGCUCAUUGAUGAAUACAUCAACUCGUACACACGAGACAAAUUUCCUUAUGGGCCAAUCCAGGCAACACACGAUGAGAUGAGAUGAGAUGAGAUGAGACGAGACGUCAAUUCUGCUCCACAAGGCUUCGAUUUAAACAAAUUAAUUAAUUGGACGCAACUUUGUUCAAUGAAUGAAUGUUACUAGGCGGUGAGGGUGGAAAAAAUAUCCAGUCCGGUCGUGGACAUUACUUCAUUAACCCAAAGCCUGGUCAAGAUUUUAUUAAAAAAUAUUAUAAAACAUAUAUUAUUUUAAAUAUUUAUAUUUAUUUGACUCAUUUAUUACACAUAUAUAAAAUUUUAAACACUUAAAGUUUAUAUUUUCAUAUCAAAUUUUAUUAAAAUAAAUUUAAAAAAUAUAAAAUCCAAUACCCAAAUUAAAACCCAGUCCAGGCAUCUAAAAAUUACAUCCGGACCAGGUUCGGGUAUUAAAAAAUAUUAUAAAAUAUAUAUUAUUUUAAAUAUUUAUAUUUAUUUGACUCAUUUAUUACACAUACAUAAAAUUUUAAACACUUAAAGUUUAUAUUUUCAUGUUAAAUUUUAUUGAAAUAAAUUUAAAAAAUAUAAAAUCCGAUACCCGAAUUAAAACCCGGUCCAGGUAUCUAAAAAUUACAUCUGGGCCGAGUCUGGGCAUUGCAAUUCUCAGACCCAAACCCGGGUUUUGCCAACCCUACUUGGUGGUGGCCUGGCAUGAGAGGCGCCCCUACGUUGGACAAUGAGUAUAUAAGCACGUGCUAUAGUUGCACAGUUAUAUCGAAUAGAUUUGGGGCCAUCUAAAUUACCAAAUUUUAAAGAUAUAAAGGUGUCAAAUACCACCGUUCUAACAUCUAUAACGCAGCAUUUCGAUGAGAGGCCCGGCCCACCAUUCAAAUGAUUCAAUAAAGCGAAUAAAAAUUGAAUUUUUUCAAAUGCAAAACUAAAAACUAAACAAGCCGAAUGAUAAUAUGGUAGGUUGAUACACAGUUAACAGUUAUUAGGGCCCAUCAACGGUAACUACCAGGCAUUGCUGCGCUCAAACCAUACAAGCAGGGCAGAAGACCAGUAAAUAAUCUUACAAUCAUAUUUAGAUAGCUACAAAGGAUGAUGAUGAUGAUGAUGAUGAUGAUGAUGAUGAUAAUAAUAAUACCCACUGUCACUACACUACAGCGAGAAGUAACCCCGCAGAAAUUGGUAAGUCAAUGAAAGUGCAAUCACCGAGUAGCGCCAAGUCUAUGAAAGCUUUAGCCCUAGUAUUUCUAUCCCAUCUUCCAUCCACAAUCACGUAUCGACCAUAGCCAAGAUUCAAUUAGACAAAAUAUGUUGGGGGCUAACAGUUGACCUAAGGAUUACCAUGCAUAAACAAAAUAGAGACACCAAAAGUUGAGCUGAAACCCAAAGACUGCUCACAUGCUUUUACCACAUAAAUCUUUAUCUUACAGACAACUAAAGAACAUACAUCAUAUGCUUAGUUCCCUAAACCACUCAUGUUUUAAACUUAUACACAGUAUACAAUUAUGAAAGCGAUCAAAAACUUGCGUAGGUCAUAUAGAGGGGGUGACCAGGAAAAGUCAGUAGAUGAAUUAUUUUGUGGGGGCAGCUACUUUAGAUCCUUUAUCCUUUUUCCGUCAUUCCUAUGUCAAUGAUGUGCAUGAGGUUGAUUUCCAACUCCCAUGCACCAUUUAGAUCGGUUACUUGGUUUGAUUAUUCAAGGCUACAAGGUGGAGAUGAAAACACAAAUGACAAAUCCAACAGCUGAGAAAGUCAAUUUUCCAUGUCACCCUAAGAAUUGAUUAGCUUAUAGUCUGGCCAUUGGGCAAUAAGAAGCACAUAAAUACGAAUCCAGGCUAGACAAUACGAUGCGGAAGUUUUACUUGACCAAAUCAAAAUGUACUUACAUUUCCGUUUACAGGCUUUGAUCACACUACUCAUAAACUAACGAAGUGUUUUGCAGUAAUAUGUCUAGUGUCAAAGCAAUGCAGACAUGGUUCCUAGAGUUUAGGAUAAUAAAGACAAACAUCCAUUAUUAUUUAUUAAAUAAAUAAAUAAAUAAAGCAAAAAAGAAACAGAAAUCCACAUCACAAACAAAAUCAAUAAGAAACUAGAAUCCAAGAUUGACCAUAGCAAGAAGUGAUCGACUCAGCAAACCAAUUAAACCAUUUUCUGUUCCCAGGUUGUUGUCCAUAAAUGAAAAUUUAAAAUAAAGGCGGAGCAAAGUUUUGGAGAGGUACCAAUGCCUCAAACUAAAAUCUUAUUAUGAGGGAAAGAAAAAGCAAAGUACUGCAGACAAAUUUUUUCCAUGUUUGGUUGGAAAGAAAUGAUAGGGGAAAAGUGCGACAUAACUCCCACCUCAGAAAACUCAAUCAUUGCAUAAAUAUGAUCUAAAGUGAGAGAGAGGAGUAAAGAGCCAAUCCAUUGAGCUGAGAAAAUUAACUUACAUGUUUACUCUGGCCUUACAUUAUGGUAAAGGAUCAAAUUAAUAUAAUGGCUUUCCUCGUAUCUCUUUUAAAUGGAACUCCAUAGAAGUGAAAAGGCUCAGUAACCAAACGAACUAAUCAUCUGACCUCUCACGACCAAACAAUUCACAGCCAAUUCCUUUAUGAAAAAAGUCCUAGCCCCAAAUUAGACAACAGACAUGAUAAUCAUGUACAUUACACGCAUAAUAAAACCAUAAACAAAUUCCAAACUCUAAAGAUGAAUUGAUUAAUUGAAACUAGAAUCCCAAAAUACUCAAAGCGCCAGUUGUAUCAAUUUAGUCCAUAUCAGAAUCAACCAAGUCAAUAAGCUUAAAUUAUCAAAGGGGAAAAGAAAAAUUCUUCAUUUCUUCUAUUAUUAAUCCAAAGACAGAUAACACAUCGUAAAUAUCAAAUACGCAAAAAGCUAAAAACUCACCCAAAUGUUGGGUCUGUUCGAAAUCAACUUUCCUCGCCAAAAAGAUGGCAGAGACGAGAAGCGAAAAGGCCAGUGGGUUCAAGAGAGGCUUCAUGGAGGAGGCUAUGCUUGAUGUUGUUCAUGCGAUUGGUUAAGGAUUCCUGCUCUUCUUUAAGAGCUGACGUGUCCUCUUGGAGGUCGUGGAUGCGGUACUUUUGGCCCAAAGAUCUGACGCUCAACAACAGUAUCCCGGUCAUAGCGAAGAAUUGAAUGAAGCUGUGUUUGUGUUUUUUCGCAUUUGCUAUAAACCCUAAUGACCUUUUAGGGUUUUGGGCGGUGCUGCCGACUGGGCUCGGUGUUGAUGAUGACGCCAUAUUUGCGAAUUGUGAAAUUGUGAAUCGUGAGUGAGGGUGAGCCACCACACAACACAAGCGAUGAGUGGUUUUGGCACCCGGUUUGACGUGGCACUUUGCGCAUUUGCGACACGUAUUUAGAUUUUGUACACGUGUUAGGAUCAGUCCAUAAAAAAAUUAAUUACUUUCCAUUAAUUCCUGCGCAUAUAAUCUACGCGACGCUAACAAUAAAAGUAAUGCAGUAGUAACAUGUAAAUGAUUAAUGGUUACAUUACAUGUAUACAAAGUUUACAAACUAACUAGCAUCAGGGAAAAAACCAAAGGGAAGUUUACAAACUAACUAAAAAAUGCUUGUUUGUAUCAAAUUUUGUACACCACUGCAUAUUAUGAAUCAACUGCAUAAAAUUUCAAUGCGUCACACGUUCUCUGUAUCAAAAAUCCAGAGUGCCACAUUGUUUGCUCUCAAUGUUCUUCGUUCCCUUAUUUUGUUUCAUAUCCUUUGUCCUUUCAUUGUUCUGGCCUCGACUCCGCACAAUUCCCAUCUUAGGUAAGCCUCGAUUGAGUCCUUCCAGCAAAACACAAGCUUUACACCAUUUCUGUGGAAUAAGAAUCAAUAGGAAGGUAAGGAACAUACGCAUUAUUACAAUGACGAUUUCAAAGCUGGAAAUGGGUGCUUUCGGUUUGCUAUUGAGUAUAGCAAGUCUCACCUGGCUAGAAAUGUAUCCACAGCGUUCACAGGUGCCCUGCUCUGGCAUUUUUGUUGAGGUGGAAAUUCUGAAGUUCUCACCCGACUUGAUGAUAUCAAGUAUGGCCCUAGGUCUGCAUUAACAUGACAGUUCAGCCGGGAAAUGAGGGAGAAAAGAAAAAGCAUCAUUCUGUCUCAAAGAAGUCACCUUAAUCUCUCCAAAUCUUUAAUGAACUCACGAGCAAAACCACGAUAAGCAUUUGGAGAAUAAAUGCCUACAAUUGCAAUAAUAGCACUGUGAAUUUUGUUUGCAGACACCAGAACUAAAUUAGUUACCUAGAAAAGAAAAGCCCAUCUAUCGUGUAAGUGUGAUGAUAGAUGCUUUAAGCAUCAGCAAAAUAUAUAAAGGAAACAAGCAGACACCAACAUUUGAAGAAAAAUGUAACUGGAGCAAAGAACAAAAAAGAUAAUCUAUAGCAAAUGAAAAAUCACUGACAAAGGGAUUGGACGAGAAUGAGAAACAAACACUUACAUUCAGUCGAGAAGUAGUCCAGCCUCUUGAAGUAUGCAUACGUAAACAUCUAUUAAGGUCUCACAACUAAAUAAUAUGAAUAAUAAUAAUAAUACAUAGACAAUUUAAUACUUCCAUGAUAACAAUUCAUUAACAAUUACAAGGAUAUAUUACAAUCUCCUUCUCAUAAGUGUACUUAAAAGGUUUGCAUCUUGGAAUCGGUCCAUCUUCACCAGUUGUUAUCAAUGUACAUCUACUCAAUCUACACGGUACAGCGUGAAUUUAGUUUCCUGAAAAAAGUGUGAGAUAAAACUGAAAGAAAAACCUUACUGAACAAUUCAUUACCUAGCAAUAUCACCUCGCAAUAUGUUCAAUAGAACAGUUUCUGCAAUAUCAUCUGCAUUAUGUCCCGUCGCAAUUUUGUCUACUUUCAACAACGAAGCACCUCGAUCAAGGGCCUAAAAGAAACUCAACAUCUAUCUUAUCCCAUAGAUUACAGAAAGGCUUUAGAAGUUGCAAAACAGCCGCACCUUAGUAUAUUUCUAAGAAAAAUUCUCAUACACACAUAGAAAGGGACACAUAUGAAUGCACAACAAAACCUCUGAGGCUCUGCUACAAAAAACUAUGCCUUUUUUACCUAAAGACUGACUACAUUGAGUGACUGGAUUUGGAUUGCCCAAGAAUCCACAGUUCAUACGAGCAGUGCUGCUGUUGGACCCUUUUUCUACAAUUGUCUCAUCAACCAAAGAGCUUUAGCAACAAAAUUAACGGGUAUAAAGCAGGCAUAUGCUAGAUUUCUAGAAAGACGACAGAUCGAAUGAUAAUAAUUUCCUUUUUGAAAAGAACGAAAUGUAAUCUUCAGAAUCAAUAUGCAAUAAUGAAGAUGUAGGUAACUACAUAUUUUUCAACUCCAAAAACUUGUUGGAAACAGAAAGGAAUCUGCUGAUGAUACAAGAACAAGCAUUAAUUUACAUGAUUAUAAGGAAUAUUAAUCCUCCUAUACCUGGCGACGAAAAACACCACAAAAGGUGCAAUUAUUCUUUAAACCGAUCACCUUCACUAUCUCAUCCAUUGUCCAUCCAUAUAAAUCCUUGUAUGAAACAAUCUUCAGUGGCAGACCAUACUGCAGAGGGGAAAGAAUGUAGGAAUAAACAAACACAAGGAUGAAAAAACGAAUACAAAUGCAAUAGCGGUUGACUAAAAUAAUCUGUUAAAUUUUGCAUUUCCGUCCAUAUACAAUUUACUCUCUAACAAGUAAGAAAUUGAAUUUUACAACAAUAAGAACAAGUAGAAAUCAGUUUAGUCAAAUUAAAAGAAAAAAGAAAAUUCAAGUUAAAAAGAGAGAGACAGGGAGAGGGAGGAAAUUGCAUACCUGAAUCUCAUUUCUUUUGACAGUUUCAAGUGAAUCAUCCCUGUAUCCUGAAAUGCCUUCAUCAAUAGAUAGGAGGAAAAGAUCAAGGCCGUAGUUGUGACGCCGGUUCAGCUCUGACAACACAAAAGCAAGGACAGUGGAAUCUGCAACAAACCAAACAUGUACGAGCAUCAACGAAAUUAAAACGGCAAUAGCAAAAAACAUACGAAAGUAUGAUGACAACAGCAUGAAAAAGCAAUAACCUUUUCCACCAGAGGCGCCGAUGGCAAUACGCUCACCAGGCUUGAAUAGCUGAUUGCCCACAAUGACUUGGUGGAUCUCCUCCUCAAAUACCUCAUAGAAACACUCCCUACAUAUCUAUUUUACAUAAUAGCAAACACGCCACGACUAAAGCUGGUGUUAUUAAUUGACGCACAGAGAAUUUAGGGGAAAAAAAAAAGGGUUACCUGUUCUAGGGUUUUAGGUCGUUUGAGGGCAGCCUUUCUCUGGUUACAGGUGGAACAAAGGCGGCCACCGGCCUUCUUGGACUUCGACUCGGCGACCUCCAUUGACGGUUAAUGGCCCACAAAGUAAACUAUGAAGAGACAAGCUAACAGACUUACAAGAGAUCAAGUUUGGGUUAUGAGGGAAAAAUUGAAGAUUUGAGUUUGCUUUUGCAGUGCGGCAACAGCUUCUCGGAAUGGAACUGUUAUGAAAGCAGCGGUCCGACCGGCACCCUCACCCCUUCCAAAGUCUCUAGACCUUCUCAUUCCCUAAACUUCUUUUAUUACCAUAAUAUCCUUAACUAAAUUACAAUUAAGGACAAUCAAUUGGACAAAUAGACGAAACCUAUUUUUCUCUAUUCAACUACCGUGUUGACUUUUAUGCUGAUAUAGCACCGCUCAGAUUUUUAACCUUCUCAAAUAUUUGAGAGAAGUCAAACUCCCAGCUUUUUUUUUAGACUGAGAGUUUGAGUUCCCUCAAAUAUUUGAGAGGGUUAAAAAUGUGAGCUGUGCUAUAUUAGCAUAAAUGUCAACAUAUGUCAGUAUAUAUAUAUGAUUAUACAUUUCAGUUAUACUCUCAUAUAAUAUGAGUUAUAAUUUAAACAAUAGUCUCAUGUCAUAAAAAAAAAAAAAAAAAAAAAAUCUACCUUGUUUCACUCGAACAUCGGGAUUUUGUUAAAUAAUUACAAUAUUUCGGUCGAUAACUCAAUACAUAGUAAUUGUAUUUUACACGCCCAAUAAUAUAAAUUCACAAGAUACUCUCAAACAUAAAAGCCGCGACAAGAAUCUUAAGAGUUGGGGGGCCAAAAAAAAAAAAAAAAAGAGAGAUUGCAGUGGGAAGUUUUCAAGAUCUGCAAAUGCCGCCUUACCCUUACGUCAUUGAGUAAUUCCCUUGGGGUUUCUCACUGUAAAACAUCGGAAUUUUGUCAACUUAUUCACAGACAAUUUUAAAUUAUUUAUAGGGUAUCAUGCGGUCCCGAAUUCACGAUCUAUCUAAAUGCUUUUUAGUAACAGUAUAAAAAUAACACAUUAAUUCAAUUAGAUGCGUGAAGAGAGCGAAAAAGGCAAAAUAUUUGUUUUCUAAAGAGAGAUUAAUUGACUUCAAUAGAGAAGUUUAGUAACGGCUAUAAAAUAAAUUAUAUGCAAAAGACAAAUGAUUUUUUUAAUUAAGGAUAUUAUUGAGAUUUCUGAAGGUUUAUACAGUAAAAUACGAUUUUUUAAUUUAAUAGAGAGUUUGUUCAGUAAAAAUAGGUUUAAUGAGUAAUAUUAUGAGUUGAAAUAAGCUCACUCAACUCCAUUUUCUAACUUACAAUUUUAUCCGCGAAUUAAUUAUAUUAAAAGAAAAAAAUAAUUCAAAUAAAAAAAAUAGCCUCAGUACAUUCUUUAGUAUUACAUAAACCGAUAUGUUCCACUAUAAUGAUGGACCUAUUUGUUAUUGUGGUUAGAAAUUUUAUGCUACAACAUUAAAUAAAAUAUUGCGUAAACACUAAACACAUACGACUCCAGGUUGAAAGUUGAGUUGGCACUAUAAAAAUUCAAUAAUUUCUUUAUUAUUUUUAUCAAAUCAUUAAUUUUUUUUAUGCUUAAAAGCCGCAGGCAAAUUAAACCUUUCUGAAAAAUACAAACGAUUAUACUCCUAUAAAAGAUUUUUUUUGCUCCAAUUUCUCUUGAGAACAAUAACAUAUCGUUCUCAUUUAUAACAUAGUUAUUGUCAUCUUUUAAGACCCACCUUGAGAUCCCUUCCGAGCUCGAUCACGGUUGUAAACAAACCCAAGGUUAAUAAAGGGUUCCAUUCCAUCGAGGCCGUUGAGCUUGAGCUGUAAGCAAUAUUUGUCUGUCUACCUGAAAUUGGGAUCGAAGUUCACUGAUUUCAAGGCUCUAGCUAUGGCCAAUGGAGGUGGUGUAACUAAGGAAUAUGCCCCCUAAAACCAAUUUUGAUCAAAUCAUAAUGCUACAGUGGGAGAAACAGUAGCCCCCCAACAAAAAAAAAAUUUCGACUGAUAUUUUAAAAGUUAUGAAAUGUAUGAAACUAUUGAUAAUUUAUACAAAAUGUAACAGAAAAUGUGUGUGGAUACAUACUCGCAGAUUCGCACUGGAAACAUUAAGAUCAACUUUUAACUCACCAUGCCCAAACCUAACUUGUACAAGGUCUUUCUGUGAACCGGCAGAAGCACCGUCUAUAACACAUUGAAACUAUUGCUUACAUGCAGGUAAGAAGUUAGCAGUCACGCCCUGAGUCACCCUUAAGUCGUUGGUAUAUGUCACUCCGUAAAAUCUCCGCAUAUUCCUGCAAUAUUAAACCCCCCAAAAAGAGAGAAAUCUUAAGAUCUGAACAAUAUAAUAAUCAUCAAGCUUCAAAAGUAGAACAUAAUUGCUGUUACAGAGCAUCACAAACCACAGUGGUAUGGUACUUACGUCUGCAAGAUCCUCAUCACUGCAUAACUCAGUUACAAGAUCUUCGCGGCCGCUUCCAUUGCAAUGAAGCUGGCCAGCAUUUUGGACAACGGCUCGGAAGACCUCUCCAGGUGGAUCCAAGUGCUCAAUCCUCUGAACCACUUGUUGGAUUCCUAUCUGGAAGACAAUUAAAUAAAUCAGGAAAUAGUUACUAACACUGAUUGAUAAAGCAAAGUCCUUAUCAACACAUAUGGUAAUAAGGCAAGAAAAGUAAUCAGUAACAGUUUCCUUCCAGCAUCUAUAUGCAUAUGCCCAAGAAAUUUCUCGUAUGUUACAGGAUAUAAAACAAUAGAGUUUCAUCAACACUCGUAUAACUACACCCGGGUAUCGCAAAAUUGAAUAACACAAGAAUGGUUAAACACAAAGGAAACAGCCUUUUGAGUUAGUUGCCUGAAUCGAUUUUAGCAGAGUCAAAAAUCAAAACCAUCCUGUAAAACAUGAGAUUUUAACACUUAAUUCAGUUUACUAACUUCCCAGGUUCUUUACUAUUUUGUCUUUUCAGAACGUGUACAAACCUGAAUUGGAUCAUCAGGGUUGUCCACCCCACUUGACCUCCUCUCACUACACCGAGGUGUGCCAGAAAGGGGUUGAGGCGUAGAUCCACGACCUAGAGCUUGAGAAACAACAGGCAUCAUCUGUUGGACCAUUCUUGACAAGUCAAUACCACCAGCCCGACCACCCCCUAACCCUGAAAACAUGUUUCCCACAUCCUGGGUGUCAAUCUGCUGAGCAAUUUGAUUCACAGUAUUCAAGACUUGCGGGCUCUGAGUGAGCUGCUGCAGCAUAUUUCUCAAUACAUCCGGAGAACCAAUCCCAGUUUGCUGUGAAAACCCUGACAAUAGACCAUUCAACUCAGUGCUACGUAGAACUUCAGAUAUAGCACUUGCAGUGUCAACUUGGCUGUCGGUGUCUUGCCCUCCUGACUGUUUACUCUCUGUGACCCUCUCAACUACAGGUAAUUGACCACAGGAUAGCUCAUUUGCAUCUGUCCCAUUCCUUACGGAGCUGGAAGAUGCAAGAGUUUGCAAGAGAUGCUGGCCAACAGAUGUAGAGUUCAAGUUUUGAUCAAGAGGAGCAUUGCUCAUUCCACCAUCACUACCCUUGACCGGGGUCUUUGGCUGCCUUGGCCGCCUCUGAUCACAUAAAAAACAAGGGAGUUGCAAGCAAUCAGAUAGCAGAAGACAUCAAAGGAGAACACAUCAGAGAAAAUUGAUUAAUAUACUGAAGCAGAAGGGUUAGCACACAAAGUGCCAUAGAGAAAGACUUUGGAGAAAAAAUAAUUACUAAAAUGGAGUGCUUAACAGUAUCAAUGUAAUACUUGGGUAAGUAAACAAAGAGCCAUCUGACAAUCAUGAAGAUCUAGCCUGCGAAAAAUUCCAUGCACAUAUUUGAGUAGGAAUCUUUUUUUUCCCUUCUUUUUUUUUUCUUUUUAAGGAUCUUGUCAGAAGACUUGGAUCUAACAGCAACUUCAAAGUACCACAAUAUGAAGGAUAUUUCGAAUAUUUUUUAAAACGAACAAAAUUAUCAUACCUUCCGUUCUAAACCCCCCACCCCCAAUCCAAGUGGAGCAGCUUUGGAACCCUCCUGCAGAUCUUGCUGCUUCUCAAUAGAUCCAAGAGCAUUUCCUGAAUUGUCUUCUGACUCUCCACUUGAUGAACUCUGAGCACCUCCACUAGAAGAUGAUGGUGCAUCUUUAGAACUCAAGACGCUCCCCAUACCUUCAUUAGUCCUUACAUGAUCUCCUUCAGGUAGUGCCUGCUACAUUAUCAGCAGUGGUCAAAGGAAAUCACAAAAUUAUUCCAAUUUGCAUCAUCCAAGGUUUUUAUACAAAGCAAACCUUCUGACUUUCACUUUCCGGUGUGUUCCCGGAUAAAGAGACCAUAAGUUCACCAACUCUGUUAACUGGUGUGCUACUGGGCUGUUCAUUGCCAGCAUAAUUUCCUACCAUAGAUCCAUCAGAUAAAUUCUGCCCCGCUGACAUCACUUCAGCUACAUACAGAAAGAGCAGUAUUUGUCAACCGUGCAGUCAUUAGUACAUGAAUUAGUAUCAAAGGUACCUACCUGAUGGAACCUGGUUUUCUCCUUGCAUGUUACCAACAAAGUUCCUGAUUUGUGAAUUCACUUGAUCAACAACAGAGGAUAGCAAACCUGAGUUGGCAGAUAGCUGAGGUACGGAUAAGCCUGGACCAGGUUGGGCUACAGUGGAAAUUGCAGCAGCAGUAGGACGAGAUGGUACAGCUGCUGCAAUGAUAUUUCUCACAGGUAGGACCCUCACUGAACCAGAACCAGCCAACUCUGCAGAACCAGUACUAUUCCUGCGUUCUCCCUGCACUCCAUCCCCAUUACUUGCCCUGGUACCAAUUGUUGAAAGAACAGGUGCUAGUGCAGUGCCUAAUAACACGUACACCAUCAGAUCCAUAAAAGUAUAAGCAGCACGUUAUGCAUAAAAUUUACCUACCAGCAUGUAUAUGAAUAUUUAUGUUCCUUGGGGCAUGUCCAACACCAACUGGGCCAAUAUUCAUGGGAUUUGAUGAAGGAACUGAACCGCCAAACAAAGAGCUGGUUUGGAUGGGAAAUGGCUGUAAAUAAAGGAAAGCCAUGAAUAAAUAGGUACAUUAUAACCAGCUUUUUUUAAUCAUUUCAAAUCCUAAGAUUGUAGCUAGUCAAUCGUAAAAGAGCUCAGCAUUUAAAUUGUCAGAGAGAUACAGUGACAGAAACACACAAUUGAAGCAACAUAAUCCAAGGAAUAAACUAUCUCCUAUGCAAUUCCAAAACCAUCAUAUUCACUGCAGACAGCAAAUUUCACUACUACUCACACUCUCAUUUUCUCUCUUUAAGCUCUAUACUCUUUAGCAAAGGUUUUCAUUACCUUUUUCCAGCCAAAUACAGCACUCUGUAUCCCCUCCCUGUCUACAUGAAAGGAGUAUAAUUUUAUACUGCAGUAAGCAUAUUAUGUACUGUUCCUCCACCAUGCAUAAUUAUUAAAAUCUGUCAGCUGGUAACAGAUUUUGCCAGUACGUACAACAUAUUUACUGUCCUAGGAACAGCUAACUUAACACAUUACUGUUACAAACCACCAACAUCAUGUUUAUCCAACCAUUCACCACAGCACAGGAAGACCCACUUAUACCCUCAAAAAUUAUUCUACAUGUGUGAUAUAUACCCCAACAUAUGAUACAUAAUUAUUGACUAACCUGAACCAUUAUUGGAUUAGGUCCUGAUGGAGAUAUAUAAACAGCAGGGCCAGCAUUGACAGAAAAUUCCGCCUGCAAGUUGCAGUGGAAAAAAAAAAAAGGUGAAUAUGUACUCAAAAAGGUGAACAUGUAAUCACAAAAAGAGCCAAUAUGCAGAGGAUAGACUAGAACAUACAGGAGACUGCCCCAUACGGAGUGUCAAAAUUACACGACCAAGCUCUAACAGAAGAGAACCCAAGUGUUGCAUUGCAAAUCCUAUUUGCACAGAUUCUGCCUGAAUUUGACCCCUGAUAUUAGGAUCUGAAGAAGCACCCUCUUGCUCCAAACGUCCUGCGAUAUGCUACAUUAUAAAUAACACUUAAUCAGAUUACUAGAGUUAUCCCUCCAAGAAAAUAAUAAUAAUGAUGAUGAUGAUAACAAAAGAAAGAAGCAAAGUUGGUCCAUUUUCAGCAACUUUAUCUCAAAAACUUUUCUUUCAUAAGAUAUGAGUGAUUAUAAAAUAUUGCUUUGAUAUUGGUAAAGUGCAUGCUUUAGCUUCAAUAAGCAAUCAAAUCUUGAUUCCAAAUACUACCAAUAUGCACUGAUAACUAUGUGCGAUGCAUUUCAGAAAAAAUGAAAAAAGAAAAAAAAAUUGUGGUGAUUAGCGAAAUAACUUUCUAUAAUUUAAAAUGUGCAAUUACAAUAAACAAAAUCAGCAAAAGAUUCAUAAGUUCGUCUGAUCAACCAGCAAAAGUAGAAAGAAAAGUCAAACCCAAUAACAUUAAGGAAAUAACUGAUCAAUACAACAGUAUAGAAAACAGACUCUAUAAACACAGAUGUAACAAAGGGAUUGAAAAUGCAAACUCAGCUCUGACUAGCUUUACAGAAAGAUAUAUGCUUUCCGUUCCAAGAUAAAUUUUAAUGAAAAUAAUCCACUAAUAUAUGCUAUUGGAAACCAGGCACAAACACAUCUCAGUUUCAAACAAAGAUAAGGAUCCACCAAUGCAAAGACAAAAAGUGAAAAGAAGUGUUCCAAGAAUAGUAUUUACAGAGAGUGCAGCCACAGUGUGACCACUGAGAAGCCUUUGUGCACGUUGCAGGACAAUGUUCAAAGCUUCAGGAGUUGGCAAACCCCGUUCGUUGGAUGGUAAUUCAGGUCGUGGUACUUCUUCAUUACUAGUUGAUGAUGUAUUUGGCUGAUACCCUAUACAUCACAGAAACAGUUAGUUGGAAGUUAUAUCAAGCACAGAAGCACAAGACAAUGCUUUAGCACAAUCACCAUUUUGGGACAGUGUCUGCUCCAUGUGGUUCAUAAACUCUGAAAUUGUAUUUAAAGAAUCAGGAAUUGGCUGAAACCAAUAAAGAAAUGAUAUUAGUAAAUAAUAAAGGCAUAUAACAAGUAAACAUGCACAAAUAGAUAUUUCCAUACCACAUUAAGUGAAGGAAAUGGCACAGCUCCUGCUGUCUGAGGAAUUUGCACAACAGGAGGUGACGACGAUUGACCAGGAUAUGGCUGUCCGGACUGUGCUUGAUUUCCCACUUGGCUUUGAUUCCCAGCAUGCCCACCACUGCCAGCUGUCUCAUUUCCUUGUUGAGGCUGAGCAUGAAUAUUUGACUGCAAAUAAUAACACGAUCAUUUGAAUACACUAAACACAUACACAGGUAUUUCCGAUUGCAGCAAAGAACUACACAAAUCAGGAAAAUGAUUUAAAUGGCUACUUAUACUGAUGACAGACACCAUAAUGAAUAGGCAAGCUUAAAGAAAAAGAUUGAUUUCAAAUAUUAAACUAGGCAAGCCAGGCAUAAACACAUUUUCAGUAAAGGUUAAACAUGACAGCCACAAAUGGAGCUACACAGCCAAAUUUGUCUAUAAAACUGUGAAAAUAUGUUCAUGUGAAUGAAUGCAUUGCUCAAAACAUUCGAUUGGAUAAAAGAAUGUGACAACCACAAAUGGAGCUACACAGUCAAAUUUGUAUGUAAAACAGUGAAAAUAUGUUCAUGUGAACGAAUGCAUUGCUCAAAACAUUUGAUUGGAUAAAAGAAUAGCAUAAUUAAGGAAAAAUGUCUCCGGCUGCCACUUCCAUUUAAAAAAAUAAAAGAAAACCCAUCCCAUGAGCGAGAAAGUAAAUUAUGUAGAAGGGAAGGUUGAAAGAUGCUCCAUCACGCUAGCACAAAGACAUAAAAAAAUUAAAAAAUGCAAACUUACCAAAGUUGAAAACUGUAUGCCACUAUUACUGCCAGUAGCUGGGGUCUGACCACCAAUUCCAAGGGAAUUGAUAAGUGCCCCAAUAACCUACAAGUCAACCAAUAAGGGGUUAACAACUUGUGGAAACAACAAAAUACAAAUCCUUCCAUCCUUCCUUCUCUUCCUGCAACAGCAGUUAAAAAACCUGAUACAAAAAUAUAUUAAAGCCCACCAAGUUAAGAAAAAAGUAAUAUUUUCAGACGCACCCGAGUGAGGUCUGGAGCAAUGCCUUCACCUUGAUCCCCAACAUUGAAGGUCCCAAGAAGUACACUGUGAGAAACUUGCCCCAUACGACCACGAGGGGCAUUAGCAUUGGCUUCGCUACCUGCCAAAUUAGGACAGAAACCAUGACUAACCGACUUAGAAAUGAUCAACAUUGCUGUAAGAAAAUGCUCGGAAUUACGAACUGCCGGAGAAUCCUAAUUGGAGAAUCAAUACCUCCAGUAACAUUGUUCCCAUUUGUCUCUCCAGAGCUCGCAUCAGAUGAAGGCUGUGAUUGAGCUGGCUGCCUAACUACCAAAUGCAGUGUAUGGCCAUUCUCAACAUCUAAAAACAGUCAAGGAAUUCACGGAAUUGCAGUGAUAGAAAAAUCCACUUAGAUGGCUAAAUGAGCCAUAAGAUAGUGAUAAAAUACUGGCGUAAUAAAACAUCAAUACAGCAAGUGAAACUAAGAAUAUAUGCCAAACAAAUCGCAGCCCAGAAACUCUUUAACGCAAAAAUAAAGAUUGCAUCAAUGGGGAGAUACGGUAUUCAGAAAGGAGAUGUUCAUCCUUCAACACCUUUCCCCUGAAUAUCAGUCGUUGCUGGCCAACUGGGACACCAAUAUCAUUGGCUAUCUUCUCCUUGAAUAAUGAAACUGGGAUCUGAAUCAGAAUGACAUUAUUUAGAAAUGAAUCCAGUGAAGUUCAAAUUUUCCAAAGAAAAGAAAUCGAUUAGCACAAUGAAUUUGUGAAUUUAAACAAUUUGGAGGUCCCAUUCAUGAUAUGCAAAUUGUAUGAACGAAAACUGUUAUUUCGGUCAUCAAUAAGAAUGAAAAUGCCAACCAAAAUAACAGAAUAACGAUUACAGUGAAUUGAAACAAGAAGCAUGAUCAAGACUUUGCUCACAUUUUUGUCAACUUGGAAACUAUAAACCUGGGAUUCUAAAGUCUUGACAUUGAUCUCUACAAUUGCAUCUGAACUUUUGCCAGAAACAUUGCCUGUGCUGGAACUCUCAUUGGGAUAUUGAUCCGCCAUGAUAAGCAGCAGCAACCUGAGUGCAAAAUCAGUUACUGUACAAAUUCAAACUCUGACAUACAAGCAAUCGCAUAUCACAAAUGCAAAAUGGUACUUUCCAUUUUCUAAGUUUAUUGCAAUCUGAAGUUUACAGAAUAUCUAUCUAUCAGCACUGGCGUUAGCAGCGGAUGCACUGGCAUGCAAUUAUUCAGAUAACGAAUGCGACAAAGGACAUUUAAUGCUUAAAAUGAAAAGAUGCUAUGCAGCACUUUGAAAAGUUUUAAAUGUCAGCAUUAAACAUUUUCAUGUAUAUGGAUGUUCUUUCUCGUCUUAAGUUGCAAUAACAUGAAAGAGAUACUAUAAAACAGACACAUUGCAACCAAUGCACUUACUUAACGCUAGAAUACACAAAGUAAGAGCCAUCCUAUACCUCCAUAAAAUCAUAACGAAUAUAAUACACUCUCUCUGAAAUAUACCUUCCUAUCAAAAUCUAACCUAAUGCGGCAUCUAAAGGCAAACAAGAUCCCGAUUCUAACAAAUUGCAAGAAGGAAGAUGACAUAGUUUUCAAAGCAAGAAAUUAUGCAUGGUGAGUUUAUAAAACCCUAAUGCUGAUCAAAUCCUGAAUGCAUACAAUAAAAAUCCACAAAAAAAAAAAAAUACACUUCUUCAACCAUUACUCAGCUUUUAUUAUAAAAAAGAUGCUGGAGAUCGCAAUCAAUCAUAACAUCAAGGCGAAGAGAAAUAAAAAUAUUAAAUAAAUAAAAAGUUAAUCCUUCGAUACAAAAGCACUAAGAUAAAACAAAAAUUAGAUACUAAAAAUGCUAAACAGAACGAGUUCCGCUAUCUGCUUAGGGCGUGCAAGAAUAAAAUCGUGACACGUUUAAUCCGUAUAUAUAGCCCUCCCCCCCCCCCCAAAAAAAAAAAAACAGAUACAAAGUAUUCAAGAGAGAUAAGAGCAGGAAAAAUGGAAAACACGAGAGGAACCUUUAGUUGCAGAAAUCUGAAAUUAAAUUAGAGUGCAAAGACGACGGGAAAAAUACGGCGGCGCCGAUUUGAGUGUUAUUUAUUUAUUGUCGUUGGUUGGGGAAGGGGGGUUAUUUUUGAAGAAAGGCUUGGCUCGGGUCUCUUAACGAAUGCGGAAUGCCUUUGGGAGUAAGAAAAGAAGUCUUCUUUGGUCUAGAUAGUAGAUAGAGAACACGGGUGAUAGGGCGGUGCCGCGGUACGUGACCCGAGUUGACCGGAUUUUAGCAGCUUUAAUGAACUGUGCAAUCGAUUAUACCACGAGGUACGUUUGGCAAGAAGAAUCUAGAAGCUUGAGCGUAAGGCUGUGCGAGCGAAAUUCAUUCUACGGUGCCGUUUUGUUGGUGGUCUUGGUUUUCAGGUUGGAUGCAAGAAAGUUCAAUAUGGGCCUCGACAAUUCAAUAAGACCUGCCCAUUCCUAGAUGGACUUACAUUAUUGCCACCCCUCUAAAUGCCUCUUAAAAUCUAUUUUCUUUACUAAUCUCAUUAAAACGUUUAAAAAUAAUACAACGUGUUUUUACUAGUUACGUUAAAAAAAAAAAAAAAUCAAUUGAAACUUAUUCCUGUAAAUCAACGCCAUUCUUUAGUAUCCUCUUGUUCACAUUCCUCAACCAAUUUUUGUUUGUUUGUUUGUUUGUUUUAAGCAUUAUUGGCAUAAUUCAGUGUACUGGCAACCAUGUGCAUGGCUUGUAGAUUAUUUCAAUUGGAUCGAUUUUUGACGAGGCAGCAAUGAUGGUGGCUCGACUUGGGUGUGGUCGGCUCGUGAGUGUAGUCGCCUAGUCGGCUUGAUGGGGAACGUGCAUAUUAGGCCAGUUUUGUGGGGGCUGGUGGCGUGAAAGAUUUGCGUCUCCCGUCAAAGGUGGGAUUGGUUAGAUCAGCUUGAUGUGGAGGAGUGGCGGUUCGAUUUUGUAGUGGCUGUUGGUGUGGCGGUAGUGUGGCAGUUGAAUGGUAGUUGUUUUUGUAUAGUGGCGGUGGGUUAGAGUGUGGAAUAGUUUUCGGGUUAAAGCACGUGGCGGUGGUUUGGAUGGGAGUAGACGGCGUCAUUGUUGUUUAGUGAGUGUCCGCAACGGUGGGUCGUCGCCACCGUCAGCCAAAUAAGCCAUAAAAGCCAAUCAAGGUGUUUGGUGCAGUUUUGCCGCGAAACAGAAAAUUUUUUACUUUUCGGUGAGGGUUUAAUUAGUAAUUAUAUCCCCUUUAAAAAAUAUUAGUAACUAUAUCCGAUAAGUAAUUUUAAUAAAAAUUAAAAGAGUGUGGCUAUCAAGGAUGAGUGUCUCUAUACUCAUUCUUGAUAUUUUACAUACGUCCUUGUUCAUAAUUAUUUGAAGGAGUUUUUGUCCCCUUCAUGAAUAAUAAUAGGAUAUUCACGAGGUUUUUGAUUUUUAAAUAAUUAAUACGUUUUUAAUUUUUUUAUUUUAAUUUAAUUAUAUUAAAAUAAAAAAUUUAAAUAAAAGUUGAGAUAAAACGGUUGCUGUAGAAAAUCAGAAAUUAUGUUUUACAAUUUUACUUUAACUUUUAUUUUAUUAGAUAAAAAAUUAAAAUAUUUAAUAAAUAUUAUAAUAAAAAAUUGGGCCAAUAGGAUCAUGUCUAGUAUUUUUAAUGUUCUGAAUAAAAAUUUAAACUACAACCAUUCAAUUAGGUCUAAAAAUUUAAUAAUAUAAAUAUUUUGAUAUUUAUUAUUUAAACCAAUAUUUAAUAUUGUACAAUUUAAAUUUGAUUAUUUAUUCACUAAUAAUUUUAAAAAAUAAAACUAAAAUUAAAAAGAAAAAAGAAAAAAAUAUGGAUGGGAUGGGAUUCACUUCAUCGCCGUCCCUUCUCUUAAUAAGAAGUUGGGUAAAAACUGGUUCCAAUCAUUUUCCCUAAUAAGAAAUUAUAUAUAAAAUUAUUCUCAUAUGAUCUCCAAAUGGGAAAAAUCCCCAACGAUCCCUAUUUCCAUAGAGAUUUCUGCCAUUCUUAAGAGCUAUUUGAAUUCAUUAAAUUCUUCUUUACACUUAUUUACUUAAUAAAUCUACUAUUAAAAUCUUAAAAUUAAAUUUUUACCGUAUAAACUUCUUAAUAGCACACAAAUAGUCCUAAUAAUUAUAUAUUAUUGCUGCAUAUUAUUUUACUCUUGAGGUCCAUUGAGCCCCUUUCAUGUUUAUCUCUUACUCUUCGUUGUCAUUUUCUCAAUUUCUUUGUAUUUAUGAUUUUAUGUUGCAGAUCUAGUAUAUUGAAAAACCAUCUCUUUGUUUUGAAAUUUGUUUAAUUUUAUGACCCAAAUAUUGGGACCCAAAUACAUAAUCAUUCAUCUAAAAUCUCAAUCAGAUAGGGCAUCUUGCAUCCUUGUUCUAUGGAGGUGUGCUAUCUGAAUUCACUCUUACAAAAUAUUGCUAUUGCAACUGCAGCAAUCUAAAAUCAUUCAUGUAUCACGGUGAAAAAAAAAUAAUUAUAAAAAAAAAUAUUUUAUUUAAAGUUGAGGAGAUGGUUACGGCUUAUGGAGGGUGCAAUCAUUUAUGGUGCGUUUAUUUCAUGGGAAUGGGAAUGGGUUGGAAAUGAGAAAGUGAAUAAGGAAUGGGAAUGAGAUUUCAAUGUUUACUUGACAAAAAUAAAUGGGAAUGAGAAUGUGCUGCAAUGUCAUUGAUGUGUUUACUUGCCAAAAUAAAUGAGAAUGAAGAAUGAGAAUGAGAAUCAAUUUACCAAAAUACCCAUAGUAUUAAUAAUUAAUAAAAAUAAUUAAUUUAUCAUUAUUAAAAAUAUUAUCAUUAUUGUUGUUGUUGUUAUUAUUAUUAUUAUUAAUAAAAUAUUAUUACUAUUUUUAUUAAUAUUAUCAUUAUUAACAUUUAUUAUUAUUAUUAUUAAAUUUUGUUAACUUUAUUAUUUUAGUUAUUAUUAAUUUUUGUUAUUAUUAUUAUUAUUAUUAAUAUUAUCAUUAUUAACAUUUAUUAUUAUUAUUAUUAUUAUUAUUAUUAUUAUAUUUUAUUAACUUUAUUAUUUUAGUUAUUAUUAAUUACUGUUAAUAUUAUUUUUAUUAAUAUUAUCAUUAUUAACAUUUAUUAUUAUUAUUAUUAUUAUUAUUAUUAUUAUUAUUAUUAUUAUUAUAUUUUAUUAACUUUAUUAUUUUAGUUACUAUUAAUUAUUGUUAUUGUUAUUGUUAUUAUUAUUUUUAUUAAUAUUAUCAUUAUUAACAUUUAUUAUUAUUAUUAGUAUUAUAUUUUAUUAACUUUAUUAUUUUAGUUAUUAUUAAUUACUAUUAAUAUUAUUUUUUAUUAAUAUUAUCAUUAUUAAUAUUUAUUAUUAUUAUUAUUAUUUUAAUUAAUAUCAUUUUUAUAAUAAUAUUUAUACAUGUAUGUACAUAAUGAAAAUUACAUUGUUAUUAUUAUUAUUAAAUUUUGUUAACUUUAUUAUUUUAGUUAUUAUUAAUUUUUUUAUUUUUUUAAUAAUAAUAAUAAUAAUAAUAAUAUAAUAAUAAUAAUAAUAAUAACACCAACAAUAAUAAUAAUGAUAAUAUUGUUAAUAAUGAUAAAUUAAUUAUUUUUAUUAAUUAUUAUUUUUAUCAUUAUUUUUAUUGUUAAUAAUGAUAAUAUUAAUAAAAAUAAAAAUAAUUAAUAAUAACUAAAAUAAUAAAGUUAAUAAAAUUUAAUAAUAAUAAUUAUUAUUAUUAUUAAUGACAUUUAAAAUAAUAAAAUUAUUUUAAUUUGAACAAAGGUAAUUUAGGAAAUAUGAAAAAAUUAGAAGGAUAUAAAAAUAAAUUUAUGUUUCAUUCACAUUCUCACAUUUUCAUUUCCAACCCCCCAUGGGAAUGAGUUUCUCAUUCUUUAUUUCUAAAUUGUGUGAGACCCACACAAUUUAUUUUCAUUCCCAAAUUCAAUUUUGUCAAGUAAACAUAACUUUGAUUCCAAUUCCUCUAUUCUCAUUCAUUAUUCCAAGAAGUAAACACACUGUUAGAUAAUUAACUUAUUUAUCAUUUUUAAUAGUUUUACAUUAGACUAUGUUUUGUUAUAUAAUUUUUUAUAAAAAAAUGGAUCUAACAAGAAUUUCUAUGGAUCAAAUAAUAUCACCCAAGUGAAAAUUAUAGAAUAACUAAUGGGGUAAUGGAGUUUUACGAGGCAUGUGGAGGGUUGCAUAUAGCCAUAUAGGCCUAGUCUUGCAUAAGUUUGUGUUGGAUUGGCUUUCCAAAGAUAAAGACAAUAUUUGGUAUAACCACAGUUAGGUGGGGCUAUUUAACCUAUUAAUUUCUUCUAUAGAUUUAUCUAAAAAAAUAUAUAUUUGUUAUUAAAUCUUAGUAUUUUGAAAUUUCAAAGUUAACCCCCCCACUAAUUUCGUCCUUUUUCAAUCUCAUUGCAACCAAAAUUUUCCUAGCAUGGUUGUCUAUAAAUAAAACUCUCUUAACUUUAGAUAGAAAUUAAAAUGGAGAUAUUUGUUAAUUUAUAUUAUUUCUUGAGAUAGAAAUUAGGAGGUGUUAGUUUUUCUUUAUGAAAAUUUAGAUGAAAAAUAUGAUUUAUUCUUUAUGGUAUAUGAAGAUUGCAUGCAGAUGUUGAGUUUUGUUCCUUAUUGUUCUUGAUAGAUUAUAACAAUAUCUAUUUGAAUUUUGACCAGUUUGUCUUAUCUCUCAAAACAUCUGCAAUCUAUCUCUAAAAAAAAGCGUAAAAAUUGGUGAGAAAUGUAAAGAACUAUAGAAAAAGAAAAUAAAGUUAGUUAUAGUAUAGAAAGAGAAAAUGUGGUCAGUUAGAUAAUUUCAUCAAAAAAUUAUUAAUAAUAAAAGAUUAAUUGAAAAGAGCGUAUAAAACGAAAAUAAACGGUUUCAAAUAACCCUAUCAAAACACCUUAUCCAUAUAGCCUUAAGAGUGUAUAAAAAAAAAUUUAAUGAUUUCAAAUAACCCUAUCAAAGCACCUUAUCCAUAUAGCCUUAUCGUUGUGUCAGUAGAGUUUAGCCACAAAUUAGUUAUUCUUGCUAAAUUCAUCAAAUUUAAGAAUAAUUUAAUAUUAUGAGAAAAAAAUAAUAAUUAUGCAACAUAAGUUCAUCCUAAAGUGAUUAAUUUAUUAAUAUUAAAGUGAUUAAUUGGUAUACGUUUGAAAAUAAAAAUAAUGCAGAGAAUAUGUUAAAAUUUUGUAAUGAUCAGAUAUAAAUGAGAUAAAUGGGAUGUCAUGCAAGAUAAUUUCUUUGAGUGUUUUUUUAUGUUUAAUUUUUUUUUUUUUUAAAACGACUCUUCAGUCUUCACAAUAUAUUAAAGGACUCACCAAUGAUGCCGAGUCAGUUGGACUCCACCAGCCACCCUCUACUCACUUUUCUUACAGGAAAAAGCCAAAACAACUCUUAAACUCUCUCCGGCAUGGACAUUGAGAAAUCGUCGAAUAAAACCGCCGGGAAACCAAUUCAAUGCAGAGGUAGGUAGCAUUUAUUUAUCACACUGUACAAAUCUUCUAUUAUCAUUAAAUUAAAGUCAUCAAUAAUUCGCCUUGUGCAUGAAAUGAAUUACAAUCGUUGACUUUCGCGUCCACGUCGUCAAAAUCUGUAGCCGCAAUCGCUACAGCUCCAGGAGAGCCUCUGGUUAUAGACGAGGUUAUCGUCGACCCUCCAAAUUCCCACGAAGUUCGGGUUCGGAUAAUCUGUACUAGUCUCUGUCACAGCGACGUCACCUUCUGGAAAAUGAAGGUCUCUUAUCAAAGUCAAACCCUUUUGUAUUAUCUUUAGUUUUAUUUUUUUCUUUAAAAAAAUUAUUUAAUUUAUUUGCUUCUUAUUAUAGUUGUUUUAUUUUUCUUGAAGGAUUUUCCAGCCGUGUUUCCAAGAAUUCUCGGUCACGAGGCUAUCGGGUAAGAAUUAUAUUCUAUCUUUUAUACCUUCGUAAUUUUCUUUUUCCUUGCAUGACGGAUAUGUCUGAUGAAAAACUCAAUCAUGGCUGAUCAUGUGAAUGUGGCUUCAUUAAGCUAGUCAUUAAUUGUUUUGCUUAAUCUAUCCCAAUCUAUUUUUAGUGCUAACGUUGACGCUAGGUUUUCCAUGGGGCCAACUUGGUUGUUCACGAUGAAUUGAGAGUGUUUGGCCCUUGGCUGACAUGGUCUAAAUAAUUAACAUUGUGUUGCAGAGUUGUGGAGAGUGUUGGGGAGAAUGUAGAUGGAGUGGUUGAAGGAGACGUUGUCAUCCCGCACUUUCUGGCAGAUUGUACAGAAUGUGUAGGUUGUAGAUCAAAGAAGGGCAACCUAUGUUCAGCAUUUCCUUUCAAGAUCUCUCCUUGGAUGCCAAGGGAUCAGACAAGCAGAUUCAAAGACCUCAGAGGAGAGACUAUACAUCAUUUUGUCUCUGUUUCAAGUUUUUCUGAGUAUACUGUUGUAGAUAUUGCCCAUGUAGUCAAAGUUGAUCCUACAGUCCCUCCAAAUAGGGCUUGCCUUCUAAGCUGUGGAGUAUCAACAGGUACCAGCCACUGAUUUUGAGGCUAUUAAUUGUCUUGAUUAUAUGCAAUACAAGAUCUCUGUUUUCCACUGCCUUCAGUUCUCUCAGAUCAACUGCAAUUUGGAUUUUAUAGGCGUGGGAGCUGCUUGGAGAACAGCAAAUGUAGAGGUUGGAUCAACUGUUGUUAUAUUUGGGCUUGGUUCAAUUGGAUUAGCGGUAUGAUAUUGUAGAAAAUCGGUUGAGUGUUAUACACUUCCUGUUUGAACUUUUGUAUAUGGUAUACUGCUGAAAUAGGUUCAUAGAUAUCUUUUGGUAUCAGGUUGCAGAGGGAGCGAGAUUAUGUGGUGCUACAAGGAUUAUAGGCGUGGAUGUGAUCUCGGAAAAAUUUGAAAUUGGUGAGUGAAGUUUAUAUGUUGUACGGGCUUAGGUUUGACAGGGAAUAAUCUCCUCAUGUCAUCACAAAUAAAUAAUUGUUUGUGUGGACACAUCAUUAUGAAUCAACUAUUCGAAGUAUUUGAUAGAUACUAAGUUAAACAAUUCUGUUUUAUAGGCUAAUUGAAACUAUGAUUUCUUGAUGUUUAUCCACACAGGAAAAAGGUUUGGAGUUACAGAGUUUGUGAAUUCUAAAAACUGUGGGGAUAAAUCUGUAAGCCAGGUCUUGCUCUCAAUCUAUGAUCUUCCUCUUCUUACUAUUUCUGUUAGUUUCUAAUUUUGAGGUAGAGGAUGCCAUGUCAUGGCACAUUUCAGCUUAUGUCUGAAGUGGUUUUUCCAUUAGGUUGUUUUAUCAUUUAAAGAACAAGCAUUUGCAUCUUUGGGGUGUCAACAAACUUGGAUCUUUUGUGUUGAACCUAAGCAUCACAGAGUAGUUAGUAGUUACUAUAUAAUUGAACAAGUUUGGACCUAAGAUACCACUCUUUUGAACCUUUGAGAGCUUAUGACUCCAUAAACUCUACAUAGGAUGACAAUGAAGCAUAAAUAGUGCAUUUUGUGAAAUCUUCUUUAUUUAUUGAUUCAGUUGAUGAGAUAGCCUGUGACUGCUAUCUCAUAUUUCCUUUUGAUUUUAUGCCUUCUCCCUGUGAUACUGCAGUUUAAGUUGUUAAUUCUUAUUACACUGCAAUGUAGAGGGAUAAAUCUUAUACCUCUGCAAUGAGAUGCUAUGAAUUAACCUACACUGCAUUGCAGUGUUAAGAAGGAUUAACCUACACUCCUUUUAAGAUAAUCAGUUACAGGAUAAUUUAUUAACCUUCUCUGCAUAGCAUUGUUGCAAGGAUAAUCAUAAAUCCAUAAAUACUAUUCAAUAUUAUAUUCUAGGUAUGGGAGAUGGAAACUGUUUAAAGCAAACAAUCUAUAUGCAGCACAUUAUGAAGAGUAAUCUCUCUUUUUUUUUUUUAUUUGAUAGAUUAAUCUUUAACUACUAUUUCACUUAGUUUUUUCUUUAAUCAAUUUGAGCAGAUAAUCAUUGACAUGACUGAUGGGGGUGCUGAUUACUGCUUUGAAUGUGUUGGUUUGGCAUCCUUGGUGCAAGAAGCAUAUGCUUGUUGCCGAAAGGUCUGCUUCUAAGUCUCUCACUCUCUCACCCAUAGUGUUGUACAAGCAGAAUUAAUUUGAUUAAACAUAAGCUCAAUGUGACUAGGGUUGGGGGAAAACAAUUGUGUUGGGAGUGGACAAGCCGGGGUCACAGUUGAGCCUGAGCUCUUUUGAGGUCCUUCAUAGUGGAAAAAUUCUGAUGGGAUCGUUGUUUGGAGGUCUCAAAGCUAAAUCUGAUAUUCCUAUUCUUUUGAAACGUUACAUGGAUAAGGUAAUUUAACCAUUAAUAUAAUGCUUAUUUAUACACACACACACACUUUUGCGUAGCCUAGCUUCCCAAAGAUCUUAUGUUAUGGUAGGUUAUAUAAUGCUCAUUACUUUUGCAUAUUCUUGCCUUGCCUAGCUCACAAAAGAAUCUUAAGUUCUAACUCUAUGGCAAUAAAUUAAUAAUGGUAGUUUUAUAAUGUGGUUCUAGACUUCUGUAUGCUCUCUUCUAGGCUUCACGCUUAUAGACUAAAUCGUAUGGUGACAUAUUAUUGCCAGCACAUCUUUGAUAAUACUUGUAGUGGUCUUAUGUUCCUUUUUCAGGAACUAGAGCUGGAUAAGUUUGUCACUCAUGAGAUGAAGUUUGAAGAAAUCAAUAGCGCGUUUGAUUUACUUAUAGAAGGAAAGUGUCUCCGUUGUGUGAUAUGGAUGGGCGAAUAAGAUUUCUUGCAUUAUUUUCUUGUAUGUACUUUCUCCAAUAAUUACCUCUCAUAUCUAAGCAAAUUGACCAACCAUUUGUGAUGGACCAUGUGUAUAUGAUACAAGAUUCGUUGGUUGAAUAAGUGACUUCUGAAAAAAUUUAAAUUUGAAGAAUCUUUUUUACCUUAUGACCAAGAGCAAUUUAAUUAUGUUAGGGCUCACCCAGCUUUGUAUCUAGAGAUCGAAUGCGUUUGGUAUCAAGCAGAAUUAUAUGCCUCUUUCUUAUAAUGGAUUCGUAUUCUGGGUAAAACUGCACUAUUUUAUUGAUCUUACAGAAAGUAUAUCAUUGAUCAGUUUCCUCAAUCCUCAACCUCUCAGCAUUUGAAUUGGAAGAAUCGCUGGCUGCGCUAAUAUCAUCUGGAUACCUGUUAGGGAGCUUUUAUGUUAGUCCAUUUAACAAGUAGCAAUGAACGAUUUAAGUCACACGACAAAUUACUUCUAGCACAUUUAUUUGGGAGCACUUGGCUAGGUAUCGUUAACGGGAACAUCAAAUUGAAUUUAUUACGUGAAAAACUUUUUUUUCUUUCAUUAUCAUAAUAAUUGCGAUAAUAUUGAUCGACCCAAGAAUAGAAAAUAGUUAAUGGGAACAUCAAAUAGAAUUUAUUACGUGAAAAACUUUUUUCUUUCAUUAUCGUAAUAAUUGCCAUAAUAUUCAUCGACCCAAAAAUAAAUAAAUAGGCGAGUGACAUAUUUGAGUUUCAAUUUGAAUCAUAAUAUUAUGUAUCAUUCAUCUAUGUAUGAUAAAUAUAAAAUAACUUAAUAUUUUAUUUUAUUAUUUAAUAAAUAAAUAUCACAUUAAUUGAAAUUUAAGUUAACACUCAAAUGUUAGAAUUCUUAACAUUACCUUAUUAGAAAUAAGCAUAUAAUCUAUUGAUAUCAUACGGUAAAUUUUAAAUUUCAAAACCGGAAGUUUUAAAUGGAAUGAAUGCACCACGUCAUGAAAUAGCAAUAUGUGUUCAAAAUAAUUCAUUAUAUGGAAAUUUGCAAACUAUAAGACUGUGUUAGGUGGACAUUAGAAUGAUACAGAAUGCUGAUUUAAAUGGAAACUCAAAAAACCCACCACGUCACCAGAUCUGAUGAAUAAUUUGUAACGGAUAAAACCUUUAAAUGGAAACUUGCAAGUGAUAGCCAUUCCCGCUAUCACUUUCUCGCAAUGCUCUCAAUAUCAUUGUUCAGUUCAGUGGCAUGGAUAUUGAUAUCGAGAAGAAACCGUCGAGUAAAAUCGCCGGGAAACCAAUUCGAUUACAGAGGUAGUGAUUGCAAACAAAUAUAAAGAUAAUAAUUAAUAUUUUCAUUUUCUCAAAAGUCAUCCGUAUUUCUCGUCCUGGUCGUGAAAAUCUGCGGCCGCAUUUGCUAGAGCGGCAGGGGGCAGGAGAGCCUCUUGACGUAUAGAAGAGGUUAUUGUGGACGCUCCAAAAACGCACGAAGUUCGACUACGGAUCACCUGUACGAGCGACAUCACAUUCUGGAAAAUGAAGGUCUCUAAUAGAUAUCCUACAACUAUUAUCUUCAAUUUGCUGAAAUAAAUUUAAGCUUUAUGCUAUGAUCUUACAAAUCCGUUCAACACGUCAUAAGGGAGAAAGGCAGGAUUUUACCUUGGUUGGCCAUGAAAUGGACUUGCUGCUCAGCUUGUUUAUGGCCCGUGAAUUCAGCCUUCUGUUCUUCUAAUUUGUAGCAAGUCUUGGCUUCAAUCGCAGCUGCAAAAUCAAGCUACUCAUUCACUGUACAUACACGCACGGUGGGAGAGAGAGGAGAAAAGAUGCACUGCACUUUUUCCUUAAUAUCAAUCUUGAACAGUGAAUUCCCUUAAAUAUUGUGGGGGCGCUCAUGUGUUGAUACAAAAUUGUUCUAUCUCAUUACAAACUAAAAUAAUAUAAUUAAAGGUUAUAUUUAUUCAUAAUAUGCUAUUAUAAAAGAUCUAAUAAAAUUAGACUUGUAAACACAAUAUAUAAUCACUUUAUAAAUGAGUGUAUAAAAAUUAUUCCUUAUUAUUUGACAUCAGUCAUAUAUUAAUUUGAUAGAAUAAAAAAUAAUUAGAAUAAUUUAUACUAGUCCACAAUAUGUUAUAAAUAAAUCCAAGAUAAUUAUGUCACAUUUUAUUUAUAUUAUUUUAUUUUGUUGUUAAUAUAUACUGUAUAUUGGUUUUAUCUUUCUUCAUGGAAUUUCGGUUGUUUUUCCAAAAAUUCUAUGGUCACAAGGCUAUCAAGUAAGAAAUAAUAUAUUUGUCAAGUGUUCUACCUUUCAACCUACCAUUUUUAUGAAAAAAAAUUAGAAUUAUUAAAUAAAAGUUUAUAAUUUACAAUGAAUAUGACUCUUAAAUAAUAAUUUUGAUAAAAAUAAUAAAAAUAUCAUAGGGUUUUCAUUAUAUAAAUGGUGGAUCAAAUCAACUUAACUUUCAGGUUAUAACUGCUAAUAUUUACUGAGAACUUUAAUGUUAUAUCUUUUAACCUAUAAUUAUCCAAUCUCAACAAAUAGGGGUCUUAGUAAACCGCGUUAUUUAAGAUAUUGCAACUAUCCAUAUCAAUUAAGUAGAAAUUAAAUUGAAUUAGUAUCACUAUCACUAUCUAUUGUCAGUGCUGAUAACGCAAGAAAUUUAAUAUUAGCUGCUGGAAUCAUGAUAACGAGAGAGUUUGCCAGGGGACAAAUAAUUAACAAUAAUAGUACGUAUGCAGAAUUGUGAAGAGUGUUAGGGAGAAUGAGGACGAAAUAGGGGAGGGAGAUAUUGUCAUCCCACACUUUGUGGCACACUCAACCGAAUGUGUAGACUGUAGAUCAAAGAAGAGCAACCUAUGUUCAUCAUUCCACUUCGAGAUAUCUUCUUGGAGGAUGCCGAGAGAUAGGACAAGCAGAUUCAAAGACCUAAGUGGAGAGACCAGACACCAUUUUCUGUCUCUUUGAAGUUUUUCCAGGGUACCCUGCUGUACACGUUGCCCAUCUACUCAAAGUUGAUUCUACUGUCCUCCAAAUAGGGCACGCCUUCUAAGCUUUGAUGUGUCAACAAGAAGCAGUCAUUCAGUUUGUUCUGUAUCACUUGCUUUUUAAUUUGGUUGAAUUCGACAAUUCCAACAACUCCUAUUUCGAUUUUUACAGGCUUGGAAAACAGCAAAUGUGGAGGCCGGAUCAACCGCUAUUAUAGUUGGCCUUAUCUUGUACGAUACACAUUAAUUUGUUUGGUUGAGUAAGUGUUAUGUGAUAUAAUUGCUAAAAUAUAUAUGCUCAUAGUCAUGGAUAUAGAUAAUACCUUUUUGUUAUAAUAUAGAGGUUGCAAAGGUUGCAAGACUGUGCGGUGGCACAAGGAUUACAGGUGUGGAUGUGAAUCAAGAGAAAUUUGAAAUUGGUGAGUGAGAUUCUAAUGAUAUACAGUAUUUGGCAUUGGUUUGUCAGGGGAUAAUGGACACAACCUCGUGAGAUCAACCAUUCCAAGCUUUUGAUGUGUGGGUACCAGUUCUAUUUUUAUAGGCCACCGGAAACCAUGAAUUCUGAUUGAUAUUCAUCCACCUCAAAAAAAAAAAAAAACUCGAAGUAAUAGAGUUUGUAAAUUCUAAAAACAGUGGGGAUAAAUCUGUAGGUGACGUCUUGCCCUCUCAAUCGAUUAUCAUACUCUCUGGCUGUAAUAUUUUAAUUCUAUAAUGACUACGGGCGUAGCCAGCAUAGGACCGGGUGGGGCAUGGCUUUUAAAAUUUUUUUUGAUGGUUCUUUUAAAAAACAAAAAUAUAUUUUAUUUAUUAUUUAUAAAAAUGCUUCAGAUGAAUUGUGAAAUUUUGAAAGUGCCACAUGUAAUUUUAAAAAAAAAAUUAUGUUGCCCCUAACUUAAAUGCCUAAUUCUAAAUAAUUUGAUUAGCUAUUAUAAUUUCAUAAAAAACAAUAAAGACAAACAAGAGAACCCUUUAUCAAAUGAAAUCCAUUAAAAAAUCAAUUAAAAUAAGUGAAAUCUAAACUUUACUCUUUUUUUUCGUCUCUUCCAUGGAAUAAAGUGUGGUGCGUGAACUCCAUAGCAGAUUAGGCGAUUAGCUGUGCUCGUCAGUCAUCACCAUGUGCGUGGAUUUCUUCUCACUUUUCUUCUUACUUCAAGAGUUAAACAUUCAUUUUAAUGAGGUAAACACUAAAUUACUUUGUUGCUUGGCUUGUUUAUGUCCAAAAGAUUCAUUUGCAACUUUUAAUAAAAAAAAGUUAUUGCGCCUUGCUCAACUUUAUCCAAGAGAAUUUUCUCCAAUUGAUCUCAUGACACUAGAUAUUCAACUUAAUGUUUACAUAAUGGAUAUACAAUCUAGUGUUGAGUUUUCAAGAAUAAAUGGGAUUAGCGAUCUUGCACAAAAAAUGGUUAAGACUAACAAGCACAAGAUGUUUCAUUGGUCAAUUUAUUAGUCACAUUAUCAUUACUUUUACCAAUUGCCACAGCCACGAUUAAAAAAGUUUUUUCAACUAUAAAUUAUGUGAAGAAUCGACAAUGAAAUUGAAUGAAAGAUAAAUGGUUGAAUGAUAAUCUGAUAGUAUACAUUGAAAAAGAUGUAUUUGAUGGCAUUGAUAAUGAAACUAUUUUACAACAUUUUCAACACAUGAAAUUCUAUCAAGGAAUUAUCAAUUAGAACAAUUGUAAUAAGUUAAAUUUAUUAUUAAUUUAUAUUAUAGUUGUGAUUGUAUUUACUGUUAUCUAAAUUUUCAAAAUUUAUUAUCAAUUUAUAUUAUAUUGAGAUUUUUAUGUGUUAUAAUAUAAUAUUCAAAAUUAUACUACAUUUUUUGUGUGCCCCAGAUCAAUUAAAUUCCUGACUACGUCCCUAUGACUAACUAGUAAGCUUUAAUAUUUACUCGGUCGUGUCUUUAUGACCAAUUUGAGCAGGUAAUCAUGGAGACGACCUAUGGGGUUGCUGAUUGCUGCUCUGAAUGCGUUGGAUUAGCAUCCUUGAUGCAAGAAGCAUGUGUGGAUCGUUGCUCCAACGGCUUAAAGACACUUCUGGAGAAAUAUCACUUACGUUGUUUCCCUCGGUCGAACAAGCUGGCGUGUUAUCUUCUGCUUUCUCAGAGAAUUCCCAACAAUCAUCACCAGCAUCCAAAGUUGCUGGAUCUGCUUCUACACAUGAAUAGAUAGGUAUUCACACAAAAGGAACUUAUGAACAGAAAAAUCUAUUGUACAAUUUCAUUCUACAGUAGCACCUCAAUUUCACGAAUAUCCUUAGUAGAAUGCUAAAUCAAAUUAAGCUAGUAGAAAGUAAAGCUUCAAACUAAUUGACAUAAUUAAUCAAUUAAUUACAAGGAACCCCAUUUGUUGUUUCAUUUAUCAAAUGAAUUUGAAUCCAUUGCCGGUCUCUUAUAUAUAAUUUUUAGUGAGAAAAAUAAAAAUAAAAUUCGCAAACCAGAAGGUGAGCUGAAAAAAUGACGGCGAAAAGCAGUAAACUGAGCAAAGGCAUUAGCAGCGUCAAGAUAAUCGCCAACUUCAAUCCAAGCCGAAACCGCCGCGCUGCGAGCAAAACCCAAAACCUCUCGAGGCCGAAACAAAUCGGAACGACGCCGUUCUUCCAAGCUGGCCAAAACAUUUUUGCCUGCAACUUCAGGGCGCGAUUCAGCAAGUCGUCGUUCGUGCACUUGCGGACGAGGGAUUUGAAAUUGGGUUCGAAAGAAACCACUUCCGAUUCGAUGAAAUAUCGACAGCGAGGGCAGUUUUGAGAAUUAAUAUUAUUAUUGUUGUUGUUGUUCCAGGAGAAGGAGACCAAGAUGCCGAGAGAGUCUUGUCUGAUAACAACACCCGGCCACCAUUGGUGAGGAUACACUACUCUUGCCCACACUAUCUCUCCUCCUUCUCCACUUUUUCCUUUUCUCUCUAAUUUUUCUUCCCUUUCUUCUGUUCUGUUUCUGAAACUAUUUAUUUAUUCAUCCUAUUGUUUUUAAUUUGGCGGGAAGUUGCCGAUUUGCCGCCAAAUUGAAUUACACAAAAUAACUAUAAUGGGCCGCUGCUGUGUGGCCCACCCAAGCAGUCUCAACUCUAAACAGGAAAACUCUGACAGGAACAUUGUUUGGGGGUCUCAAAGCUCAAUUCGAUGUUCCAAUUCUUUUGAAACGUUACCUAAGACUAGGUAAUUUAAACAACUGAGCAAGUCUAGCUCAUUCGUUUUUAAGAAGCAUAGCUUCCGAAAAACCUAUAUUUGUCUACAAUGCUGAUUGGCACAUUAAGACCAAGAAAUUCGAUACUUUAGCUUUAUGUUUGUUUUUCAGGAACUACAGCCGGCUGGAUGAGUUUGUCACUCACGAAAUGAAAUUUAAAGUCAUCAAUCGAGAAAUUGAUUUAUUUAUAAGGAAAGUGUCUCUAGACAUGUCUCUCUCCUUUUCUCCCAAAUGCUCUUCUAUUUCAUAUAAACUAAAUCUAAUAAAAUAAGUUCAAAUAAGUUCUUAUUUUAGAUUCUACUCCCGUGUAAAUUAUGUUAUUGUAAUAACAGCCAUCAGCUUCCCUUUUACGAUUCCACUCUCUUGCGCCGCAGAUUGAUGUCCAGAGAAGUUUGGGGGGCUACUCACCAGUUUCAUCAAUAAAAAGUUAUUUUCUUAUUAUUGUUGAUCACCAUAUUAUUUCUAUAUAUUUUGGUUAUAUCAUCUUCAUUGUACGUAUGAUGUGUCUCUUAUAUUUCCAAAAUUUAAUGUGAAAAAAAUAUUAAUCGGCCAAUAUGUUUUUAUUAUGACGGUGGGAUCGAUUAGAUUUAUGAAGAUUAAUUUAUUUUUUUCAAUCGUGCGGCAUUUUCCUACUAAGGUUUUAGAUUUUUAUUAGGUUUGGUAUGCCAAUGCCAUUAUGCAUAUGACUAGAUUGAGAUAGUCUAAUAUUUAGUAUUGUCUCGUAUUUAGUGUAUAGUUAGUAAUAUGGAUGGACAAAUUAAUAAAUUUAUCAGCCUGCCUAAUCAUUAGUAAUUGUAUUAAGUCAUGCAUUAGCAUACAAGAUGCCUAAUUUAAUACAAGUGAGGUUUGCCGUUGGGCAGCUUCAUAUGAUUUAAUUUUCCUGUACAAGAAAGUAGAAUAAUCACCCAUGCGGAAGCCCAUGCGUGUUCUAUGUAUUAUGGUAGCUAGCUUUAUAUUGUGACUCUACGCAGUCCUCAAUUUAUAUUAAUCAUCCAGUGCUGCCAAAAUAUUAAAUACAAAUGAUGUUUGGCGUUCGGCAGCUUCAUAUUAUUUAAUUUUCUUAUUCAAGAAAGUAGAACAGUCAGUCACCCAUGUAUGUAUAUAUGUAUAUAUAAAAUCUCCUAUGAGACUGUAAACGCACUAGAUGCACCAGUGAAGUAGUGAUUUGUAGAAUUAACUGUUUUCUUAGAUGACCCAAAAUGCCGUAGCCGAUAAACUCCGGGGAUAGCCUCCGUUGGCACUUCCCAUUCAACGGUUGCUAAGCCAUGGAAACUAGUAUUCUCCAAACUCCACUUAAAAUACAGGGAGAAAUCGUCAUCGUCAUAAACCGGAAUCCAUCGCUUCCCCUGAAGCUUUUCAACCACAGCAUAUGUUCCUUCUGUUAACAGAUCAUACCUAGGGUUGGCACUCCAAAAUGUGGCACUUGGUCUAUCGCCCUUGUUAAAUGAACCGUCUUUUGGUUGAUUGAUAUCUUCCUUUAUGUCACCAAACUUUUUGCCCGCCGGAGGCGAGUCUCCGGUUGGGUUUAGUGAAAGGCUGAGUUGCACGGAUGAAAGAUCCGGUGGCGAAGGACCCUUCGUGGUUUUUUCUCCUUUUGCCAUUGCUUGUGCUAAUUUUUUGAAUUCUUGAAUGUAUGCUGGCAAUGUGUGGGGUCCGUAAAGCGUUGACGCAGCCUGCAGCACAUAUCAUUUUCGCAUCGAUCGAUGUGAUUAGAAUAGAAGUUCUUCCGUCAAAUCCUAAAAGAUUUUUCUUAUUUAAUUUAUUUUAAUUUGGAAUAAGUACCUCAUAUCGUUGAUGUGCGUAUUCUUCGAAUGUUGCAAUGUAUUGUGAAUAAGCGUUUGUAAGUCCUGCUAUUACGAUGUGGGUGUCAUUAUCAAAUUCCCCAUUUCCAUUAUUUAUUAGAGUGUCCUUAACUGCUUCCCGUAAUCUUCGACCCGCCAUUGUUGUAAACUCUGCACUCUUCAAUAGUUAAAUCUUGCCCCACAACAGAAUAUUAAUCACAAUUUCUUUGAAGCUAAACUAUGCUUGUUAUUAAAAGAAAAAGUUUAACCCAUUUACUAAAAGCAAAGCUAUACAUACACCAUUUUGAUAAAUAGAGAAGGAAUUUGCGUAUAACUGAGCUAACCUCCCGGUACAGAAAGUAUGAUAAGCUUUCCCAACCUCAGAAUUUGAAUUGGGAGAACCGCUGGCUGCAUUGAUAUCAGAAAUAUGAUUAUCAGAAAAUGUUCUUUUAAGCUGCAAAAUUGCUGUCUAAUAACUUUAUUUUCUUUUGGCUUGGAGUUUCCAAGAUUAGCAAAUUCGUGCACAAGAAAAAUUCAGCACGUUACCGCCCAUGCAUAAGGUUCAAACAUUUCGCCAGAGGAUAGCAGAACAGCCUUUGGCUUUUGACAUUCCUCCUGAUACUGGCUUGGCUUUUUCAAUACGUCCCUCAACUGUUUCCACAGCUUAUUGAUCUAAAAACAUUAAAUAACGAGACAAAAAAAUCACGGGUUUAAAUACCUUGUUCAUUUAACCAAAAAGAAAAAGAUCUAUUGACAAUCAAAUGCCUGAAUCGGUGAGCCCUGACCUCUGUAUCACCUUGUUGAAAACCAAACACACCAGGUCCAUCUGUAGUUCCGGCGGCGAACCCUGGGCCUAGGGCUGCAGGGCAAGUCUUGAUUGUGUUGUUUCCUGUUCCAUCCAAUCCAACCUCAAUAUUUGUGAAGUUUAUGUAGACAUGACGAUAAUCAAUCUUUCCGCUCAAUUGAUCGGUUGCAGAAUUGAAUAAAUCAACGGCCUUUUGGAAUUGCCUUUCUCCUAUUAUCUCUGUGCUUAAUAUUUCGUCUGGAUACCUGUUAAAAUAGAUACAGAUUAGUUUAACAUGUUGAGCAAAAAAUUCAUUAGUUUCUUUGAAUGAAUUGAUAUGUUAGUACCCAGGUCCGCGGCCAAUGCAGAGCUGGUCAUCGCCAUGGCAUGAUGAGUGAUUGAAGUCGCAAGGCUUUCCACUAUCAAUGCAAAAUGCUCCUAGCACAUUUGGGGUCACAUCUCCAACAUUUGAUUGGCAAAACGCUCCCACAAAUAGCGAUCCAUCGUUCUUCCUCACUUUGAAGCCUUGGCUUGUUGUUUUUCCACAUUGCUGUCCUCCAGUGGCCUUGAUUGUUUUCGAUUUCUCCAUCAAUUUGCCAAUAUCUAUUUCAAAUCAAUACUGCACAUGAGUUAAAUCUCGCAGUGAUCAUGGAAUCCUAAUUUGAACAAAAAUGAAAUCAAGAUUUUUCUUGCAACAUGGACAUCUAUUCAUCUAGUUGGAAGCUGCCGUUUCAGCUACAAAUUUUGAAUGCCCAAGGAGUUUGAUAUGUAUUGUUAACAAUAACCGAAUGGGUUAAAAGUUACAGCACCCUAUCCCGACCCGAACGGCUCUUCUGUGUUGAAACAACUUACCCGAUGAGGUAGAAAACUUACUGGUUGUCGUGGAGGAAGAUUCGUUUUUGGAACUGAACCAGUCUUCAAAGAACCUGGCAGCAGCGCCCUUGUUGUCUCCGCUGAUGAGCAAAUUGUCUCUGGACAUAGAGGUGCCGUGUGUAGCAUACCAAUUGAAGGCUCCUAUGCUCUUCCCGCUUGCUGCAUCAACAAAUUUCAGAAGGGUCAUUUCUUUGUCAACGUUUUCUGGGUAUCGAGCCCUCUCCUCUGCUGGAUUAAGCAGAUAUGCACUUGGACUCCUGUUUAUUCCAGCAUUUUCUACGUCCCCUGAAGCAUAAAACAAGACAAAUAACAUGGAAAUCAUUUUGUUAGUUUGCUUAAGGAUAUCGAUUCAAUGCAUGCGCAAACACCUUCAAAACUGAACACUGACCUUUUCUAAUGAAAAUUGAACCAGGGUUUAAAUUGUUGUGAGCCUGAACAAUGCUCUGGACAAUUGCGAUGACAAUGGCAUCAAACGAUUGUUGGACAAAUCCUAGAGACGUGAUAGAGUAAAUCAAGUACUGCAAGUAACCCCCAGGUCCGGCAUGAGUAUGGAUUCCACUGAUUGCUAUGUUCUCUUCAGUAUACAAAUUUCCAAACCUUCGAAACGAGUAACAUUAUAUGAGAUCACCAAUUAAGCAAAUUCUGACAUCUUAAGGUGCUUUUUAAGUUUCGCUUGGCUUAUUUACUGUACCUUGUCUUAAGUUUCUCUAGCACUUUAAUAGUAACGAGUUGUGAAGCCAUGCCGGCAUCAAGAUUCACAAAAGCAAAUCUUGUUCCGUUGGAACUCUCGGCCACAAUGAAAGUUCUAGCUCUAAGACGGAAAUGAAUCCCUGCAGUAUUUUGGAAAAGAUUGGCAUAACCCAUCAUGUUUAUUCCAGCAGCAGGACCUGUCAUGUCAUAGCUCCCUACUCCGACCAAAUACUGACCAUCUGCACUUCUUAUUAGAGCAAAACCAAAAACGAGAGCAAUAAUAAGUGAUAGAAAAAACAAGUGUCGGUUUAUUUUGCUACCCAUAAUUUCUUUGUGGGACCUGGAUUGUAAAAUCCGGUAGUCAUGAAGUUGUUGUAUAUAAAGAUACGGAGUAUGGAAUUUCUUGGACUUGUUGACACAAAAUGUUUCUUAGUAUGUAGUGAUUAGAUUCUUCGUUUUAUUGUCAACGCCUAAUUUGAAAAAUCGAUUGUUCGCUUGCUUUGUCUAAGAUGUCCCGAGGUUGAGUUGGCACCAAAGAAUCUCUUCUUGGGUUGCUCCGCAUGCGGAGAGUGACGAGGCCCGUUCUUGUCUAUCAUCGGGCAUUUAUUAUUCUGUUUACAUGCUUUAUAUGAAUCAUAAAAUAUGAUCAUAGUACUUUACAUUCAAUUCAAUGUUUUAUUGCUAAUGUACAAAAUUGAUGGGUUUCGCAAUUAAGUAAUAUGCUAUUGGAUCAUCUCGAAUAGCGAAUUAAUGGACAUGGGACUAGUCCAGAUUCCAAUUUGUACUCCUUAAUGGGUCUCGUUAUCUAGUGCCAACAUACUAUUACUUCUGCUCAGCAUGCAUCAAAAAACUAAUAAAUUCUGUCGUGUAUUUAUUUGGGUUGAAAUCUGCCAAAUAAUUACAGCCGGUUCCUUCUAAAAAAAAAAAAAAAGCUGGUUGCUAUAUAUAUUAAGUGAAUAAAUAUUGUCAUCAUCUACCCGUUGAUUGUAUCACCUUCUUCCUACAAUUAUAGACUUUUUGAACGCAAUGACUUAGAACCACCCAACUCGCGUUAAUCAUUUAGUCAUGGACAAUUACAUGGGUUUAAUUUAAAAUCGAUUGGGCGAUAAUUUGUUACCUAAUGUCAGAAAUAGCAAAACGACAAGGAAUUAGACCUCAAAAAAGAAAAAGAAAAAGAAAAAUCAGCUAUCGUCCGCACAAAACUUAAGAAAGAAGUUUUCGGGGACAGCUCACGAUUUGGACUUAUAUCUUCUAUUCUUCUCAUUUAAAUAUGCAGAUAGAUGAAAUGAUAGAUGAAUCGUCUUUUCAAAAUUAGAGUCUGAUUCAAAUUAUUCCACUUAUAACGAAGACGCUAGAGAUCUAAAGAGUUACACGUCCAGAGUCUGCAUGGACCCGCUAUUACACCUGGCCAUAUUCAUCGUUCAUCAGUCGAGUGGCCUCUCAAUAAAGAUUCUCAAAAAUUUAAGGCCGUCUAUUUAUUUUCGCUUCAUAACUGUGUCACUCAUUUAAUAAAAUUUAAUAUUUUCUCUCUAUAAUUUUUAAAAUAAUUUUACAUGCUUAAUUUUUUAAUCAAUUUUAUUUUUAAAUAUAAAUAAAUGAUAUUUAAGAUAAGAAAAUAUAAGACAAAUCUAUUGAUUAAGAUAUAACCAAUAUAAAUAUAAUUAAUUAUGUCAAAAAUAAAUAAUCAUAUUUGAAAUUCUAAACUUAAUUCUAGUACAAUGAUUAAUAAGAUUAACAUGAACCAACUUAUCCAGUAAUUGUAUAAAUUUAAUCAUCAAAACUCAUUGAUUUGUGUUAGAUCUAUGAAUCGUGUCAGAUUUUGCAACGUCAGACUUAGGAGUAUUCUGGGCUCUUGCCAGGGUCCACGUCUACAAAGGUCCACAAUUUACGUGCAUGAUGUCGACUUAUCCGCAAUCAGUGUUUUUCAUAACUUUAAUAAUUCAUUAACAAAAGAAAGCACCAGGCGGGGGCUUUAUAGCAAUCAAAGCAUCAUUACAAGCACGCAGGUGGUACCCAGCGUUCACACCAAAGUUUACCAAAACUCAUACAGCAAUGAAACUAUUUCACGUUAUUUAGUUGGGGGGAAAAAAAAAAAAAAAGACAAUAGACAUACUUAUCCAUCCAAGUACAUAAACAGCACUUAUACAUUAAGCAUAAAAUCAAAUUGUAAUAAAGGCAAAUUAAAAAAAAAAAAAAAAGCAUUACAAAGGAGAAAGAACUGAACAAACCACACAAACAGGAGACCGGCAAAAACAGUAAUUGUAUCAAACGCAUUACAAAUUUAAUCUUCUUAAUUAAUGGGCAGCAGUUUCUUUGUCCUUCUCCUUUUCGUCCUCAGACUUGGGGUGGUAGCCAGGGAGCUUCUCCUUGAGUUUCUCCAAUAUGCCCUUCUUCUCCUUGGCCUCUGCCUCAUGAGCCUCGACUGAUGUGGGGUGCUCAGCAGCAGGAAGAGAAGGGACCUGAUGAUCUUCAGGUUUCUUUUGCUGUCCUGGUAGUUUCUCCUUGAUCUUGUUGAGAAAUCCUUUCUUUUCUUCAGGAUGGGCUUCUUCCUGGUGGUGGGGAGCAUGGACAUCAUCAAGUUUCUCGACAGGGACAGUCGUGUCCUCUUCUUUCUCACCUGAUAUUUUCUCCUUGAGCUUCUCCUUCAGUCCCUUCUUUUCCUUCUUCUUCUUCUUCUUCUUUUCCUCAUCAUCGCCCUCCUCCUCAUCGCUUGACUGCACACACACACACACACACACCAAAAAAACAAUUUAAAAUACGAUACUUAGGAUCAUUCGUUCAGAUUGUUUUUAUUUUUUUAUCAUAAAUUAAGAUGAUUAACAAAUGAAGAAACAGAAACUUACAGAGCUAGAGCUGCUGGUGGAUCGGUGAAGUUUGUCUAAGAGACCGGGCUUCUUCUCUUCCUCCUUCUCCACCUUCCUGUGUUCCUCUACCUUUGGCUGAGGCUCAGAGACAUGAACUUUCUCAAACUCAGUCGCGAUCACCUCCUGAUCGUGAUGUUGAGGUUUCUGCUCUUCUUUCUUCCCCAAGAAAUCAAGCAUCCCACGAUCCUUGGUCUCCACUGCACCUUCCGUCCCAACACUCGGCUCGUACUCAUGGCUCUU
RNAcentral lists this long non-coding RNA (89882 nucleotides) under Citrus maxima (pomelo). RNAcentral describes it as "long non-coding RNA (CMAX_LNC001637)". The stretch from base 1196 to 1331 matches the Rfam family "MIR394 microRNA precursor family". The record is from RNAcentral. Lineage: Eukaryota; Viridiplantae; Streptophyta; Magnoliopsida; Sapindales; Rutaceae.